UUGGGGUUGGUGGCUUGUGUUCUGGGAGUGGUUUCUCUCCCUUGGGAGGUUUAGUGGGUGACUUGUGUUCUGGAGGUGGCUUCUCCACCGGAGGCUUGUGCUCCGGUGGUGGCUUCUUGGUUGGAGGGGGCUUGGGGUAAUCAGCAAGAGAUGGGGGGGUGAGAACCACCACUCCAAGGAACAACACUAGCAAGUAUGUGGGAGACAUUUCUGAGUUUGAGCUGAUCAGAUGAUGCAAAACUAGAAGAAUUACGUGACCUUUUAUAGCAAGUAGCUCCCAAUACCCACAUGACACGUGUUACUGUGACCAUAAAUAUUAUAGGGUCCAUUUGUGCCCUACCGGGUUGAAAACUUGGACGCUUGGCCGAGGACACACCGAACUAUGGAGGACUAUUGACGUGUGAUCACAGCUUUUGGAUUUUUCUUCCUGUGCAGCUGUCUAGCGGUUGGCAUUAUUUUUUUAAUCUUAAAUAAAGGCAUAGUUAUAGAGUACAUUUAUAUAUCUUCAGAUAGCCAUUAAUAUAUUUGAUGAAGAAAGACAAGUGCAUACAACAUGUAUACGGCUUGCUUCAAUCGAGUACAUUUAUGAUCAGUUUUCCAGUGCAAGUAAACCAGUUUUUUGUUCCACAACUAUUUUGGAAUCUUGUUUAUCAGUUUCUAUCAUUAUAAUGUCACAUAGGCUGCAAACUUGGGCACCCAAAGAUCUAGUUGGGCAAAUUUGUUUCAGAAUUUCAAUGGUGGAUUCAGUAAUUGUUAAAAGGUGUUUCUUCAUUAAGGAAAGAGUCCUGUAAAAAUAUUGUUAAAAGGUGUCAUAGAAACUAUAAUAAUUAAAUAACUUCUUUUCCCCGUGGGUGGUGUUUCUUCUGGGGAUACCCAAAAUGAGUUCAGAUUAAAAUUGGUUCGAGUCAAAGCUGUCUCUUUUGUCCAGAAAUCAACUAUUUUGCGCAUUGCAUGAAUCGAUAAAGAAAAAAUGAAAGCCAAAUCACACCUCCCCUGCAAAACCUAAACCCCGGUUGCUAACUUUCUAUGUUUCAGUCCUAUUCAUACAGGAAUAUUGGUUCAAGUUUGAGAAAAAUGGCAACUUACCUAGGGAUUACUUGGUUGUGGUUUGCGACGACUAUUUACGCAACCAACCAUGAGUUUGACUUUAACGUCAUGGGUUGAAGCCUCCUACAAUCGUGUAUGAUAGUUCAAAGCUCGUAGUAGAAAUUAUACAGGAAGGAAGAAACCUCCAAAGCUAGCUCCAAAAGAGAAUUAUCACAUCGAUAGCUCCAGAGAUUCCCAAGGGGACUGAAUCAAAGACAAGUUCCUCACUUUUUCUUCUUUUGAGGCCAAAUAUGAACCAAGGAUCACACGACCUCAUUCAACUUCAUAAGUUUGAUUUCAUGCAGUUGAACACUGGGUGAAGGCCAUGACAAGAAUUGAUUAAAAAAUUCUACCACUGUUUUAAGUAAUGGAAGAUUAUUAUCUCUGAUUGGCACCACAACAGCACAUGCUGCUAGAUCUUUCUAGACACUCCAUGCAAUGAAAGUACAAUGGAUCUUGUAACGAUAGAAACUAAGCCAUGCUACAGUACUAGAUGACGAGGUAAAACUAUUAGACAUGGGUGGCAGCCUAUAUGGGAGGGACACAAGUCUAAUUGAUUUGCAUUUCAGCGUUCUAGAUGGGUAUGUUUUGGAAGAUUUGUUCUGGAAAUACCGCACCAAGUAGGAUUCUUUUUUCUCUUGAGUGGGUCCACUUGCAUGCCAAUUAUCGAGUUGAAAAGUAGAGCACCUACCUCGUGCUCGUGGAACCGAAGGUCAGUGAAGUGGGGCUCCUUUUGGCCUCUUGUGUUUCUGUUCCAACCAAGGCGGCGGAGGGAAAAACAGCAAUAUGUCUCCGCUAAAUAUCAACGCAUGAUAGCGAAUGAGGGAGAAAAAAAGUAAUUGGCAUCUCAAUCUCACAAACUUGGUACAGUAGUGACAUUAAUAGUCUUCCACAUGGUUUUUAUUUUAUUUUAUUUUAUAUUUUAUAUUUUCCAUUUUUUUAUUUUUUUGUAUGUCAAGGCUAAUGAAUAAAAUGCGUUAGCUUGUUUUGUGAUUGGAACUGCAAAUGUCCAAAUUGGAGUUUCUCCAUUUCUCAGUUCGGAUGGUUAACUUUAUAAACAAGAUAUAGGAAACAUGUGAACGUCUUGAGGAACAAUUCGAAUUAUUGAUUAGAACUCCUAGGUUGAGUUCCAAGAUUUAAAUCAGACCCCUCUAGCAGCUUCAGGGGUACCUAGCAAUUAGAACAUAUUAAUGAAGAUUUAGGAUUUAGACUCCGGAAUACAAAUUAAUAUGUAUCUUAUGCUCUGACUAGCUUCCCUGCAUAUGCACAAAAUGGAGAUGACCCAAAAAAUAGCAGAAUCGCCUUAGUUUAUGUGGUUAAGGUGAUUCUCCGGUUAAUAUCCACAUUGGCUCAUUAUGCAAAUCAACUGAGCUAUUUUUUUUUUAAUGUCAAAUAGGAACUCCUAAUUAACCUAACCAUUGGCCUGUGUAAAUUGAUUUCACAUGCACAAUGUUGUAGUAGAAGUCCACAUUUUGAAUUUUAUUUUUGGAAAGGUAAGGAAAAUGAAGCAUUGUGUAAUUAUAAAAAUAACUUCAUUGGAAUUCACAAGGUUCACCCAAAAUGGAGCUACAUCCGUAUUCUAUCUUACAGUAGACUAUAUAGAUUGUACAAUAGUAAAUUGCAAAUACAAUUAAUAAGUCUUGUGUUUCCUUACUAAUAAUCCUUUGACAUAAACAUUGCAGCACUAAGGUCCUCUUGGGCAGACACCUUGCACCCAUGAGAGCACUAAGAGGAAGCAAGGCGGAGUCAUGGGUGCAAUGUCAUGACUUGUUGCACUAAGAGAGGCUUGGUGAUGGCAUAGUGCUGCAGUAGCAAGAAUGUUGCCUUGGCAGGGACACGAUCUAGGGACAGAUGCCAAGAAAGGCUUAGCACUCACAUGAGUUGCACAAAGAUGAAUGAAAUAGAACAUCAAAGAGACAUCUUGGCAAGCUCAAGAAAGACAUGUGGGUUGGUAAAUGAAUGGAUGCAAGAGGCAACAACAUGAGGAGUUUCAAAUGGAUAGGGAAUGAGUCAAAGACAUUUGAAAGCUACAAGUUGGAUUCUAAUUACGAUUGCAAUUUGAGUUUGAGUAGGAGUUUAUAUUAUGAUUGUAAUUGUAGUAUGAGUUGGACUAGGAUUGCUUAUCCCUAGUCAAAAUAGGAGUUGUUCAUGCCACACCCUAUGAAAAGAGUUUGAGUAGGGACUAGGAUUGCUUGCUCCUAGUCAAAUAUGGAGUAGGUGGUGCCACACCUAUAAAAAAAAAAGGGACAACAUGAGAGAGAGAGAGAAUGAAUUCACCAAAGAUAUUGUGGGAGUUUUGCUUUGUUACAUCUUGUAUUAUUAUUUAGAAUAGUAAUAAAAUACAAGUUGGGGCUAGAGCCCCAUAAUCUCGUGUGCCUUUGUGGGUUAUUCUUUAUUUGCCAUCUCGUGUGGAUUGGAUUAGAUUGAUGAGGCGAAAUAUUAUGUGGGAAAUUUAUGUUGGGACACUUACCAUAACCAGGUAAAAUCUACCAAGUCUUUUGUAAUAUCUUCUACAAAUAUUUUAGACCAGUUCUUCACAAAACAUCAUAAUAUGUUUUGUGUUUCUCUUGGAUUUUGAGUUGAAUUGUCUUAGAUCAAUUGAAUGCAUCUCAAUAUUAUUAUCUUGUUUGAAGGCUUGAUGAUUUUCCAUUUAACUUUACUUUCUUUAGGUUAUGCUUGAUUCCUUAAAAGUACUAAGGAAAACAAAAAAUAAAAAAAAAUAAAAAAUGCAGAGGGUUAGGACAUGUGUUAUCUAAUUGUCCUAUCCAAAGAUAUUAAGAAAGUCAUGUAGGAAAGUAAUUGAAAACUAGGUCAAGAAAGGAGCAAAAGGGAAUUGUUUUGGUAUUUUCUUUUUUAUUCUUGAAGGUGGCAGAGCUAAAAUUUGAGAAAUCAAGCAAAACAUACUGAAAUUACAUUGAAAGAAAGAAAAUGGUAGUUAAUGUCUUGCAGUACAUGAUAAGGACUUCAUGCAUGUAGUGUGACGACCCAUGUCUUGGACUGAUGCCACACUCACGGUUACACUUAUACCCUUGGUUCUCUCUUUACUACCUUGGCUAACCUAGAUCAGGCUAUGAGAUAGGCUCCUCACCACACCAUCACUUGCCCAGUAAUUAGUGACAUUUUCAAGCAAUGAGGUAACAUGGUGACACCAAGAGGGUUUAUCCCUCGCCCCAACAAGUCUAGACUCGGUCUCAAAAAAAUGGAGAAAAAUGAGGUGUCGUUAUGCAGAAAUACAACAACCAUGCCUUCCUUAUUACUUAGAUUCAGAAUGUGAAGGUGAAAUUGAGAAACAGAAACUCUUGAAACCAGAAUGAAAAUUGAUACUUUUACGAAGAAUUACAACAUUAGAGGAAGACUACAUUCUUCCUCUAUAUUCCUACGUUUCUACACUACUUCUACUCCACUCCAUAUUUCUACAUACAUCUUUAAUCAGUUUUCCCUCCUUUAUAUAGAGCCAUCUUCACACAAAUUCCGCAAGGUAGAAAAGAGGAAUGAAACUUGGAGCAAGGUUCGACUACUGGUUGUCGCUUGUCAAGGCUGGAAUUGAACUUUUUUUCUUGGCUUUUCUGGGCAUAGGUAGUAACUUGUGGUUCCUUUUUGGAAUGAAAAUGGUACAGCUAGAACAUGUGGCACUCUCUUGUUGGAUUAUGUGUCAAACAUGUGGCAGCCAUCUAGUGGAGAUUAUUUCAAUUUUGGGAUGGAGAGUUGGCAUCCAAUUGCAAAGAAAUAUGACAUCUACCAACAUGCAAUGUAAACCUAUAUAGAUCAUAUGGAGAUAGAGAGGAAACAUAUAGAAAUGGAUAUAUACCUAGAACUAGCUUUUUAUUAAAUGAGACGGAGAGCCAACAAUGAAGGAAAAUCAAAAUUUUUGGCUCAUAUCAAAGAAUUCACAUUGUGUUACCCUAGGUUUUCUUAAAGCUUGCACAAAGCCAAAAAGCACACAAAAAAUUAUAUUUUCUAGCUCUCUACCUUGGAUGGUCUCUUGAUCCUACUUGGAGAUGUGCAUAAAUAAAAGGAUUUGAAAAUGACAAUUGACUAAGUAUGUAGUCAAUCAAUUACUCAUUAAUUGACUAGUUGAUCAAUUAACUUUGCAACAUCAUAUGCAAUCCUAAUAGCUAGUCAUCUAAUCAACUAGGUAGUAAAUCAAUAGGCCAAAAAUAUGUUUAUAAUGACUAUUUUGUACAAAAACCACCUAUAUGGUUAAAUAUAAUGCAUUUCAUUUAUAAAUCUUCUAAUUCUUGAAUAACGAUCCUAUCAUCCUUUGAAAGUUUUUAUUACACCUUUUAUACUUUUGUUCUAAAACUUACACAUGUACAUCACCCUUAAUUGUACCAUGAGAACCUAGCUUUUUUUUUUUUUUUUUUUGUAAUUCAUCAAAGUUAGCUUUUGUAUUCAUUACUGUACUAUUUUUAUUGUAACUUAGAAAGCGAGUGUUUUCAAGUGAGUGAAAUUGACUUAUAAAUAUUGUAAAGAUUCAUUGAUGUGUAUCUUAAACUAAGUGUACAAGUUGAAACAUUUGCUAGUAGAUUUUCUCAAGAUUUAGAAUAGAGCUUGAGGCUAUUGAAAUAGGUGGGGUUGCACCAAACCACAUCACAUUGUUGUUUGCACCUUUUUUUCACUCUCUUUUACUUAGUUGCUCUAUAUUUGUUGUCUAGUAAUAUCCUAUAGGCUUGAUGGGUUAGGGAGCAUCCCUUUGUGAAAAAUUUUCAUUCAAUCCUUAGUUGUAUCACGCAUAUAUAAAAUGCCUCAUUGUUUUAAUGGUAUUCAGUCGUGGCAUCACAGAUAUGGGCAUCUAAAUUUUAAAAGUUUGAAACUUUUAUCUAAAGAAAAUAUGGUGCUUUGCCUUUUUGUAAAGCAUGUUGAUGAAAUCCAUGAGAAUUGUGUACUUGGGAAGCAACAUCGAGAUGACUUUUUUUUUUUUCAUUUUUUAUAAUGCGACACCUAAGUCCGGUUUCUAAAUGCUGAAGUGAAAGGGUAGGUAUGGACCAUUGAAAUCUGAUCACAACUUUUGGCCUUUUCCUUUCUCUGCAGCCAUGUUGUCUCUUUUUUCUUUUGCAUGAUUUUCUUACCUAAACAGAAUCAUAGACUUGUUUAAUCUCUAAAUGGUAUUUCAUCCAGCUUUAAGCUACUGUAUUAUAUCUUGGUGGAGGACUUUUAAGAGUGAAACCGACAUAGAGCACAUGCAAGUGGGUAUAUGGGACAUGAAAUUUCUUCUUAUAAAGACUGCAUGGUUUUUAUAUUAGAGUUGUUGAGGCGCAAUGUAUUUAGCUUGUUUUGCAGUUAAAUUAAUUGGAUAAGUAGACAUUGUCGUUUCUAAAUUUCCCACCUAAGAUAGUGACCUUAUCCUUGACUGCUUGAUGAGAUACACAAACAAUUAUACCUUCAAAAUCUACUGUGAAGUGCUUCAUGUAUGUGUGAAGUAUUAGAAAUUUCUUUCUUGGCAACUUGUUUUUUCUUUGCCCUCUACUGAUAGGUUUGACUCAAAUUAAAUUCCCUGUCAUGCUAAUUAAUUUUCACGUGCAUGCUCAAAAGGAUCACGUCAACUCUGGUUUCUACUAUUCAGGUCCAUUCCCAGAUAAACUGGUUCAAAUUUGAGAAAAUGGCAACAGCCCUUUAGUGAUGUUGGUUUGGAGCCAGUAGCCAAACCCGCCCUGAGCUUUACCACUAAUGUCAAGGGACAAAGCCAUUUGAACAAAAACAAUAGCUUCAAGAGACUGAAUCGUGGAUGAAAUCUGAUCCACAUUUCUUCUCAUUUUGGGAACAAAUGAGAACUUAACUACAAAGAUUCUACUGCCUCAUAGUGCUUUUCCUGAUCUAAGGUUGGUUCGUUUCCCAAAUUGUGAGGUACGUGCCAUUCUCACGCUCAGGAGUGUAUCCACGUGGUGGACAUAAGAUGGUGGCUUAAUAUCUGGUGUCGGUGGCUUUACUUUACUAGGAGAGUAGUGUGUCUUCAUCUCAUUCACUGCCGGAGGGUGGCGUAAGCAGUGACGCUAAGGUGGGGCACAGUCAAUAUCAUUUGCAUUUGACCAUUAUAGUUUUCUCCCGGCUUGAAAGUAACCUUAUCGUGAUAAAGGAUUACUAGCACUAGUUCAGAUGACAGUCAUGUUAAAUUCGGACCAUGUUUGUGUCACAUUAUCAGCAACCAUGUGUUUAUGGUUCAUGCUAUCUGCAACUAAACUUGAUAUAUAACCACGUGAACUUCAAUCUAAAUUCUGGAAGUACUCUUGUGAUAGAUGGUGCCUGUCUGCAGAGUCCAUCAAUUGAAAAAUGGAGUGAGUGUAUCUAUAAGAGGGAAGGCUUGGCAAAUGUUCAGUUUUCUGGGAACUCAACAAGGAUCUAAAAUAGAUUGUUUUCUUUGCUGAUUUCAAUGGUUGAAAUUUGAGAAGAUUGUGUCCACAUAACACAACUAUUACUGGUCCUUCUGUUGCAAUUUAUCCUCUAAGGCUCUAACAUGUCUUCCAAUUCCCACUUCCCUGUUACUCCAGGAAAGCUAUUUCUGUCAUUGUGAAGAAGAAAAGAGAAUGUACAUAUCGAUGGUUUUAAGUGACUGGGGCAUUCAUAUCAGGUGGUCUGCAGCCAUAUAUGCCACUUUGUGAAGGUUGGAACAGUCAAUCACCAGGCUAUAUUAGUGUGGCCCAGCCACUUCAAUCAAGGACAAGUCUUCAUACUUAAAGUCAAAUUCUGCCUUUAGUCUCAUUAUAAAUUGCUGUUUAAAUAUUAAGCAAACAUUUGUUUAAUGCGAUUAAGACAGUACUAACUCAAUACUUGUUCUAUUUUUGGAUGCAAAUGCUUGAUGGUUUCAUCAUUGGAUGGGAUAAAGGUGCAUUCAUGAUUAUGAAUACUUGUAGUUAUAUUUUCAUUCUCUUUUUUCUCAAUGAGACUUGUUGGCACAAUUUUGCUGUUCAGAAACCUACCUCUCCAUCGAAAAUCAGUUGUGAUUGAUAGUACUGGAUAUAUUCAAGAAAGCUAAAUAUAGAUAGCACCAAAUAUUAUCGAUAUAAAUAGCAUUAACAGCGUACGUAUGUCUCAAUGCUCAUCAGCUAUAAGCAACGGGCAAACACUUACUAUGAGCAACUUGCGUCAAAAUUCCAGAAUAGGACAUAGAAGUGACAGAUCUAUAUAUAUAUAGAACACUGCAUAUGAGUCACAAGAAAGGAAAUUACGGGUGCAUAGCAGCUCUUAUUUUACAUCCUACUCAUACUGAUCAAAGUCACUCAGUUGGGAUGGGUGGGAGUAGGAGGUUUGUGGGGUGGCUUGUGCGGAGGAGUUGGCAGCUUCUUUCCAGGACCUGGUUGCUUCUCUGCUGGAGUUGAAGGAGGCUUAAUCUUCCGAGGUGGCUUGUAUGAGUCUUCAGCAUUCUCAGCAGGAGGGUGACCAGGGUUGUGACCAUAAUGUGGUGGCUUCUCUCCCUUAGGUGGUUUGCCAACUGGGGUUGGUGGCUUGUAUGAGUCUUCAGCAUUCUCAGCAGGAGGGUGACCAGGGUUGCGACCAUAAUGUGGUGGCUUCUCUCCCUUAGGUGGUUUGCCAACUGGGGUUGGUGGCUUGUGUUCUGGGAGUGGCUUCUCCCCCUUGGGAGGUUUUUCCAAUGGGGUUGGUUUGUGUUCAGGAGGUGGCUUCUCCACUGGAGGCUUGUGUUCAGGAGGUGGCUUCUCCACCGGAGGCUUGUGUUCAGGAGGUGGCUUCUCCACCGGAGGCUUGUGUUCAGGAGGUGGCUUCUCGAAUGGGGGAUGCUCAGGGUAAUCAGCAAGUGAGGGGUUGGUGAGAACCACCAUGCCAAGCAACAGGACUAGCAAGUAUGUAGGAGACAUCUUUGGGUUUGGACUUAAGACAGUGGAAAACUGCGAGAAUUCUCUAGCCUUUUAUAGCGGGUCGACCCAGUACUCACAUGACACGUGUCAUUAUGACACAUGUGCCAUGGGGUCGAUUUGGGUCCUACAGUGUUGAAAAGUUGGGCAUUUGAGGUGUGAGCACAACUUUUGGCCUUUGCUUUCUCUACAGCCGCCAUGCUUUUCCCUUUUUUCCUUUUCCUUUUGUUUUCCUCCUGCCUCGUGUUCUCAACUAAACACAAUUAGGUUGUUUAAUUGUUAAAUGAGAUUUUUGUCUGUCAAUCAUAUUAUAUCCUAUCAAGAGAGAACAGAGUGUAAUGUAGUACACAUAACACGAGGCAGUAGUAAUUUUAUCAUUUAUUUUUAUAGCUUGGACCACCGCAUUUUUUCUUCUAAAAUAUUCUGUCUUGUUAAGAGACGCAAUAAUACACAAUUUUAUCUGCCAUUCAACAUUUACUGUAAAGUUCUUUUAUCUCUUUGUAGUUCUAGAAAAGUACAAAAUGGAACAUCAUGUAUAUGGUGCCUUCUGUCCUAAAAAAGAAACUGGACAAAUUAUGAACUGCAUGCUAAAAAGAGGCAAAGGAGCUUAAUUCGCAGCAUAAUUAUUUUGGUUUCUAGAGAGCCCGGGGCCUUUUGGUUGGUUUGGGGUCAGAAAAUGAACAUCAUAGGGAUUGUGCCCUUAACUGGCCUUGUUACUACAAAGAAAUUGCCAUAGAAAUUUAUUCCAGGCUGAGUAUCUCCGGAUAGACCCCAGAAAAGAAGAGUCAUAAUGAGAAUCAACCUUUGUUGAGUUUGAUUCCAUGCCUCCAUUGUGUUCAUUUCAUGAAUCUGAUUUGCAUUUAACAUUACAGUUUUGUUCUGGAAACAAUCAAAGGAGCAUCGUUUGCUUCUUGGGUGACCCAUAGUGGUGGGUGGGUCGAUUUGCUUAGUUGAAAAUUGGACAAUUGGCUCCAUCGCCUACCUCUUGGAUUCCAUGCUCGGAUAAAACGACAACAAAUAAAUAUUUAUAACUUACAACUGGGGAAAGGAAAAAAUAGUACUAAAUUCAUGGUACAUGAUAGUGAGAGAAGGGGGUGUUACACUCAGCUAAAGUUCUUUUCUAAAUAUUGCAUGGUGUUUAAUUUUAUGUGUCGGCGCGCGUGUGAAUGGAACCUGCAAAAGUCCAAAUUGGCGUUUCUCCAUUUUCCACAUAGGAUGGUGACGUUAAUAGACAAAGAUACAAUAUCUGUAGACAUUGCUUAAAAAUCGAUGUGAAGUAUUAGAAAUUACAGGCCACUGUACUGGGGGAGCGGCUGCCCCGCCAAAGGAAGAAUGUAGCAAUUUCUUCUGUUAGCCAGGCCUUAGGAUUUAUGCAUGGGAUGCCUAAUAACAAACAGAGAAAAUAUGCUUUUGGGGAAGGUAUCCAACAACAGACACCAUCAUUCAGAUGGUGGGAAGGUAUCCAACAGAUGCCAUCAUUCAGAUGGUAACAUAUAUAUACAUUUAUUAGUGAGUUUUUUUAAUACCUAUAAAAAAAAUAUACACUUUGAUAUUGUGGCUGAAUCCAUUACAUACUCAACUAACCUUGCUCAUUAGGGAUUUGACGUAACAAGGGCAACGUUGCAGUAAAAGCUCGAAACUUUAUGCAGGUGACAUUACAUUUGGUAAAGAAGAGGAAAAUAAGGAAAGCCAUCCAUAAAAGCAAAAUUCCUCAUGGGAUGAAAUUCACAAACUUCAUUUACGUUAGAGUCGCAUCCAGGCAAUUAAUUCCACAUUAGACCGCCUUUUGACAUGUGUACGGAUCUUUUUUCAAAAAUUAUUUAUAAAUAAUUGAUACUUACAAAAAUAAUUUAAGAUUUAUAAAGGAUAAAAAAAUAUUUUCAAAUCUAUGACAAUUUAUAAAAUAUUAAUAAAAAAUUAUCUCUUAAACUUAGUAUAGUUUUAUCGUAUUAAACUUUUAUUUUGAACAAAUAAUUUUAAUCUAAGUUUUAAAUUCUAAAAUUAUUUCCUUAAAAUAAAAUUUUAAAAUUCAACACUUCAAUUGAAAUUGUCUUUUAAAAAAAAUAUCUUCUUAUUUUAAUCCUUAUAAACUAUAGUUGAUUGAAAAUACUAUUGAAGUUCUCUCUUCAAAAAAAGUCUUAUUUUAAUCUUCAUAAAUUGCCCUUGAUUUGAAAAUAAACUUUGGGUUAUCAUAUUUUAAAUAAUAUAUAUAUAUAUAUAUAUAUAUAUAUAUAUAUAUAACAAAUACUCUAUUUUUUUUUUAAAUGAACUAAUUUUAAUUAUAUUUUAUUUUAUUUUUUUAUAUAUUUUUAAUGAUAAACCAAACAUAGAAAAUCAUUUUUCUAAAUAUUUUAAAAUUUCUAAGCAACCAAACAUAAUCUUCAAAAUAAAAGGAGAAUAAGGAGGGACAAGUGAGAAAUGGCGAUUAAAAAAAAGUGUACAAAAGCUCAAUUAAUUUUCUUCUAGUCUUUUAUAUAAAAAAGUAUUGGUAUGUAAAUUAAUAUUUGGAUUUUAAUAGUAUUUUAUUUGUCUUUCUCUAUCUCAUGUAAAAGAGAAUUUAAGAUAUUUCCUAAAGCAAAGCAUUAGUUAUCUGCAAUCAGUGGUGAUCAUGGUCCAUGUCAAUUUCGGACCCAUAUCUUAAAACCGUAUAAUUUGCGUUUCAACAUUACUGAUUUCUCAGAUGUUUCAUACUCCACAGAAGAGUAUUGUUAGUGAAAGCAUUUUGUAACUGUUACUCAUAGUGUUUUGACUCUGGCUCAACAACAUCAGCCAUUGACGGAUUUUCAUACAUGCAAAUCAAAUAGUCUUCUUCCUCCCUUAGGAAUUUCGGUUUAAAUGUUAUUAAGCAUACAUUUGGCUGACAAUUAUUAACCACUUCAUGAUAUGGUUUCUUACCCUUAAUCAAUGGUUUCUAAGUGAAUAUAUGCAGAAGGAAAUCUGAACUGUAGACAGCAGUAUUGAUAACUCUCAAUAUUCUUUAUAUAAGAGAAUAAACAACGUCAUAGUGAUCGUCGCCUACAAGAAAGGUACAUUUCCCAACAAGAUGUAGUGGUGACUGCUACAUGGACGCAAUUAACUCGUAGAAAAGGAUAAGACCAGUGCACGGCAGCUCUUAUUUUACAUGCUAAUUAUGCUAACCAAAGUCACUCAGUUGGGAUGGGAGGGAGAUGGAGGUUUGUGCGGUGGCUUGUGGGGCGGAGUUGGUGGCUUCUUUUCAGGAGCUUGUGGCUUUUUCGGAGCUGAAGGAGGCUCAAUCUUAUGAGGCGGCUUGUACGAGUCUUCUUUACUCUCGACAGGAGGGUGACCAGGGUUGUGACCAUAAUGUGGUGGCUUCUCUCCCUUAGGUGGCUUGCCAACUGGGGUUGGUGGCUUGUGUUCAGGAAGUUGUUUCUCUCCCUUGGGAGGUUUACCAAUUGGGGUUGGUGGCUUGUGUUCUAGGAGUGGUUUCUCUCCCUUGGGAGGUUUAGUGGGUGACUUGUGUUCUGGAGGUGGCUUCUCCACCGGAGACUUGUGUUCUGGAAUUGAUUAAAAAAAUUCUACCACUCUUUUAAGUAAUGGAAGAUUAUUAUCUCUGAUUGGCACCACAACAGCACAUGCUGCUAGAUCUUUCUAGACACUCCAUGCAAUGAAAGCACAAUGGAUCUUGUAACGAUAGAAACUAAGCCAUGCUACAGUACUAGAUGACGAGGUAAAACUAGUAGACAUGGGUGGUAGUUGAUUACUACUCAAAAAGUACUCUUUUAUAGUUUGAAACUAACUGUUUUAAACACUUUUGAGUAGUAGUUAAUAAAUUUUAACUCAAUUGGCACAUUAAGGAACCUAGCAAGGGUUACUAAUAAACUUUUGGCAAGUUUUGGUGUUUUUGGUAGUUAUUCGAUCAUUGAAACAAGCCAAGAAUGAGGGAGAAUUUUGUGAAGUCCAUGGCAAUGCAAGUUAAAGCUCAAAUACACGAAGAAUCCAAGCUUUGGAGCACUACAUAGCCCUUUGCCAAGCCAAUUAGAGAUGCAAGGAACAAAACCAAAGGAAGAAAUCCAACAACCAACAUUUUCGCAUGGUUGUGUGAAAUUUCGCACACCAUGCGAAACCACAAGAGGUAGCCAAAGAAUUUCACAUGGUAUGCGAAAUCUUCUCAUGCACCGACUCCGUUAGAUUUUUAUCUUCAGAUAUUUUGUGUAAUUUCCUAGUUUCUCCUUGUAACCAACCUAGAUAUUUUCUUUUAUAUCUUUUUUUAUAUUUUUUAGGUAACAUCAUAUAUAAGGGGAGAGACAUAAGGAGGAUAUGGAUGUUUUUCAUAGAACACUUGUAAAUUUUCAGUAGUAAGAAAUAUACAAAGCUUUUUGCUAUGCCUUACCUUCUCAUUUUGUUUUCACCUGUCUUUCUAGCCAAACAACCUCUAAGGAUGAUUUCUCAGGGGAUGAGUGGCUAGGUUUUACGUUUCUUGGAGUGAGGGAAGCUAGGUGAAGGACCUGAAUGCAAAGAUGAGAGUUUUCCUUGCUUUAAAUGAAAGUAGUUGUUAAACAUUAAUGGUUUUUAUUUUAAGGUUUAGCUUUAAAUCCCUUAAAAACACCUUGAAUGACCAAUACUUGGUAAGCUUUUCGGAUUCUAUGGAUGCUUAUUGCUAGAUCCAUGGAUGUCUAUUAGUUAUCAUUUACGAGCCUUUGGAAGGUGAUUCAAGGUGAGGGUCUUUAGUGUUUGAAGCCAUUAAUGGGAAGCAAUUACCAUUUUUUCAUGAAUCCUUUGGAUCAAAUCUUAAUUGCUAAAUAUAAAACCGAUUUGGGAAAUAACCAUCCUUUAUGUUAUUAUCCCCAACGCAAGGAGAAGAUCCGGAAUCUUCCCUUUUGUCUAAGGAACCCGAUCCUAGUGACCUAAAGCUCCAAGAGACCUUUUCUUUGUAGUUAACUUCAUUUAUUGUUUUUGCUUAACUUAAAAUCAAUCUUUGCAACCACAAUUCCAUUUUCUUUAAAAGCUAAUUUUUAUAAGGAAAAACACCAUUUUAUUUCCUUCACUAAGUCAACUGUACGAUGAAAACCCAUCCCUGUGGACGAUCCUAGAGCCAUUAUACUAUGUUAGCUAUGCUACCCUAGUGUGAGGUGAUUUAGGUUUUAUAAAUUUUGUUGAUAACACCCAUCUGAGCCAGAAUCAAAUGGCACAACUGAACCAGGGACGAAUCAAAUGGCGCCGCUAUCGAGGAUGGUGCCAAAGUACAUUGACAUGACUUUUGGUGAACACUUGUGAUCUUCAUCACAAGUUUGGUGAUUUUUCUAUUACUAAUUUUUUUCUUUGUUUUUAUUUUAGCUUAUCUUUUAUUUAGUUUUUAGCUAACCUUAACUUUUUCUUAGAAUUGUAUUUCUUCUAUUUUCUUUGUUUUUGUUUCAGUGAUCUUUAGUUGUGCAUGCCCUAUUGGAUAAGAAAUAUUGAGGGAAUACUUGUGAAGAUUGAAAAUCCUCGAGAAACUGAGUUGGAAGUGUGAUUGAACAUCAUGGAUGUUCCACCUGAAGACCAGAAUAGCCAACAUGGUUAAGAGGAUAAUUUCAAAGCAUACCGAUCCAUGAGGGACUGCAUGCAUCCACCUCGUAUGAGUGCACCGUCAUGCAUAGUGCCUCCCACUGAGCAACUAGUAAUCUGACCUCACAUUGUGCCACUCCUACCUACUUUCCAUGGGAUGGAGAGUGAGAAUCUCUACUCGCAUAUUAAGAAAUUCGAGGAGGUUUGUAAUACAUUCCAAGAAGGAGGAGCUUCAAUUGACUUGAUGAGGCUCAAGCUAUUUCCUUUCACUUUGAAGGAUAAGGCUAAGAUUUGGCUUAAUUCUUUAAGGCCAAGGAGUAUCCGAACUUGGACUAAUUUGCAAGCCGAUUUUCUUAAGAAGUUCUUCCUUACCCAUAGGACCAAUGGUUUGAAAAGGCAAAUUUCGAACUUCUCAGCUAAAGAGAAUGAGAAAUUCUAUGAGUGAUGGGAGAGGUACAUGGAAGCUAUUAAUGCUUGUCCUCACCAUGGCUUUGACACAUGGCUCUUAGUGAGUUAUUUUUACGAUGGUAUGUCUUCUUCAAUGAAGCAACUCCUAGAAACUAUGUGUGGAGGAUACUUCAUGAGUAAGAAUCCGAAGGAAGCCAUGGACUUUUUGAGUUAUGUGGCUGAAGUUUUAAGAGGAUGGGAUGAACCAAAUGCUAGAGAGGUGGAAAGAAUGAAGUCUCAACCUAAUGCUAAGGGUGGGAUGUAUGUUUUGAAUGAAGACAUUGACAUGAAAGCAAAGGUUGUAGCUAUGGCAAGGAGAUUGGAAGAGCUAGAAAUGAAGAAGGCACAAAAAGUGGAAGCCAUUUCUGAGACAUCAGUGCAAGCUAUGCCUUGUUCCAUUUGUCAACCUAAUGCUAAGGGUGGGAUGUAUGUUUUGAAUGAAGACAUUGACAUGAAAGCAAAGGUUGUAGCUAUGGCAAGGAGAUUGGAAGAGCUAGAAAUGAAGAAGGCACAAAAAGUGGAAGCCAUUUCUGAGACAUCAGUGCAAGCUAUGCCUUGUUCCAUUUGUCAAUCUUAUGAGUACCUAGUGGAGGAGUGUCCUACAAUUCCAGUAGUGAGAGAGAUGUCUGGUGAUCAAGCAAAUGUUAUUGAUCAAUUCAAGCCUAAUAAAAAUGCUUCAUAUGGCAACACCUACAAUUCAAAUUGGAUGAACCAUCCAAAUUUCUCUUGGAAACCAAAGCUACCUCAAUACACACAACCUGCUCAAGCACCUUAGCAAUCCUCGAAUCUUGAACAAGCUAUUGUGAACCUUAGUAAGGUUGUGGGAGAUUAAAAGUCCAUCAAUGCUCAACUGAAUCAGAGAAUUGACAGUGUAGAGAGUACAUUGAACAAAAGGAUGGAUGAGAUGCAAAAUGAUCUGUCUCAAAAGAUAGACAAUGUCCAAUAUGCAAUCUCAAGGCUUACCAACCUCAACACAGUGCAAGAGAAAGGAAAGUUUAUUUCUCAACCUCAUCAAAAUCCCAAGGGUAUCCAUGAAGUGGAGGCUCAAGAGAGAGAAUCUUCAAAGGUGAGGGAAGUCAAAGCAGUUAUCACCUUGAGGAGUGGUAAAGAGGUUGAUCAACCCACAUCCAAGCCAAAGCAUAAUGAAGAGAGUUUUGUAGAAAAAGAAAAGAGAGGAAAAUAAAGGAAAGAGAAUAGAGAAAAGUACAAAGAAAGAUGACCAUGAGUCUAGUGUGGAUGAAGAGCCCAAGAGGAUAGUGAUCAAGGAAAAUAUGAUGAAGAAACACAUGCCUCCACCUUUCCCCUAAGCUUUGCAUGACAAAAAAGGAACCAAUAAUACAUCGGAAAUUUUUGAAGUAUUGAGGCAAGUGAAGGUCAAUAUCCCUUUGCUAGAGAUGAUCAAACAAGUGCCGACAUAUGCAAAAUUCUUGAAGGACUUGUGCACUGUAAAGAGAGGGUUGAAUGUGAACAAGAAAGCUUUCUUGACCGAGCAAGUGAGUUCCAUCAUACAGUGCAAGUCUCCAGUGAAGUACAAAUAUCCGGGCUACCCUACCAUCUCAGUGAGUAUUGGAGGUACUUGUGUGGAAAAAGCUUUGUUGGACUUGGGAGCAAGUGUGAAUUUGCUACCCUACUCUGUCUAUAAGUAGUUGGGACUUGGAGAGUUGAAGUCAACAUCCAUCACCCUAUCUCUGGCAGAUAGAUCAGUGAAGAUUCCAAGAGAGAUGAUAGAAGAUGUCUUGGUUCAAGUUGACAAAUUCUACUAUCCAGUGGAUUUUGUUGUUCUUGAUACGGAUCCGAUUGUCAAAGGAACUAAUUAUGUUCCUAUCAUACGAAGACCCUUCCUAGCUACAUCAAAUGCAAUCAUCAAUUGUAGGAAUGGAGUCAUGAAACUCACGUUUGUCAACAUGACAUUAGAGCUCAACAUCUUCCAUUUGUACAAGAAGCAUAUCCAUUCAGAAGAAAAAGAAGGUCUAGAGGAAGUGUGCAUGAUUGACACUUUAGUGGAGGAGCAUUGUGAUCGACAAUGCAAGAAGAUUUAGUUGAGAGUUUUGGGGAUCUUGAUGAAGGGUUACUUGAACCCUCAGAUUUGCUUGCUACCCUACUCCAUUGGAGGAAGAGAGAAGAAAUUCUACCCUUAUUCAAUGAGGAGGAGACACAAAGAGCUGCUAAAGAUAAGCCCCCAAAGCUUAUUCUUAAGCCACUACCCACAGAGUUGAAGUAUGCAUACUUGGAAGAAGACAAGAAGUGCACUGUUGUUAUAUCUUUAGCUCUUACCAUUCAUCAGGAGGAUUGUCUACUUGAAGUCCUUAGAAGAAGUAAGAAGGUAAUAGGGUGGCAAAUUUCUGAUUUGAAAGGGAUCAGCCCUUUUGUCUGCACCCAUCAUAUUUACAUGGAGGAUGAAGCUAAGCCAAUUCAUCAACCUCAGAGAAGGUUGAACCCUCACAUGCAAGAAGUGGUGAGAGUUGAAGUUCUUAAGCUACUUUAGGCUGGUAUUAUUUACCCCAUAUCAGAUAGCCCAUGGGUGAGUCCUACUCAAGUUGUGCCAAAGAAGUCGGGGAUCACGGUGGUGCAAAAUGAUAAGGGAAAAGAUGUCUCUACAUGUCUCACUAUAGGUUGGAGGGUGCGUAUCAAUUACAGGAGGUUGAAUGUAGUGACAAGGAAUGACCAUUUCUCGUUGCCCUUUAUUGAUCAAGUGCUUGAGAGGGUCUCUGGGCAUCCUUUUUAUUGUUUCUUGGAUGGCUACUCGAGGUAAUUUAAGAUAGAAAUUGAUGUUGAAGACCAGGAGAAGACCAUUUUCACAUGCCCAUUUAGAACCUAUGCAUAUAGGAGAAUGUCUUUCGGCUUAUGCAAUGCACCCACAACUUUCCAAAGAUGCAUGUUAAGCAUUUUCAAUGAUAUGGUGGAGCAUAUUAUGGAAGUCUUUAUGGAUGAUAUCACCAUAUAUGGAAGUGCAUUUGAUGAAUGCUUGGUCAACUUAGAAGUUGUUCUGAACCGAUGCAUUGAGAAAGACUUAGUGCUUAAUUGGGAGAAGUGCCAUUUCAUGGUACACCAAGGGAUUGUCCUUGGGCACAUCAUCUCCAAGCAAAGCAUUGAAGUUGACAAAGCAAAGGUUGAACUCAUUGUUAAGUUGCCAUUCCCAACAAAUGUCAAAGGAGUAAGGCAAUUCCUUGGCCAUGCCGGGUUCUAUAGGAGGUUUAUCAAGGAUUUCUCUAAGCUUGCAAGGCCUCUUUGUGAAAUAUUGGUGAAGGAUGUUAAAUUCAUAUGGGAUGAUAGAUGCCAAAGGAGUUUUGAAGAAUUGAAGCUAUUUUUGACAACCUCACCAAUAGUGAGGGCUCCCAACUAGCAACUGCCCUUUGAGGUAAAGUGUGAUGUCAAUGACUUUGCUAUAGGAGCUGUUCUUGGGCAAAGAGAAGAUGGAAAACCUUAUGUGAUCUACUAUGCGAGCAAGACAUUGAAUGAGGUGCAAAGAAACUACAUAACCACCGAGAAAGAAUUGUUAGCUGUAGUUUUUGCCUUGGAUAAGUUUCGUGCUUACUUGGUGGGAUCCUUCAUCGUGGUUUUUAUUGAUCACUUUGCUUUGAAGUAUCUAUUGACUAAGCAAGAUGCUAAAGCAAAACUGAUUAGAUGGAUUUUCUUGCUUCAAGAGUUCAAUCUCCAGAUCAAAGACAAGAAAAAAAUGGAGAAUGUGGUAGUAGACCACAUUUCAAGGCUAGCUAUCGCACAUAAUUCCCAUGCUUUGCCCAUUAAUGACGAUUUUCUAGAGGGGUCUCUCAUGUUGGUGGAAGUUGUCCCUUGGUACGCUCACAUUGCUAACUACCUGGUCACAAGAGAAGUUCCAAGUGAGUGGAAAGCACAAGAUAAGAAGCACUUCUUUGCAAAAAUUCAUGCCUACUAUUGGGAAAAGCCAUUUCUAUUCAAGUAUUGUGCGGAUCAGAUAAUAAGGAAGUGAGUUCCUGAAGAAGAGCAACAGGGGAUCCUCAGUCAUUGCCAUAAAAAUGCAUGUGGAUGCCACUUUGCUUAUCAGAAGACAACCAUGAGGGUGCUGCAAUCGGGUUUCUGUUGGCCAUCACUUUUCAAAGAUGCCCACACCAUGUGCAAGAGUUGUGAUCGAUGCCAGAGGCUUGGGAAGUUAUCAUGUAGGAACAUGAUGCCUUUGAACCCCAUUUUAAUAGUUGAUCUUUUUUAUGUUUGGGGCAUUGACUUCAUGGGACUUUUCCCUAUAUCUUUUGGCUACUCUUACAUCUUGGUGGGAAUAGAUUAUGUUUCUAAGUGGGUUGAGGCAGUCCCAUGCAAACACAAUGACCAUAGAGUGGUUCUCAAGUUUCUUAAGGAGAACAUCUUCUCAAGAUUUGGGGUGCCCAAAGCCAUAAUUAGUGAUGGGGGUACUCAUUUUUGCAACAAGCCUUUUGAAACUCUCCUAGCCAAGUAUGGGGUGAAGCAUAAGGUAGCUACACCUUACCACCCUCAAACUAAUGGGCAAGUUGAGUUAGCAAACAAGGAGAUUAAAAACAUAUUGAUGAAGGUGGUGAACACAAACAGAAAAGAUUGGUCAGUCAAGCUCUUCGAUUCACUAUGGUCAUGUAGAACAGCUUACAAGACCAUUAUCGGGAUGUCUCUUUAUCACCUAGUCUAUGGAAAAAAUGCCAUCUCCUUGUGAAAUUGGAAUACAAAGCUUGGUGGUCAAUCAAGAAGCUCAACAUGGAUUUGAGCAGAGCUGGGUUGAAGAGGUUCUUAGACCACAAUGAGAUGGAGGAAUUGAGAAAUGAUGCCUACAUCAAUUCAAAAAUUGUAAAAGAAAAAUUGAAGAGGUGGCAUGAUCAGUUGAUUUCCCGCAAGAAUUUUCAAAAUGGAUAAAGAGUCUUGCUCUAUGACUCUAAACUCCACAUCUUUCCGAGCAAGCUGAAAUCAAGGUGGAUAGGUCCUUUUACCAUUCACCAAGUGCAUUCAAAUAGAGUAGUGGAACUACUCAACUCCAACAACAUCGGGAGCUUCAAAGUGAAUGACCAUUGUCUCAAGCCCUUUGUAGAGUCUUUUUUCUCGCGACAAGGAGGAAUUCAUCCUCCUUGAUCCACAUCAAGCUUGACAAGACCAGUUUUUUUUUAUGGACUUAGUCUUUCUAAAGACUAUCGAGUCCAUAACUUUUUAUUUUAUUUUUUAUUUGAGAGUUUUUCGGUAUUAUUACUUGUUUUGUUUUUUAUUUUUCGUUUUACUUUUAUUUGGUUUGAUUUAACUUAGAUUUUUUAUGAUCAAUUGCAGGGGGGAUUUCAAAUAGAGGAAAAACCAAGAUAAUUCGCACACCCUGCGAAAAUUUCGCAAGGCAUGCGAAAUUUAUGGCUCAUUUCGCAUGGGAUGCGAAAUUUCGCACACCCUACGAACCAAUUUCGCACACUUUGUGAAAAUAAACCAACCCUACGAAAUCAUUUCAAAUACUCUACGAAAUUUUCGCAGAGCAUGUAAAAAAUUUCGCAGACCAAACACCAUUUCGCAUACUAUGCGAAAAUGUAAGGGGUCUACAAAACCAUUUCGCACCUCCAAAGCCAUUUCGCACAUUGUGCAAAAAUGAAAAGUCGCCCUAUCAUCCAUUUUUAAACCCCUUGAGCCCUGAAAUCCCCAUUUCGCAAGCACCCCUGUCCUUGCGAAUCCCUCAUUUUCCUCUGCCACCUUGCGACCUUGUCCCUCUCCAUUUGAUAUCGUGCCCUGCGCACAUCUCAUUUCAAAGACUCGCACUCUGCGCCCUCUCAAAGCACGAACCCAAGGCUCACAUUCCAUUUCCGACAUGGCACAGACCCGAGGAGCCCUUCCCGCCCCUUCAUCGAGACGCACACCAAGGUAGAGAGCCUCUUUUGCUCAGAUGCCAAGUGAUUCUCCAUUUCAGGCCACGGAGGCCCUGCGGAUUCCACAUUCCAAGGGUAGAACAGCCACUGGUCCUUCCUCUUCUAUUCCUCAGCGUAGAUAUGAGACGAGGAGACCACCUACUACACAAAGGGCGACUACUUCGCGCCAUGAGAAUUCGGUACGACACCCUCCUGCCAAGAGGGCCAGGACUUCAGGCCCAGGCGAGUCAUCCAAAGCUUCACAGCCUGAGCCUCCUGCAGAUUCCGAGGUUCCUACUGACAUAUCAUCGGAGUCUAUUAUCAAACGCCCGAUGCUCACAGCACCGCCCAUUGAGGGCAACUCUGAUUGUAGAGCGAGACCUUUCCACUUGGAGCUAUAUUUUAAUUAAGAGGCCAUGCCACAGCAGCCUGAGCUCCAAGACUCUUAUGGCUUACUACAGAGGUACCAUCUUGAGGACCUUAUGACUCCUCGUGAGUUCUUUUAUCCCAGAGUAGCACUAGACUUUUACCAGUCCAUGACUACUCGUGGCGUCCCGAGUCCUACCGCGAUGCACUUCACCAUUAAUGGACGUCAUGGUAUCCUCGAGGCCAGACAUAUUGGAGAGGCUCUACAGAUUCCUUUCGAGCUAGAGGACCCAUCUGUUUUCUGCCAAUGGUCCCCAAUAUCUCAGAGGGACAUGGUCCAUAUUUUAUCCAGGGGGACAUCUACAUAUUCGAUCCUUCUACGGAAGGAGCUUCGACCUGGGAUACUCCUCGUAGAUGUGGUGCUACUUUCCAACCUCUUUCCCUUUUAGCAUUCGAUACAUAGGCGAGGAGCUAUUUUGGACGCUUUAUUCUGUAUAUCAGAGGGCUUCUACUUUGGCCCGCACCACUUGAUCAUGGUUUCCCUCAUCCAUUUUGAGGAGAAGGUCCAUAGAAAGAAGCUUCAGAGGGCGAACACCAUUCCAUUACUAUUCCCGAGGUUGCUCUACUAGAUCUUGGAGUACAUGGGCUUUCCUACUGAGCCUCGGCUUGUGUGCCGCCGCCUUUGUCAAGAGCGAUCCACUCUCGACAAAUGGAAUCAGUUGGCGGGCUAUUCUACACCUCCAGGAGCCCCUCCCAUGGUAGCACCUCUAGUGUCCCCACAGGCAGAGUAGGGCAAGCUCCCGGUAGAGACUGCACCCCUAGUGCCCACACCUGAGGCUACUUCUGCUGUUCCGCCUACGACUCCUACUGUUCCACCAGUUGGUCCUUUUACAUCUGAGUCUUCCAUCAACAUCUCGACUUCGGAGUUUCGCGCCCUUGUGCAUACCUUUCAGACACUCACCACCACACAUACUGCUCUCUUCUAGAAAAUGGCUGAGAUGCGUGCCCAUCAGGACCAGCAGACUACUAUACUCCGCCAAAUUCAACAGCACCUGGGACUUCUGCCUCUGCCUCAGCUUGACCUUCCCACAUCAUCAGAGCCUCUAGCUCCAGUUGAGGAUACUAUUCCACCUGAGGACACUACCACAGUAGAGGUUCAGAUUCCACCACCUCAGGAGGCCACCACAGCUACAUUAGAGGAUGCAUCAUCUCCACCUGAGGCUCCCACUACUUGAUCAUAGGACAUCUCUUUAUCUUAUUGUAUUUACAUAUUAUAUUACUGGAGAUUUGUCUUUGUUUUGAUACUUUAUAUUCUGGCAUUGAAUGUAUUGCCUAAUGAUAUCUCAAUUGUACUUUCUCAUAUUAAUAUAUAGACAUCAAUUUUUUUUAGUAUACUUAGGAUUUUUCUAUUUACUCUACUCAUUACUCUUUUGUUUUUUUUUUUUUACUCAUGUGGUUUCUCCUAUACGACUCAGACUCCAUUUCACUCAGGAGGUACCACUUCUUCCCUUUAUUUUCAAUUGCUCUUGAAACAUUGAGGGCAAUGUUGAUCUUGGUUGGAGGGAGAGUUGAGGAAGGAAGUGAUUACUACUCAAAAAGUGCUAUUUCAUAGCUUGUAAUUAACUCUUUUAAAACACUUUUGAGUAGUAGUUAUCACCUUUUAACCCAAUUAACAUAUUAAGGACCCUUGCAAUCAAUUCUAAUCAAAUUGUGUUAAGUUUUGGUAUUUUGAUAGCUUUUUUAUCACCAAAGCAAUCCGAGAUUGAGGAUAUUUAUUUGGAAUCCAUGGCAAAAGAUGUUUGGACAGGACGUCCGGACACACCAUCGGAGGGCGGCGGAACGUGGGCUGUGGCAGGCUGUCGGAAUGACGUAGCAAGGCUUGUGCACUUUAGCCAAUGAUCGGGAUAACAUAUCCGAAAUUCUGCUCCGCCGACAUUCCACCCGGAUGUCUCACAUCCGGAAUUCUGCUCCGCCGACAUUACACCCAGAUGUCUCACAUCCAAAAUUCUUCUCCGUCGACAUUCCAUCCGAAUAUUUCACAUCCGACGCUUGACGCCGGAUGGGAGAGGAGGGCGUUUCAACUUCCCCGGUCAGACAUAUCCGAAUCCUUUGAUAACGCUUACCCGGAGAGUUUCGCAGCCAUUUUGCACAGUGCCGCGGUGUUCUCUUGAAGCUUCCCGAUAUGUGCGACCGACAUUUUGAGAUAUUUUGCUUUAGAUAUUUGAUGUCUAAAUCCCCAAACUCUCCUUGUAACCCACCAAUUAUAGGAUUCCUUAGUUAUUAAGUUUGGAAAAAUGGUGAAUAACCCCUUAUAUAUAGUUUGCAAUUUUCAUAAAAAAGAUAUGUAGAAUCUCGGGAGCUUGUUCCCAGAGAGACGCAUCCUUUGUACAGUUUUGGAAGGAAGUAAAAUACAGAGCACUUGCUCUGCUUUUCAUAUAUAUUUUUGUUUUCUCGUUCUUUUUAUUUCUAGCCAAUCAAAGUCUGAGGAUUUUUCCUCAGAGGAUGAGAGGCUAGGCUCUUCGUCUCUUGGAGUGAAGAAAACUAGGUAAGUUUCCACAUGCAUAAAUUGAAAGUUUUGUUGUUUUAGUUUUUAAUGAAGAGAAAGUGUGACCCGUUAAUGGUUUUUAUCUUUUUAGUUAACUUAAAACGCCUUUAAAUCACCCGGGCCAACACUUGAUAAGGCAAGUGGUCUCCAUCCAUUGAGAUGCACUAGUUUAUCUCUUGCGAGCCUUUGGGAGGUGGUUUGAAGGUAGGAUUUUCUAGAAUAACCAACACUUGAUAAGCUUUUGGACUCUAAGGAGACAUCCAUUAGUUAUCUCUUGCGAGCUUUUGACGGGUAAUCCAAGGUUAAAGAUCACCUUGAAUGGCAAGUACUAGGUGAGAGGUAUGAGCCAUUGCAAGAUGCAUUAGUGAGAGGGAUUUAGUGUUUGAACCCAUUAAAGGGAAGCAUCUGUACCACACCGGUUCGGGAAAUAACUAUAUGUUAAAUCCCCAAUGAGAGGAAAAGAAACAAGUGACCGGAACUCCCUUUUUGUAUAAGGAACCUGAGCCUAGUGAUCUAAACUCCAAGAAACACUUUUCUUUGUAAGUAAAAUCAGUUACUAUUUUUGGUUAGUUUAAAACCAAACCUUUUUCAUUCAAACAUCUUUAUGUUUUCUUUUAAAGCUAACCUUGAAAUGAAAAGGCACCAAUUCAUAUUUGAAUUAAUAUCAAUUGUGAAGUGAAAACCCAUCCCAGUGAACGAUCCUAGAGCCACUAUGCUAUAGUAGCUUUGUCUUUGCUACCCUAGUUCAUGGUUUAAUAGGUUAUAAAUUUUGUUGAUUACUCCCACAAUCAAAGGAGCACCAGUUGGACAUGAAUCAACUGAGACACUAAUUGGGCACAAAUCAGGAAGUUUUGUUAAUAAUGCUAGGUUAAUUUGUUAAUUUAGUUACUUUCUGCUUAAUUUUAAAAGUUUUCACUUUACUUUCCAUAGUUAUUAAGGAAAAAUUCUCAAAAUGAAAUGGGAGAAAUUGAAUUCUUACAUUUUUACUUGAAUUUUAGAAUUUGUAUUAUGCUUAUUGAAGCUGAUGAAUUAUUGAAACUCCUAUUGAAUUCAACCUUAUUUCUUCCACUUUAAUCUUACCACACACGGUGCACAUUAGGUUCCGAUUAUAAGAGGUGCGUUCUUAGCCUAUUGGAGGUUGGUCAAUUUGUUAAAGUUUGAGAAAGAUCUAGGUUAGGGGAGAGAGAAUAGUCUGACAUACUAUAAUCGAAAACUAAUAAACUUAACACUUAGAUCUUUGUGGAAGAGUAAGGAUUGGACCUUUGGGAGUGGAAAUUCGUUUGAUGCUUAAAUUUGCAUAAUGCUUACACUUUAUAAAUUGUGAUUAGGCAAGAGAUUUGAUGACUCUUGUUCAAGGUUGGGUUUUGCCUCUUUGAUGUUCCAUGAGAGAGUAUAAUCCUCAUCAUGCCACUUGAAAUUUUUUUUGGAGUGAUUAACAUGAUUUUGUAAAUUACUUUACUGUCUAUUUUUUUUUUAUCUCUCCUUCAUUGCUAAUGGACUAGCAAUAUGUCAGUUGAGGGGAGUGAUUACUACUCAAAAAGUACUCUUUUAUAGCUUGAAACUAACUGUUUUGAACACUUUUGAGUAGUAGUUAAUACCUUUUAACUCAAUUGGCACAUUAAAGAACCUAGCAAGGGUUACUAAUUAGUUUUUGGCAAGUUUUGGUGUUUUUGGUAGCUAUUUGAUCAUUGAAACAAGCCAAGAAUGAGGGAGAAUUUUGUGAAGUCCAUGGCAAUGCAAGUUAAAGCUCAAAUACAUGAAGAAUCCAAGCUUUGGAGCACUUCAUAGCCCUUUCCAAAGCCAAUCAGAGAUGCAAGGAAGAAAACCAGAGGAAGAAAUCCAACAAUUAGCAUUUUCGCAUGGCUGUGCGAAAUUUCGCACACCAUGCGAAACCACAAGAGGCAGCCAAAGAAUUUUGCACACUAUGCGAAAUUUCGCAUGGUAUGCAAAAUCUUCUUGUGCACCAACUCCGUUAUAUUUUUAUCUCAAAUAUUUUGUGUAAUUUCCUAGUUUCUCCUUGUAACCAACCUAGAUAUUUUCUUUUAUAUAUUUUUUAGGUAACAUCAUCUAUAGGGGGAGAGACAUAAGGAGGAUAUGGAUGUUUUUCAUAGAACACUUGUAAAUUUCCGGUAGUAAGAAAUAUACAGAGCUUUUUGCUCUACCUUACCUUCUCAUUUUGUUUUCACUUGUCUUUCUAGCCAAACAACCUCUGAGGAUGAUUUCUUAGGGAAUGAGUGGCUAGGUUUUACGUUUCUUGGAGUGAGGGAAGCUAGGUGAAAGACCCGAAUGCUAAGGUGGGAGUUGUCCUUGCUUUAAAUGAAAGUAGUUGUUAAACAUUAAUGGUUUUUAUUUUAAGGUUUAGCUUUAAAUCCCUUAAAAACAUCUUGAAUGGUCAAUACUUGGUAGGCUUUUUGGAUUCUAUGGAUGCUUAUUGCUAGAUCCCUGGAUGUCUAUUAGUUAUCAUUUAUGAGCCAUUGGAAGGUGGUUCAAGAUGAGGGUCUUUAAUGUUUGAAGCCAUUAAUAGGAAACAAUUACCAUUCUUUCAUGAAUCCUUUGGAUCAAAUCUUAAUUGCUAAAUAUAAAACUAGUUCGGGAGAUAACCAUCCUUUAUGUUAUUAUGCCCAACGCGAGGAGAAGAUUCGGAAUCUUCCCCUUUGUCUAAGGAACCCGAUCCUAGUGACCUAAAGCUCUAAGAGACCUUUUCUUUAUAGUUAACUUCACUUAUUGUUUUUUCUUAACUUAAAAUCAAUCUUUGCAACCACAAUUCCAUUUUCUUUGAAAGCUAAUUUUCAUAAGGAAAAUCACCAUUUUAUUUUCUUCCCUAAGUCAACUGUACGAUGAAAACCCAUUCCCAUGGACGAUCCUAGAGCCACUAUACUAUGUUAGCUAUGCUACCCUAAUGUGAGGUGAUUUAGGUUUUAUAAAUUUUGUUGAUAACACCUGUUUGAGCCAGAAUCAAAUGGCGCAACUGAACCAGGGACGAAUCAACAACUUAUAUGGGAGGGACACAAGUUUAAUUGAUUUGCAUUUCAACGUUAUAUAUAGGUAUGUUUUGGAAGAUUUGUUCUGGAAAUACUGCACCAAGUACGAUUCUUUUUGUCUUGAGUGGGUCUACUUGCAUGCCAAUUAACGAGUGGAAAAGUAGGAGCACCUACCUCAUGCUCGCGGAACCGAAGGUCAGUGAAGUGGGGCUCCUUUUGGCCUCUUGUGUUUCUAUUCCAACCAAGGCGGCGUAAGGAAAAACAACAAUAUGUUUGUGCUAAAUAUCAACGCAUGAUAGAUGUUUUUGUUUUUUGGUAUGUCAAGGCUAAUGAAUGAAAUGCUUUAGCUUGUUUUGUGACUGGAACUGCAAAUGUCCAAAUUGGAGUAUCUCCAUUUCUCACUUCGGAUGGUUAACUUAUAAACAAGAUAUAGGAAACAUGUGAACAUCUUGAGGAACAAUUUGAAUUAUUCAUUAGAAGUCCUGGGUUGAGUUCCAAGAUUUAAAUUAGACCCCUCUAGCAGCUUCAGGGGUACCUAGCAACCUAUAGCAUAUUAAUGAAGAUUUAGGAUUUAGACUCUAGAAUACAAAUUAAUAUGUAUCUCAUGCUUUGACUAGCUUCCCUACAUAUGCACAAAAUGGAGAUGACCUAAAAAAAUAGCAGAAUCUAGCUUCCCUACAUAUGCACAAAAUGGAGAUGACCCAAAAAAUAGCAGAAUUUCCUUAGUUUCUGUGGUUAAGGUGAUUCUCCGCUUAAUAUCACAUUGACUCAUUAUGCAAAAUCAACUGAGCUAAUUUUGUUUAUUUAUUUAAUGUCAAAUAGGAACUCCUAAUUAACCUAACCCUUGGCCUGUGUAAAUUGAUUUCACAUGCCCAAUGUUGAAGUAGAAGUCCAUAUUUUGAAUUUUAUUUUUGUAAAGGUAAGGAAAAUGAAGCAUUGUGUAAUUAUAAAAAUAACUUCAUUGGAAUUCACAAGGUUCACCCAAAAUGGAGCUACAUCCGUAUUCUAUCCUGCAGUAGACUAUAUAGAUUGUACAAUAGUAAAUUGCAAAUACAAUUAAUAAGUCUUGUGCUUCCUUACUAAUAAUCCUUUGACAUGAACAUUGCAGCACUAAGGUCCUCUUGGGAAGACACCUUGCACCCAUGAGAGCACGAAGAGGAAGCAAGGCAGAGUCAUGGGUGCAAUGUCAUGACUUGUUGUUGCACCAAGAGAGGCUUGGUGAUGGCAUGGUGUUGCAGUAGCAAGAAUGUUGCCUUGGUAGGGACAUAAUCUAGGGAUAGAUGCCAAGAAAGGCUUAGCACUCACAUGAGUUGCACAAAGAUGAAUGUAAUAGAGCAUCAGAGAGACGUCUUGGCAAGUAAAUGAAUGGAUCCAAGAGGCAACAACAUGAGGAGUUUCAAAUGGAUAAGGAAUGAGUCAAAGACAUUUGAAAGCUACAAGUUGGAUUCUAAUUACGAUUGCAAUUUGAGUUUGAGUAGGAGUUUAGAUUCUGAUUGUAAUUGUAGUAUGAGUUGGACUAGGAUUGCUUAUCCCUAGUCAAAAUAGGAGUGGUUCGUGUCACACCCUAUGAAAAGAGUUUGAGUAGGGACUAGGAUUGCUUACUCCUAGUCAAAUAUGGAGUAGGUGGUGCCACACCUAUAAAAAAAAAGGGACAACAUGAGAGAGAGAGAGAGAGAGAGAGAGAGAGAGAGAGAGAGAGAGAGAGAGAGAAAGAGAUAAUGAAUUCACUAAAGAUAUUGUGGGAGUUUUUCUUUGUUACGUCUUGUAUUAUUACUUAGAAUAGGAAUAAAAUACAAGUUUGGGCUAGAGCCCCAUAAUUAAUCUCGUGUGCCUUUGUGGUUAUUCUUUAUUUGUCAUCUCGUGUGGAUUGGAUUACAUUGACUUAGAGGGCUUCUAAGCACCACCUUUGUGGGUUAUUAUUUAUUUUCCAUUUCUUGUGGAUUAGAUUAGGUUGACUUUGAGGGCUUUUAAGCACCACCUUUGUGGGUUAUUCUUUAUUUUCCAUAUCGUGGGGAUUGGAUUAGGUUGACGAUGAGAAAAAUUAUGUGGGAAAUUUGUGUUGGGACACUUAUCAUAACCAGGUAAAAUCUGCCAAGUCCUUUGUAAUAUCUUCAACAAAUAUUUCAGACUAGUUCUUCACCAUAAACAUCAUAUUGUGUUUUGUUUUUCUCCUGGAUUCUGAGUUGAAUUGUUUCAAGUCAAUUGAAUGCAUCUGAAUAUUAUUAGCUUGUUUGAAGGCCUGGUGAUUUUCCAUUUAACUUUACUUUCUUUAGGUUAUGCUCACUAUAAGAAAAAUGAGAAAUAAUGACGCUUUUUACGCGUUAAGAAAGGCAACAGAUGAUGCUUCUCUAAAGCGUCCUCUUCGGCUCUGUCAUUAUAUGUGUUAGCCAAUAAUGACGCUUCUAGGAAGUGCCAUCUUUGAAUAAUGUUAAUAACGACACUCGUAAAAAGUGUCAUCUUUAAACAUAUUCUGGUCAAAUAAUUUUUACAAAAUUAGUAAUCUUCAAGCCGUUUCUGAAUCAUAUCUGAGCCUAUUUCUGGGGACCAGAAAACCAUCUUUUUUCCAUUCGCCUGAGAGGUCUGAUUAGCAUUUCUGGAAUCAAUCUCUAAACCCAAGCUUCCCUCAUCUACCCAUUUAACCCUCAUGCCCUCCUGUUUGAACAACUUUCCCACUAUAUACACAAAUUUUUUACCUUCUGUUGUUGGUAUUCGACCUCUUCCCAUUCCCAGCACAGAAUCCACCAUUAGUGCCACUUUGUGAAUAAAAUCAUCGAACCAGAUCUUUCGGGCGGAAGAUGAGCUCCAGAGAAAUAAAAUUUUUGGGGUCUUCCCAGCAUGAAAGUCAUAGGUAGCAUUAAUGACAUCAAGAAAUGGGGCACUGUUGAGAAAAAACAUGUUCCCAUCAACCACCCAAGAAUUGUACCAGACUCCAAACACUUCUGGAUUACAUAUGCCUUUACUAAGAUAUAUUUCUUGAUCUCCAUAUCAGAAUCUUGGAGACUCUUCAUUUUAUGAGCUCUGACACUACUGUGAAAUUGGUCCACAUCAAUCACAGGAUGACCCCUUCUAGCAAGAUCAAGCAGGAAGUCUGAAUUCGGGCCCAUAAAAAUGUAGUUCUGAAUAUUGAAACUCUCAAAGUGGCACAACAAAUUCCUUAUGACUCUUUCAGAUGCUCCAAACAGGCUCACAAGUAUAAUGGUAUCCUGUUUUUGCACAGAGUAAAGAAAAUAUCCGAGUUCUUCAAAACUCCUUACAACUAUUCCAGGAUGUACUUCUUUGAAACAGAAAUCGUACCACUUUAGCUUAGUCAGAGGUUGAAUCUAAAAUAACAAAACCCAAACUGAAAUCAAAAUCGAAAUCAACCCUAAUAGAUUUCAGAAACAACAAAUUAAAAGAGUAAAGCACAAAAGGGGGAAAACACAUAUGAAGCAAUCUCCAUACAAGCCCUAACCUUAGAUAAACCCAAAAAAAAAAAUCAAAGCAGAGAGUUACCAUAGAGCAUCUCUGUUUCAAGCUUAGAAAAUGUUUAAUGCCAUUGAUAACUAGUUGGCUAGUGGUGGACUUCAAGCUUCUCUAUUUCGGUGUUAGUAGCUCUCAAUGGCUAUGGUGAGAACAAAGAAAUGAGAGGCUUAGGGUUUGGGAUGUGAGGUUAUUGAUGAUGAUGAGGAUAAAGUUAUGGGCUCUUGGAGGGGUUAGGGAAAUUGAAGAUGGCUGAGAGUAAAGGCUAGGGUUUUUGAGAUAGUUAAUAGCUUUUUAGGGUGUGACUGUCCAUAGAUAGAAGAUAAAUGAGGGUGUGAGAAUUUAUAGAUCUCUAGGUGAUAUGGCGGGUGUGAGAAUGAAAUUUUAGAGGGAAUUGUGUGUUUGGUAGAAAUUUCACACAUGCAUAUAUAAUGUUUCAGAACAUGGCACUUUAAAAAUACGACAAGGAAGAAAUUAUUUAUUGACGCUUAAAUAAAGCGCCAAGGUCUCCAACAUUUUUGCAAUCAAUGACGUUUGUAAAAGGUGCCAUUGAAUAGGAGUGCCAUUGCUUUCCCACAAAGCAUCAUUGUUAAUCAAGCCUUUAAAAAACGCCAAGAUAUGUUGCCACUUAGGUUAAAUAUUGACGCUUUUAAAAAACGCCAAGGAAAAAAACGUCAUUAUUCAUGUUUUUUGUAGUAGUGGCUUGAUUCCUAAAAAGUAAAGGAAAGCAAAAAGUAAAAAAAUAAAAAUGUGGAGAGUUAGGACAUGCGUUAUCUAAUUGUCCUAGUCCCAAAUAUAUUAAGAAAGUCAUGUAGGUUACUUGGAGUAACGAGUCAAGUAAAGCAAGCCUUCUAGUGUUUAAGACAUUAGAUAUUACCGAACUGAUUAUGUCAUUAAUGUAUUGCAUUUGUUGUUUCUAAUAUAUAGAAGAAGAUGAAAUUAUUGGAAUAAGUGGGAAAUAGGAAUAAAUCCAAGGUACCAAAAAGUCACUUUAUCUUAGAUGUUGUUGGAAACAUAAGUGAUUUCACAAUAACGACUAUGAGACAAUCAAGGAUUAAUAAGAUAGACUUUAUAUGAUAUACCUCCCAAUUAGAGCCUAAAAAUAUGGAUGAAGCACUUAGAGAUGAAUCUUCAAUUUUUGUACUAUAGGAAGAAUUAAAUCAAUUUGUUAGCUAUUCUUUGGAUAUUUGAUUCAUCACAAGCUACAAAUCACUUUUGAUGACCAAACACGAAACUAAGAGGAUUGGGCCCAAUUCGAUGCCUAUCAACAAUGAUUUGUAUUCCACCUCAUUAAUUAUUCAAAGUUGGGAAGCUAGGUCUAACCACUUUCUCUACCUGUUCACCCUUAGAGGAGCAGAAGAAAAUUCUAACUUUGGUGCCUAAUGCCUUUGACAAUCUUUCGACAAAGAGAGUUCACUAAUUACUUUGAUUAUUUCUCUGUUGGUCACUGGGGGACAAGACUUUUGUAAUGAAGUCAACUAGAACUUGCCCUUUGAGGGCCAUUCAUGGACGAUAUUACACCAUGAAUUCCCUUAGGUCAUGUUUGGUAUGUGAGAAUGAGGAGUGGAAUGGACAUCUUAUUCAUUUUUUCAUCUAUUCAAAUGUUGGGAUAACUCAAGUGACCAUGAGAAUGAAAUCAAGAAUGAUUCAAGGGAAAUGAAAUCUUACUUAUAAGUGUGAUUUCAAUUAAUCUCUAAUAGAAAUUAUUUUGAAUCAAUAGUGCAAGUUAUUUUUAAAAACAUUUUUCCAAAAUUAAAAAAAUCAAUUUUUUUUUUUUCGAUAAGUUGUUUUUAAAAGGAUUUUUUUUAUUUUGUAAAAAGAAAAUUGUAAUUCAAUUUAUAUAAUAUAAACUAAAUUUUAUUUUAUUCAAAAAGAAAUAAUUUUUUAAUUAUAAAUAAAUUAAAAAUAAAUACUUUUAAUAAAAUAUAAAUAGUAUUAUUAUAAUAAAAUCAUAAAUAAAUUUAAUUUUUUUUAUAAAUAUUAUAAAAAUAUGGAUAUUAACAUUGGAUAAUUGAUUUAUUUUGUUAAAAUAAAAAAUAAUAAUUUUUAAUAUUAUUUUAUGUUAAAUGAAUUUUAAAAUAAAGAAAGUUUAAUUAUUUUAAGGUAUAGAAGAGCCAAAUUUUGCAUUACAUACAUAACAAACAAUAUUUAUUAGAAACAUUUCUCAAGGAGAAUCUUAUUCCAUCUCACAAAGAUACUCGUUUAUUCGAUGUUUGACCAUCCGUAACAAUCAUGUCAAUUCUACUGAUUUAAUAAUUCCUUUACAUUUAUUACUCACUUAUGAACAUGGUAUUGUGAUUUAUUUAUUUAUUUGAUGUAUAAUUAAUUAAUCAAUUUUUUAAAUUUCAAAUUAUUUUUAAAAACUAUUCAUUAAGGAAUUUAAAGCAUUAAUUAUGUCUAUUAUUUUUUAUAGUCAUUAUAUAUAUAUUGAGUUUUAAUUUAUUUUUAAAAAUUAUUAAACUUAUUAAUAAAUUCAAUAUAAAGUCUCGUUUCAUUUGAAAUUCAUUUCUUUAGUGAAAAUUUUGAAAAAAAAAUUGUUAUUUAUUUUACUUUGUUUUAAAAAAAUUGUUUCUAGAGAACAAUAAUCAAAUAAUGGUAUGAAUUUUUAAAAACAAUUUUGUUUUUAAAUCAUAUGCCCAAAUAAUUUUUUUUUAUUUAGCAAAAAACUUUGUUGUAGUAUGUGGCUCAUAUUGAGGGAAAGACAUAUAUGGAGAAAAAUGUGCAAAUGUUGGAGUGGAGCGGAGUGGAAUGACGACAUUUGUCAUUCAAACUUGUAUUUUUAUUGUUAAGGGUGACCGAUAGGUUGGUACGGUUUAGGGGUAUUUUUGGAAUUUCAUUACCUGAGGGUUAGUAUAAAUACCAUUUUAUGUAACCCUAAUUUUACAUAUAAUGUAAGUUUUCUUCCUUGUUCUUGUGGACAUAGGCAAUCCGUCGAACCACGUUAAAUCUGUGUGUUUUUUUUUCUUUUUUCUUUUUCUCUAAUUUCUUCACCAGGAAUCGUUACACUAAGAUCAACAAACUCUCAAAGAUGAUUUUUAAAAUGAAAAAAAUAAUGUAUAGUGUGAGAAUUUUUUAUUUUUUAUUUUUUUAAAAUGAAAAUAAAAAAUUGCUUUAAGGUAAAAGUGUGGAUAUUAUUGUUAAUUUAUUUCAUUUUUCAUUUUCAUUUCCAUUGUUACCUACAAUUGAAAUGGAAACAACUAAUCAUUACAACCUUACAUUCUUAUAUGCAUCCAAAUACAAAAAUUGAAAUCACCAAAUUCAUAUUCAAGGCAAAAUAGGAAUGAAAACAAAUAUUCAUUCUCAUUCUUUAUUCCCACGUGUCAAACAUGACCUCAAAGUUAUAAACAUGAACAAGAAGUCCUUGAAACACCAAUGAUCUCUUCUGGUAUAUAUAUGAGCUUGAUUGACAACUGUUUUAAAUACAGUUUUUUUUUUUUUUGUUUUCAAAAUCAAAACAAAUUUAUUUUUAUUUUUUAUAAAUAGUAGUUUUUUAAUAUUUUUUUUAAACCUUAUUAUGAAAAUAGGAUGUUUUCUAAUAUCAUAUUUUAAUUAUUUUCAAUUAUUUUCCCUUCUUUUAAGGAGGGCUAUUUUAAAAAUAUGAAAAAUGAUACAAAAUAAAGCAUUACAAAUAAAAAUCAUUUUUAAGAAAUAUAUGAAAAUAAUUUGAGAACAUUUGAAGUUCCUUAAUUAAACUUUUGUUCUAGAAAAUGCAAGAAAACUGUUUUUGAAAAUUGUUUUCAUAAUGAUAUGCAUUGAUCGUUUAAAAUUUAAUUACAUGAUAAAAAGACCUAUGUAAAAACCAGAGUUAUAUAAUCAGUCAUAGAUCAAAUCUACUAAAUAUGAAAAGUAAGUACAUAGUUGUAUAUGACUUAGAUGGAGCCUUCUCCGAAUGACAUUCUUUAGUCGGUACUCAUAUUUUUUUGUUUCGUGUCUUCAACAUAACACCUCAUGAUCCUUAAUAAAUCACCUGAAAACUAUAUUAGCACCUUAUUGUUUAAUAUUUCUCUAAAUUUUUUUAUUAAGCAAAUAAAUUCCAAAUUUAAAAUGACAAAUAAAAUUUAUUAAUUUUUAAAAAUAAUUUAAAACUCAAAAACCAAUUUAAUUGAUAUUAAAAGUCAUGAAACUUAAUAAUAUUAGAAAGUCAUGUAUCCAAAUUUAUUUUAAAUGACUUGUUUAAUUUCUUGUUUAUAUAUAUUAUAUUUUUAUAAUUUUUUUUACUAUACAAAUAAAUUUUAAAUUAAACAAAACUUAAUGCGUUGAAUUCAUUAACGAGUCUAAUAAUUUUUAAAAGUUACUUAAAAUUUAAAUACUAAAUCAAUUAGUACCACAAAUUCAUGGAAAAAAAUUGAUUUAUUACUACUAUAUUGUUUCUCUAUUGCAUAGAACCAUUAUUUUUCAAUUUUUUCAUUUGGCAAAUGAACAUCAAAUUAAACAAGACUAAGUGUAUUAAAUUCAUUAAUGGGUCUAGUAAUUUUUUAAAAUAAUUUAAAAUUCAAAUAUUGAUACUCCAAAUUAAACAAGACUUAGGUGGUGUUUGUUUUUUGGUUGAAUAGAAAAAGGUAAAAUAUUUGACUUUUUCUAUUUAGUUAAAAGUAACUUGUUGACAUCGUCCAAUAUAAUUAAAGUAAACCUAUUGAGGGCAAGUUCACUUUAAUUAUGUUGGACGAUGUCAACAGGUUACUUUUAACUCAAUAGAAAAAAUCAAAUAUUUUGACUUUUUUUUUAACUCAAAUAAUAAAUCCAUUAAUACAAAAAAAUUAUGGAUAAUUUGAAACUUUCUUUCUUUUUUUUUUUUUUUUUGCUACACAUAGCUAUAUUUUUAUAAAUUUUAUCAUUAGAGAAAUGGAUUUCAAAUCAAGUGAAACUUUGUAUUGAAUUAAUGGAUUUAACAUUUUUUAAAAAUAAUUUGGAACUAAAAAAAAAAGAUUUAAUUACUAAGAAAAUCAUAGAUCAAAACUAAUAUAUUCUGAUCCAUGAUUUUAUUAUUUUUCCUAUACAUACAAUUAUAUUUUUAUAAUUUUCUCACUAGGUAAAGAUAUUAUAAAUUAAGUGACACAUAAUUAAUAAUUUAAAUUUUUGAAUGAAUCUUUUAAUUUUAGGAAUAAUUUGAAAUUUAAAAAGUUGAUCCAAUUAAUUGUAAAUUAACUUAAAAUAUUAUAAAAUAUUAUGUUCAUAAUUAAGUACUAAAUGUAUAUAUGUAAUGAAAACUUAACUAGUUACAUGUUACAAAAGCCAAAAUUUAUUCAUUCUUUAUUUUAAAUAAAAUAUUAUUAAUAAUUAUUUUUUUUAAAAUAAUAUUUAGUAAUUAUUGUUUUUAAAUUAUUAUUAUUAAUUUUUAAUAAAAAAAUUGCAAAGUUAUUAAUAUCAUUAUAUUUCUAACAUAAAUUUAAAUAGUAUAUUUUUUAAUAUAUAUAUAUAUAUAUAUAUAUAUAUAUAUAUAUAUAUAUAUAUAUAUAUAUAAUUUAUGAUUUCAUUAUAAUAUUUUUAUUCAUGAUUGACGAAAAAUUAUUUAUUGUUUAAUUUAUUUGAAUUGCAAAACUAUUUUUCAAAAUUCAAGCGAGAAAAUAGGCCUGGAUUUGAAUUUCCUGUAGAAGAGAAGGAUGUGGAGAAUAUGUUGGGAGUAUUUGUGGAUAAAGAAAAGGCCAGGGUACUGAGAAAGGAGAGAGAACUUGCUCUUGCCAAAAGAGCCCUGCACAGGUAUUCUACUGAUUCUAAUUAUCGGUUCUUACAUGAUCAGAUUUCAGAUUUAUUUGCUGAGCUUCUGAAAUCUGAUACAGUAUUUAAACUCCGGUGAGCUUUACAAGAUUAGUCUCGCAUCCAAUUCCAAAUGGUGUCCCACAAUUGAUUCUUCUUAUGAUAAAUCCACCUUGAUAUGUGAAAAUAUUGCUCGAAAGGUUUAUCCUCGCGAGGAAUAUCCAGAAUACUAAGGAAUUGAGGAGGCUCACUAUGUUUAUAGAGUCAGGGAUAGGUUGAGAAAACAAGUAGUUGUUCCAUUACAUAAGGCCCUGGAGUUGCCAGAGGUUUUCAUGUGUUCGAACAAGUGGGGAUCACUUCCCUACAACCCUGUGGCUUCAGUGGCCAUGAAAUCAUACAAGAGCCUCUUCUCAAACCAUGAUACAGAGCGGUUUGGUGAGUAUCUUGAGAAAGUGCAAACUGGGAAGGCUAAGAUUGCAGCUGGUGCAUUACUUCCCCAUGAGAUUAUAGCUUCAUUGAAUGAGGAGGAUGCCGAGAGAGUUGCCGAGCUUCAGUGGGCAAGAAUGCUGGAAGAUUGAUCAAAGAAAGGGAGGCUCACAAAUUGCAUUGCAGUAUGUGACGUAUCAGGAAGUAUGAGUGGAACUCCAAUUGAGGUGUGUGUGGCUCUGGGGCAGUUAGUUUCAGAGCUCAGUGAAGAUCCAUGGAAAUUAAGGUAAUGUAAUUACUUUCAGUGCAAAUCCUGAGCUUCACAAGAUCCAAGGAGACAGCCUUGUAUCCAAGACUGAAUUUGUGAGGAUGAUGGAAUGGGGUGCCAACACUGACUUUCAGAAAGUUUUGACAGAAUCUUACAAGUAGCAGUGGAGGGAAAUAUGAGUGAAGAUCAAAUGAUAAAGAGGGUUUUCGUUUUCAGUGAUAUGGAGUUCGAUGAAGCUUGUGGGAGGUAUAACUAUUGUGACUAUGACUAUGAUAUGGAGGAAAUUGACGAGAGUCAGAAGGCAUCUCAGAAGUGGGAGACAGAUUAUGAAGUGAUACAGAGGAAAUUCCAGGAGAAAGGAUACAGAAAAGUUCCAGAGAUAGUGUUUUGGAACCUUAGAAACUCAUCAGCGACUCCAGUGACGGCCACAGAGAACGGGGUGGCCUUAGUAAGCGGGUUUUCAAAGAAUCUGUUGACCUUGUUUUUGGAAGGAGGUGGAAUUCUGAUCCCUCAGGAUGUGAUGGAAUUCGCCAUCUCUGAUGAAGAUUACAAGAAACUUGUUCUAUUUGAUUAAGAUAUCAAGAGAUUUAUCAAUAAUAAUAUAUUUUUUUUCUAUGUGAAAUACAUAUAAUAUUAACUGUGGAGUUAUCAAAGUUCUGGAGGUUUAAUUAUUUCUUCUUUUCAAGUUUUGUUUAUUUAAGGUUUUCUUUGUCUUUGUUAGGAAUUCCCCUUGGGUGGACCCAGCUGGGGAGUUGGAUUGAGGAAGUAAGCAGGCGAACUUGUGUUCUUCUAUGGACAGAGAAAAAAAAUAAAAUAAAAAAAUAAAAAAGGAGGUUAUUUGCAUUUGGAUGUCGUGGUUUGAGGGUACAACUACAAGCUCGAAAUUGUACAUAAUGUGAAAACUCCUGUGUCCAUUGCUGAGAACAGCAUAAAUGAUGGUGAUUUUCAAGUUGUGCCUGGUAUUCUACAGGAUGAAACAAGAAAGGAUCCAGGUGGUAUAUUGAACAAUAUCCCAAUCAUGUUGGUGGCAUCUUUAUUUAGUUAAUGGUAUUCAUUUGGUGGAAGCUGGUUGUUUAUGAUGUUUUUAAUUUUUUUUAACAUGAAGUUCGAUCAAAUACGUAUCUUAGUAUGUUUUGUUUGAGCUAAUUGGCAAAUGCGCUUUAAACAUGGUCACAUGGAUGCAGUUUUAUUUGUGAAAUGAUAAUAGUCGAUUACUUGGUCAGUAAGGUUUAUAUCUCUAACUUCAACAUCUUAUUGUAGUCUUUUAAAAUGUCAAAAGUUUAAUGCUUGAGAAAUUUUGGAAUGGAGACAUUCUAAACAAAGUUAAUAAUCCACAAGACUUGGUAAAACCGAUCAGAUGAUGCUUACGUACAUCAAUGCCUUCUUUAAGCCAUAUCCUAUUUUCAUUGAACGGGAUGUGCCAUCUAGUUUGGUUCUUUAAGCCUCCAAAUCCUAAACCUAGUCUCAAUUUAGAGCAAAUUUAGGGUGCAGGGCCUGCAUGCCUCCCCCUCCCCCUUCCACAAAUAGUAGUGACCUUGCUAUGCCUAUGCAUUGUCAAUGCCUCAUUUUCUAUGGUCUCCAAUGUAAUAUCUUAGUUUCAAUGUCUCUUUCCUUACUAUCUCCAAUGCAAUAGAUUGAUUUCAAUACCUCUUUACAACUAAGACCUCCAAAUUUUCUUGGUUCAAACCUACCAGAAUUUUUCUUCUCCUUUGCUUUCUAUCAAUAUUAGUUCCCCUAAUUUAAUAUAUACUUCUUUAUUACCUUCAACUCUACCUCUCUUUCUUUCUCUAAAAGCUUCCUCAAAGAUUUAAUUGCUUUCUUGCAUGUUUUAAGAAAACAAACAUGCUCAUAUUACAUUACCUCUACUUGAGAUCUACCUUAUACUCUACCUUCUUUCUUUACCUCCUAUAUCAUCUACUACAUUAGCUUCAAAAAUAUUAUUUAGUUUGAUACUAAAUAAGGCUCCUAAUCCUACUCUUCCUUCAACAAACUUUCUUUUUACAAGUUCCUUAAACUUUAUUUUUUAUUUUUUAUUUUUUGGAAAUUCGGGUUAGAAAGAUUCCAUUACUCUUACCUAAUAUUUCAACCAUCAAGUUGAAUCCACUUAUUGCCUAAAUCCAAGGAGUCUGCCCUCCACAAAAACAAGGAAAUUGAUCCCACAAUAACAAGGAGAUUGCCUUCCACAGAAACAAAGAGAUCUCCCUUCACAGAAGCCGAAUACAUUGCAAUCUAUUUUCUUUCUUGUAAGAUCAAAUCUUCAAUCGAGCUCCAUCUUAUGGGGGCAUAUUAGAGAAAUUUAAUAUUAUCCUUAAUUUACAUAUUAAUAUUUAUCUAUUUAUUAUAUAUUGAAUUAAAAUAGAAUAUAGAAUUUGAAUCAUAGUAGAAGUUUACUAUAAGAUUGAAUUACAAUAGUUAAUAGAGUUUAAAUUAUAAUAACUCAAAUACAUUUAUAUAUAUUUGACCUUACGAGAUUUUCUAUUUAUGUAUUUGAACUACAAUCCUUAUGAUCCUUAGGUCUCUAUACCUUCGUGAUGGGCUCCUUGACAUUUCAUAGGUUGUGCUACACAUGCAUUUGAAAUUUAGAGUGCAUUUGACAGUGAUUCUGGGAAGUGUUUUUGGCAUUUCUAACACUUAAAAUUUUUUAUUUUUCAAGUAUUAGAAAUGCUACAAACACUUUUGAAAAUUACUGUCAAACACACUCUUAGGAGCGCAUAUAGUAGAAAACUAGAAAUUGUGGUUUUUUUAGGAUUUACUGUAAUGUCAUUAGGAGGGUAGUAAGUUGAAACUGAGUAUGAAUAAAUAUUUCUUUCUUUGGGAUGUUCUUCUGGUAGGUGCUGAUGAAACUGUUCUUUUUACUGCCAAUGUCACAUAUCAGCCAGAAAUUGAAAAUUUCAGUCAAGGUGUCCUCGGUUUUAGUGGUGAGGAAAGCUAGAAAUUUUAAGGUGAAGUUCUGUUAAAAACCUUAAGUAGCUGGGAUAUCAGGCCUGUUUUGCUUGAAAAAAAAAGUUGCAAGAUAACUCAUAUGCCAAACAGGUUCUGAUAUUGUGAAUCUAUCGGCAGACAUCAGUAAUCUCAUCUUCUGAGAUGGAUGUUGGGGGUGCAUGUGGUGGUGGAGGGGCAAGGUUUCAUUUGGUUUAUUUUGUUGAUGGAUAUUGUCUAGCCCCCUGCGCCAAGUUUGAGGGGUGGUGGGUUGUGAUGGCCCUACAAUUACUAUUAAUUUCUUCCUCUUUUACCGAUUAAAGUGUCCGAACAGUCGAAGUUACCCUUAUGCAUGUCAACUUGAUCACUUACCUCUUCAAUGGAGUUUAUGCUGGUUCAUUUAGGAACUGAUUUUUAUUGUUAUGCAUUCUAUGCUGAUGUUUAGGCCUCUCCAUCAUCACUAUAUACAAAAAUUCUAGGUUGAUACUAUAGGUUGAGAUUUAUUUUUUAAAUAAAAAAUAAUAAAAAUAAAAAUUAUGGUGAUGUUUAGUUGUUUUAUGGAAAAUUUUAACAAGUUAUUUUUGGGCAAGUUUUCAAACAAAAAGAAAAGUAAAAGUUGUUUUGACAAAAACAUAUAGAAAAAAAAAAUCAUAGAAAAGAAAUAAUUUCCCCAUAUUCUAACUUUUUUUAAUUUUUCUCAAUGGGCAAAGGAAUAUCAAAUCAAGUUUGAGUAGGAUUUCUUAAUUUUUAAAAUAACUUACAAUUAAAAAAUUUUGGUGUUUUCAUUUUUGGACAAUUUUUUAUUAAGCAAAUGGACUCUGAGUCAUGCAAGAGAUAUGGUUGAUUAAUGGGUCAAACAAUUUUUUUAAAAUAAUUUAAAACUCAAAUACAUAAUCAAUGUCACAAAAUUUAUAAACAAAAAUAGGUUUAGAGAAGAUCUACACAUAAUUUUACUUUUCUAAUUUUAUUUUAUUUUAUUUUUUUGUUGGAAAAUAGUCUUCAAAUCAUGUAAGAUUUAAUAGGUUAAAUUUGUUAACAAUAAAUUUUAAAUUAUAAAAUAUAAUCUGGAACUUAAAAAUCAAUUCAAGUAAUGCUAAAAAAAAUCAAAUUUGGUAUAGAAUGACUACGUAAAAUUUUUUACAAAACAAAUGAAUUUUAAAUCAAGUGAGAUUUAAUGCAUUAGAUUUUUAUCAAAUAUAGUAAUUUUAAAAUUUAAUUUGGAACUCAACAAUAGACACAAUAAAUACCAAAAAAUAAUGAACCAAAAUUGGUUUGGAAUAACUCCACAACCUCUUUUUUUUUUUUUUGGUGCACACGAAUUUUCUUACUAGGUAUAUUGCUUUCAAAUUGAGAAAGAUUUACUAUUUAGAUUUUUUUUUUUAAUGAGUUUAAUGGUAUUUUAAAAUAAUUCAAAAUUUCAAAAAUUGACUAAUUACUAUUAUAAAUUCAUAAACCAAGACUAAUUCAAAAUGCAUUGGGGGCUAAGGGGGUUGAAAAUAGGGACAAUGGGAUGGGUUUGGGACAUGACACUCAUAUCUCAUUUCCAUUCCAAUUACAUAGUUAUCUCCCAUCCUUAUCCCAAACUUGUGUUGGAGCAAGUUGAUUUGUUCCCAUCUUUGUUGAUGAAAUGACUAAUAACCUCAUCCCCUCCUUAUCUUAGAUGUACAUUUUGUCAAAUUUGAUCAGGUAUGAUUGAUCCAAGCCCUAACCCUAAUUGGUAAUGACUGGAUACUACACCUAAUUGCAUUCUUCUUUCGUCGCAAAAUAAUGAGAUUAUAAUAAUCUAGCAAAUAAGAAAAAAUAGUAUGGAAGUUCAAUUUAACACCAUAACUAUCAAUAAUUUUAAGCUUAUAGAUGACUUAAAUGAUUAAAAACUAAUGCAAAAUACCAAAAAAAAAAGUUCAUAUAAAGAAUUCACAAGAGAACAAAAUGAACAAAAACCAAAUAUGAACAUGGGUCAACAUUAGUUAUGGAUUUGGAUUCCUUUCAAGGCCAAUCUUUGAACCAAGACUUCAUCAAAUCUACUACUUCAAAGGCUUUUGUGUUCUUCUUGGGUUGUGCUCUCAAACAAAGACUUCAAGGUGAUGCUCUAGAUGAUUGCAUUACACAUAUUUAGGGUGGAGAGAUUGGAGAAGCUUGAAGAUGCCAACGAUGGGUACAAUUGAGUGGUCAAUAAGAACAAUGUAGCCUAUGACUAGUUUGAUGUCGUGGUACAAGAGUUUUAGGCAUUGAGGUUAAAGCAAGAGCAACAUGGAAUUGAUUUUGGAGUCUUUCAAUUAGUGUAAAGGAGGAAGAAGUGGUAUUGAUUCUAGAAAUAGGGUUUUAGGUGGUGCGUUAGAGGAUGAAGAAGAAGAAAAAGAAGGAUCUGUUGGAAUUAGUGUGAGUGUGAAGAGAGAAGUAUAUAAAUAAGGGGAAGUAAAAGCAAAGUUCUAAAAGCUAUAUUUUUUUUUAUUGUUGGUGUAUGGUUGCAUGAUUAUCCCUAUAAAUAAUAGGAGUUUUUUUGGUAUUCUACUAGUAGUUGAAGGAUAAUUUCAUAAAUUUAUAUUUAGAGUGGGGUGGGGUGAGUUGUGACAAAAUUCAUACCCGUCCUAAACCUUGGUUCAGAUUUUUAAAAUAUCCUCAAACUUAUCAUAUACCCAACUUUUAUAUUUCAUACUUGUCUUGAUAGAGGCAGGUUAGGCCGGGUUACUUGAGUAACCUACAUAAUUGUCAUCCCUAGUUGAAAUACACUUUUUUGGCAGUGGCCACCAACUGAGCUAGAAGCUUGAUCGAUUGACCUACAAGAUUAGUUCUCAUCAUUUUAAAAAAAGUUUUGGCCUUGGUUGUGAGUGCAAUUGAAUCUAAACUGGCAUUUCCUUAAUGCAUCUACUUCAAUCCUAAAUUUCUUACUUCCUAAGCCUCAAUUGUUGUUAGGAUUUUGGAAAGCCCAUUUCCUUAAAUUGUAAAUUUAAGAAAAAAUAAAAUAAAAGUGAGACAUUUCUUGAUUGAAUAUUGUUAAAGGUCCCUUGGCAUUAAGACUUGGUUGAAGCCUUGGAAGAUUAGUGGAACUCUCAACUUGUGUUUGAAUCUUGAGGAGAGUGGACGUAAGCCAAAAUUUUGUCAAACCAUUAAACAAAUUGAGUUUGAAUCCUCAUUUCUUGAUUUCUUAUUUAUUUGCUUUUUCUUAUUAUUACUUGAAUUGUCAUUUGCAUUCAUUAAUGUUAAAAUUGGUUAUAAUUAACCAACACUAAUUCUCUUUCCCCUUCCCUUUCUUGGGUGUAAACCUAGGUUGGAUUAACUAGAUUAAUUUAUAAAAUCUAUUAAGAUGGUAAAAGAAUAAUUAUUCUUAACACACAUAAGAUCAUCUUCAAUCAAAUGACUCAUUGGCUAAUAUGUUGAAUUUGCUUAUUACUUGCAACUCAAAAUUGUGUUCUAGUUGAUAUGUCAAGUCCCCAGUGUAUGGACAUUAAAUUUGUAGUACGUGAUGGUAAUUAGAUGGUCCAACUCCAAGAAAGUGAUUGAAAACUAGUUCAAGAAAGGUGCAAAAGGGAAUUGUUUUGGUAUUUUCGUUUUUAUUCUUGAAGGUGGCAGAGCUAAAAUUUGUGAAAUCAAGCAAAACAUACUGAAAUUACAUUGAAAGAAAGAAAAUGGGAGUUAAUGUCUUGCAGUAGAUGAUAAGGACUUCAUGCAUGUAGUAUGACCCAUGUCUUGGACUGAUGCCAACUCACGGUUACACUUAUACCCUUGGUUCUCUCUUUACUACCUUGGCUAACCUAGAUCAGGCUAUGAGAUAGGCUCCUCACCACACCAUUACUUGCCCAUUAAUUAGAGACAUUUUCAAGCACUGAGGUAACAUGGUGACACCAAGAGGGUUUAUUCCUCGCCCUCCUCGCCCUCAACAAGUCUAGACUUGGUCUCAAAAAAAUGGAGAAAAAUGAGGUGUCGUUAUGUAGAAAUACAACAACCAUGCCUUCCUCAUUACUUUGAUUCAGAAUGUGAAGGUGAAAUUGAGAAACAGAAACUCUUGAAACCAAAAUGAAAAUUGAUACUUUUACGAAGAAUUACAACAACAUUGGAGGAAGACUACAUUCUUCCUCUUUAUUCCUACAUUUCUACACUACUUCUACUCCACUCCAUAUUUCUACAUACAUCUUUAAUCAGUCUUCCCUCCUUUAUAUAGAGCCAUCUUCACACAAAUUCCGCAAGGUAGAAAAGAGGAAUGAAACUUGGAGCAAGGUUCGACUACUGGCUGUAGCUUGUCAAGGCUGGAAGUGAACCUUUUUUCUUGGCUUUUCUGGGCAUGGGUAGUAACUUGUGGGUUCCUUUUUGGGAUACAAAUGGCUAGAACAUGUGGCACUAUCUUGUUGGAUGAUGUGUCAAGCAUGUGGCAGCCAUCUAGUGGCGAUUAUGUCAAUUUUGGGAUGGAGAGUUGGCAUCCAAUUGCAAAGAAAUAUGACGUCUACCAACAGGCAAUGUAAACCUAUGUAGAUCAUAUGAAGAUAGAGAGGAAAAAUAUAGAAAUGGAUAUAUACCUAGAACUAGCUUUUUAUUAAAUGAAACGGAGAGCCAACAAUGAAGGAAAAUAAAUUUUUUUGGCUUAUAUCAAAGAGUUCACAUUGUGCUACCCUAGGUUUUCUUAAAACUUACUUUUAUGAUAACAAAAAAAAAAAAAAACAUUAUUGUUUAAUCCUUUGUUUUAAACGCAUGUUUAGCAAGUUAUAAAAUGUAAAAAUCUUUCUAAGUUCAAAUAUGAAGAUAUGACAUCAUUUCAAGCAAGAUAGUCUCUAGGAAUUAAUGUAAAGCUAAAUUAAGGUGAAAUUAAAUUAGUUCAAUGCAUUAAUUUAAGAAACUUGACCUAUCAAAAGUACAAAAUUAGAUGAAAUCCAUUUCAAUGGUUAAAAUGAUCAAAAUCAAACUUUUUCUAAGUAUUUUUUAAAAGUAUCAAUAUUGAAAGACAAUUUUAUAUUUAGUCAGAGUUUGGACAAAACCAAAAAGCACACAAAAUCCAAGCGACCAUCUCUAGCUUGGAUGGUCGCUUGAUCUCUAGCUUGUGUACUUGGAAAGCAACAUCGAGAUGAUAUAUAUAUAUAUAUAUAUUUUAUAUAAUAUUGUUUGUCCAAAUUCCCUAAAAAUUAGGCCACCACAUGUUCAUAAUUCUCCCUUCUUGAAUUUGAAAACUCGGACAAUUGGACAAUGCGACACCUAAGUCCGGUUUCUAAAUGCUAAAGUGAAAGGGUAGGUAUGGACCAUUGAAAUGUGAUCACAACUUUUCUCUGUAGCCAUGUUGUCUCUUUUUUCUUUUGCAUGAUUUUCUCACCUUAACAGAAUCAUAGACUUGUUUAAUCUCUAAAUGGGAUUAAUUUCAUCCAGCUUUAAGCUACUAUAUUAUAUCUAGGUGGAGGACUUUUAAGAGUGCAACCGACAUAGAGCACAUGCAAGUGGGUAUAUGGGACAUGAAAUUUCUUCUUAUAAAGAUUGCAUGAUUUUUAUAUUAGAGUUGUUGGGGCGCAAUGUAUGUAGCUUGUUUUGCAGUUAAAUUAAUUGGAUAAGUAGACAUUGGCGUUUCUAAAUCUACUGUGAAGUGCUUCAUGUACGUGUGAAGUAUUAGAAAUUUCUUUCUUGGCAACUUGUUUUUUCUUUGCGGUCUACUGAUAGGUUUGACUAAAAUUAUAUUCCCUGUCAUGCUAAUUAAUUUUCACGUGCAUGCUCAAAAGAAGAGUAUGACCUUAGUGCACCAAAAUCACUUUGAUUAAUUUGUGAUAGGUUUUUGUGCAUCAUGACAUUAGCCUUAUUCAUUUAGAUAAUGUUUAGUUUUUAGAAAGUAUUAAGAAAAGGAAAAUAAAUAUUAAGAAAAAUAUUCUUAUAUUUGAUUGUAUUAUGAAAAAUGUCAUAAAAAAAUCAAAUAUAAUUUAAAUUAAUUAAUAAUUUAUACAUUUUCAAAUUAUUUAAUCUUUAUAUUGAAGAUAUAAUAUAAAUGAAAUGAGUUUUAAGUAUUAUAUAAAAGUGAUUUAUUGAUCUUGCAUAUAUGUAUUUCUUUUUUUUUUCUUCUAUUUUUUUUCUUUAUUUUAUUUUCCUUAUGUUUUCCUCAACAUUUUCCGGAACCAAACAUAGCCUUAGGAAAUCCACAAUUACCUUCAACUGAGUAUAUUCGGUUGUUUUAGCAAUGUUAGGCUGCUAACUUGUGUUGGUACGAACCUGUUAAGCCUAAAGAUGUAAUUAGUUAGGAUAUUCUUUUCCCUCUAGUCUUGUAGCUCCACGUGUAUAGUUGGUUAGGACCUCAUUGUAUAUAAUGCCUGCCCUGUUAUUGUUGAAGACAACAGAGAUAAAUAAUAUUAACAUUUUUCCUCUCAUCUCUCUUUGUUUCCCUCUGUUUUCAUCUCCUCUCUCAUCUUGGUAUCAGAGCCUCCAUGGAUUCUUUCAAAGAAACCUCCGAAUCACCUUCUGCUAGCAUUGUUAAUGUGCAAAACCCAUUAUCUCAGUCAAACAACCUUCCUUCACCAGCAGCCACACCCUCUUUUUCUUUCUUGUCUAUGAAUCAACCUCUCACAGUGAAGCUGGAUAAUGGAAACUACCUCAUCUGGAAGAAUUAGCUUCUGAAUGUCAUCAUUGCGAACAGACUCGAUGAUUUCAUUUAUGGAACUCGACCCUGCCCUCCUUGAUUUCUCAAUCUGCAACAACAAACCCUCACUCCAGAGUACUCGGUCUAGCAGAGAUACAAUCGACUUCUAAUGAGUUGGCUGUACGCAUCCUUGUCCGAAGAUAUAAUGACUCAGAUUGUUGGGUAUUCAACAACUGUGGAGAUUUGGAACGUCCUUAAUCAGAUUUACUCUGCCUCUUCAAUGGCGUGGGUUACCGAGCUUCACACCAAGCUUCAAACGCUCAAGAAAGAUGGACUCUCAGUUGGUGAAUAUAUUCAAAGGCUCAAAUCCAUUUGCAAUAGUCUUGCAGCAAUAGGAGAACUAGUUUCUGAGAAAGACCAGCUUAUCUAUUUGUUCAAUGGAUUAUAUUGUGAGUAUAAUUCUUUUGUUACCUCCAUUCAAAAUCGAUCUGACCAACCAACUAUUGAGCAAAUCCAUAGCCUAUUGCUUAGCUAUGACUUUCGGCUUGAACAACAAAACUCUGUUUCUCUCCAUUAUGCCCAAGUCCGUAUGGCUCAUCUGAACAAGAAACCUUAUAAAUCAACUCCUCAACCUACAUUCAAUCAUAUUCACAUUCAACCUAGAUACUCUUCUCCACCUUUUAAGCCAACCACUAGUCAAUAUCAACCCAGGAUUUUGGGCAAACCACAACCACAACCAUGACAGCCUCAACCUCAAUGGAAACCACAUUUUUCAAUCCAGAAUCAAAAGCCUCAGUGCCAAAUUUGUGGUAAAUUUGGACACACUGCUCUUAUUUGCUUCCAUUGCACAAAUUUGAACUAUUCACCCCAACCUUCUCCUAAAUCUUUCAAUACUGUUCUCACCACAAAUUCCCAGCUCCCUAAUCCUCCAAAAUUUUCUUACCCUACAAUGGCUCAUCCUGCUGCUACGCAUAACACGAUUCCUGAUACAAAUUGGUACAUGGACUCAGGUGCUACACAUCACUUUACUCCGGACAUCAACAUGCUUGACACUGUGACACCAUUUAGUGGUUUAGAACAGGUGACAGUUGGGAAUGGUAAGCAACUCUGUAUCUCACAUCUUGGUACUGCAAAACUACCAUCCUCGUAUUCUCCUCUUGUUCUACAUCAGGUAUAUCACACUCCAAAAAUUUCAAAUAAUCUUAUUAGUGUUAGAAAAUUGUGUUCUGAUAAUAAAGUUUUUGUUGAAUUUUAUGCCACUCAUUUUCUUAUCAAAGAUCAAGUUUCGAAGAGAGUUCUCUUUCAAGGUCAACUUGAUAAUGGCUUAUACAAAGUUCAGUCGUCAUGCUCUCCUUCUACUAUUUCCUUUCAUCCUCAAGUUUUCAUAGCCAACAUCAAGGAUCAAAAUUUGUGGCACAAGAGACUAGGCCACCCAGCUUUAUCUGUUAUUAAUCAAAUCUUGGAUUCUUGUAACAUUGCUCGAACACAGAAAAUUGGUUUUAAUUUUUGUAGUUCUUGUCAAUUAGCAAAAAGCCACAGGCUUCCUUUUUCUCUGUCUCCAUCCAUUGCAGAAAAACCUUUUGAGUUAAUUCAUACAGACCUAUGGGGUCUUUCUCCUGUUCGCUCUAUUUCUGGUGCUCGUUAUUUUUUACUUUUCAUUGAUGAUCAUACUCGUUUUACUUGGUUUUAUUUGCUCAAAACAAAAGAUGAAGCAUAUCCUACUUUUCUCAAGUUUCAAGCUCUCAUUGAAAAUCAAUUUAAUACCAAGAUUAAGGUUGUCCAAUCUGAUUGGGGAGGUGAGUUUCGAUCUCUCUCCAUACUGUUUUCAAAUAUGGGCAUUGUCUAUCGUUUAUCAUGUCCAUACACCUCACAACAGAAUGAGUGGGUUGAGCGAAAAAAUCACCAUGCGGUUGAAAUGGGAUUGUCCUUUCUUGCUCGCUCGGGUAUGCCCUUAUCUUAUUGGCCUUAUGCCUUUCAAACUGCCACUUACCUUAUUAAUCGUCUCUCUACCCCUGUGCUGCACCAUCAAUCCCCUUACUUCGCACUCUAUCACAAAUUCCCAGCUUAUACUCAUCUUAAGGUCUUUGUUCCUCUUGUUUUCCAUAUUUACGCCCUUAUAAUACCCAUAAACUCCAAUACAGGUCACUGGAGUGUGCUUUUCUUGGUUGCAGUUCACACCACAAAGGUUAUCUAUGUCUUGACAUUCAUUCUAGCAGGGUGUAUAUUUCUCGCCAUGUGAUUUUUAAUGAAGAUUCUUUUACAUUCAAGAAUUUGAAAUCUUCUCUCUCUUAGUCUAUUUCUUCUUCCUCUUCUUUAUUAGUUCCUCUGUUCAUUUCCUUGCCUCCCCUCUCCCCAUAUCCUCCUAUUUCUCCAUCUAUAUCUCAUUCUUUUCUCUCUUCUUCUUCUACCUCUAGUACUUGUUCCCCUCUCGUUGCUCCUACCUCUCUUCCUCCCUCUUCACACUUUGUGUCCCAUCUAUUCCACCUCCUUCUCCACCUUCUUCGAGUGUGGACCUGCUUGUACCUUGUGUGAAUACAAAUUUACUUACUUUUUCUCGCACUCACAAUAUUCAUCCUAUGGUGACCAGAUCUAAGGGUUUGUAUCUAUAAACCUAAGUUGCUAUUGAGUGUCUCCAUAGGUUCUCUCACUAAGCCUACUUCCUUUCUUCAAGCUAUUAAAGAUCCUUCAUGGAAGCAAGCCAUGGAAUUGGAGUUUGCUGCCCUUCAACACAACAAGACCUGGCAUCUAGUUCAUUCACCUUCCUCAGGCAAAGUAAUUGGUUGUAAAUGGGUCUAUAAGAUAAAGCUUUAGCCUGAUGGCUAAUUGAGAGAUACAAGGCCCGCUUAGUAGCUUAGGGUUAUCAUCAAACUGAAGGUAUUGACUACUUCGAAACAUUCAGCCUGGUUGUCAAGCCUUCUACUACCGUAUUGUGCUCAGUCUUACUUUUUCCCAGAAUUGGUGUAUUAGACAGCUGGAUGUUCAUAAUGCCUUCUUACAUGGUGACUUAGCUGAAGACGUUUUCAUGGAACAACCACCUGGAUUUGUUGAUCCUCUCUAUCCUACUCAUGUCUGCAAGUUGGAUAAGUCUCUCUACGGUCUUAAUAGUCACCUCGGGCUUGGUAUACUAAGCUGAGUACUUCUCUACUACACUUGGGAUUUGUUACUUCUAAGAAUGACUCUUCCUUAUUUAUUUGUCAUUCGUCUCAUGGGUUACUUCUUGUUCUUGUCUAUGUGGAUGAUAUAAUCGUCACUGGGAGCCACUCUCCUCAAGUUACUCACCUUAUCCAAUAGUUGCAUCAUCAGUUUUCUUUAAAGGAUCUUGGUCAUUUACACUAUUUUCUGGGCUUGGAGGUUCAUCACACCCCUACUGGUAUUCACCUCAGCCAAGCAAAGUAUAUCACUGAUCUCCUUACCCGGGCGGCUAUGUUGGAUGCCAAGCCAUGUCCCACUCCUAUGUCCUCCAACACAUAUCUUUCUCUUCAUGAUGGAGUGGCUCUUGAAAAUGGUUCAGAUUAUUGAAGUUUUGUUGGUGCCCUUUAGUAUUGUACCAUGACACGCCCAGAUAUAGCUUUUGCAGUAAAUAAAGUGUGUCAAUUCAUGCACCAUCCCUCUGAUGUUCACUGGCAGGCUAUAAAACGUAUUCUCCAGUACUUAAAGGGCACAUCUCAUUUUGGUCUCUUCCUACAGCCUUCCUAUGACUUCAACAUCACUUGCUAUACAGAUGCCGACUGGGCUUCCUGCCUUGAUGACAAGUGUAGCACCAGUGGCUACUGCCUCUUUCUUGCCUCUAAUCUGGUUUCUUGGUCAUCUUCCAAACAAAAAGUGGUCUCCCGCUCCAGCGCCAAAUCAGAGUACCGAGGGGUAGCAAAUGGGGCUGCUGAAAUUGCUUGGACUGAAUCUCUUCUUUGUGAACUUUCCACCCACUCGACCUCCCCUCAUUGUCUGUGACAAUAUCAGUGCCACAUACUUAGCUGUCAAUCCUAUUUUGCAUGCCCGCACCAAAACAUGUGGAAAUCGACUAUCACUUUGUCUCGGAACGUGUUCUUCAACGCUCUCUCUCUCUCCAGUUUACACCUUCGGAUGAUCAACUUGCUGAUUGCAUGACCAAGCCUCUCUCCACCCAACGUUUCAUCACUCUACGCUCCAAGCUCACUGUUCUCACUAGACCAAUGAGCUUGAGGGGGGAUGUUAAGCCUAAAGAUGUAAUUAGUUAGGAUAUUCUUUUCCCUCUAGUCUUGUAGCUCCACGUGUACAGUUGGUUAGGACCUCAUUGUAUAUAAUGCCUGCCCUGUUAUUGUAGAAGACAACAGAGAUAAAUAAUAUUAACAUUUUUCCUCUCAUCUCUCUCUCUGUUUCCCUCUGUUUUCAUCUCCUCUCUCAUCUGAACCAAAUGAUCCAUGUUAACCUUGGCUUGGUUUGAUUUGGCUCUAUCUUAGAGAGCUCAAGGAUCACGUCAACUCUGGUUUCUACUAUUCAGGUCCAUUCCCAUAUGAACUGGUUCAAAUUUGAGAAAAUGGUAACAGACCUUUAGUGAUGUUGGUUUGGAGCCAGUUGCCAAACCCGCCCUGAGCUUUACCACUAAUGUCAAGGGAGAAAGCCUUUUGAACAAAAACAAUAGCUUCAAGAGACUGAAUCGUGGAUGAAAUCUGAUCCACAUUUCUUCUCAUUUUGGAAACAAAUGAGAACUUAACUAAGAAGAUUCUACGGCCUCAUAGUGCUUUUCCUGAUCUAAGGUUGGUUCGUUUCCCAAAUUGUGAGAUGCACGGGCCAGACUUCAGAACUCUCACGCUCAGGAGUGUAUCCACGUGGUGGACAUAAGAUGGUGGCUUAAGAUCUGGUGUCGGUGGCUUUACUUUACUAGGAGAGUAGUGUGUCUUCAUCUCAUUCACUGCCGGAGGGUGGCGUAAGCAGUGACGCUAAGGUGGGGCAUAGUCAAUAUCAUUUGCAUUUGACCAUUAUAGUUUUCUCCCGGCUUGAAAGUAACCUUAUCGUGAUAAAGGAUUACUAGCACUAGUUCAGAUGACAGUCAUGUUAAAUUCGGACCAUGUUUGUGUCACAUUAUCAGCAACCAUGUGUUUAUGGUUCAUGCUUUCUGCAACUGAAAUUGAAAUUGAUAUAUAACCAGGUGAACUUCAAUCUAAAUUCUGGAAGUACUCAUGUGAGCGAUGGUGCCCAUCUGCAGAGUCCAUCAAUUGAAAAAUGGAGUGAGUGUAUCUAUAAGAGGGAAGGCUUGGCAAAUGUCCAGUUUUCUGGGAAUUCAACAAGGAUCUAAAAUAGAUUGUUUUCUUUGCUGAUUUCAAUGGUUGAAAUUUGAGAAGAUUGUGUCCCACAUAACACAACUAUUACUGGUCCUUCUGUUGCAAUUUAUCCUCUAAGGCUCUAGCAUGUCUUCCAAUUCCCACUUCCCUGUUACUCCAGGAAAGCUAUUUCUGUCAUUGUGAAGAAGAAAAGAGAAUGUAGAUAUCGAUGCUUUUAAGUGACUGGAGCAUUCAUAUCAGGUGGUCUGCAGCCAUAUAUGCCACUUUGUGAAGAUUGGAACAGUCAAUCACUAGGCUAUAUAUUAGUGUGGCCCAGCCACUUUAAUCAAGGACAAUUCUUCAUACUUAAAAGUCAAAUUCUGCCUUUAGUCUCAUUAUAAAUUGCUGUUUAAAUAUUAAGCAAACAUUUGUUUAAUGCGAUUAAGACAGUACUAACUCAAUACUUGUUCUAUUUUUGGAUGGAAAUGCUUGAUGGUUUCAUCAUUGGAUGGGAUAAAGGUGCAUUCAUGAUUAUGAAUACUUGUAGUUAUAUUUUCAUUCUCUUUUUUCUCAAUGAGACUUGUUGGCACAAUUUUUCUGUUCAGAAACCUACCUCUCCAUGGAAAAUAAGUUGUGAUUGAUAGUACUGGAUAUAUUCAAGAAAGCUAAAUAUAGAUAGCACAAAAUAUUAUCGACAUAAAUAGCAUUAACAGCGUACGUAUGUCUCAGUGCUCAUCAGCCAUAAGCAUGGGGCAAACACUUACGAUGAGCAACUUACGUCAAAAUUCCAGAAUAGGACAUAGAAGUGACAGAUCUAUAUAUAUAGAACACUGCAUAAGAGUCACAAGAAAGGAAAUUACGGGUGCAUAGCAGCUCUUAUUUCACAUACUACUCAUACUGAUCAAAGUCACUCAGUUGGGAUGGGUGGGAGUAGGAGGUUUGUGGGGUGGCUUGUGCGGAGGAGUUGGCAGCUUCUUUCCAGGACCUGGUGGCUUCUCUCCCUUAGGUGGUUUGCCAACUGGGGUUGGUGGCUUGUAUGAGUCUUCAGCAUUCUCUGCAGGAGGGUGACCAGGGUUGUGACCAUAAUGUGGUGGCUUCUCUCCCUUAGGUGGUUUGCCAACUGGGGUUGGUGGCUUGUGUUCUGGGAGUGGCUUCUCCCCCUUGGGAGGUUUUUCCAAUGGGGUUGGUUUGUGUUCAGGAGGUGGCUUCUCCACUGGAGGCUUGUGUUCAGGAGGUGGCUUCUCCACCGGAGGCUUGUGUUCAGGAGGUGGCUUCUCCACCGGAGGCUUAUGCUCUGGUGGUGGCUUCUCCACCGGAGGCUUAUGCUCUGGUGGUGGCUUCUCGAAUGGGGGAUGCUUAGGGUAAUCAGCAAGUGAGGGGGCGGUGAGAACCACCAGGCCAAGCAAGACCACUAGCAAGUAUGUAGGAGACAUCUUUGGGUUUAGACUCAGAUGGUGCAAAACUAGGAGAAUUGUCUUUUAUAGCGGAUCGCACCCAAUAAUGAAAUGACACGUGUCUUUAUGACCCAUGUGUAAUGGGGUCGAUUUGGGUCCUACAGUGUUGAAAACUUCGACAUCCACUUUUGGCCUUUUGCUUUCUCUACAGCCGCCUUGCUUUUUCCCUCUUUCCUUUUGUUUUCCUCCUGCCCCAUUCUAUCAACUAAACACAAUUAUGUAGUUGUUUAAUUCUUAAAUGAGAUAUUAUCCGUCAAUCGUAUCAUAUUUUAUCAACAGAGAACGGAGUGCAAUGUGGCAAUCCAAAGAAAGAAGAUCCAUAAUGCAGCUGUAAUUUUAUCGUUUACUUUUAUCUCUUGGACCACUGCAUUUUUGUUAAGAGGUGCAAUAAUACACGUCUUUAUCUGCCAUUCAAUGUUUACAGUAAAGAGAGGGCACAAAACUCUUCACUGCUCUGCAUGUGUCCCAAAAAUGCAAUUGGACAAAUUAUGAUUUGCAUGCUAAAAAGAGGCAAAUGAGGUUAAUUCGCACCAUAAUUAUUUUGUUUUCUGGACCCCGGGGCCCUUUGGUUGGUUUGGGGGUCAGAAAAUGAACAUCAUAGGGGGUUUUUCCCUUAUGUGCAUUUGUAUCUGAUGGCUUUAACUCGCCUUGUUACUACAAAGAAAUUGUCACAUAUAGGAACUUAUUCCAGGCUGAGUAUCUCCGCAUAGACCCUAUAAAAGAAGACAAGUCAUAAUGAACAUCUAACCUUUGUUCAAUUUGAUUCAAUGCCCCAUUGUGUCCACCUCACAAAUCUGAAUUAUUAUAUCCAUUGAAUACAUAAAUUAAUGAAGAAAAUAUGAAACCCAAGAUACAUCUCUGCACAACCUCAACCCUGGUUGCUAUGUUUCCCUUCUAUUCACAUGAGGAUAUUGAUUACGGAAUAGGGAAACCUAGCAAGGGUUUACUCGGCUCUGGUUUGAUGCUAAUUGCCAAACUUGCAACAAGCCCUGAGUUUGAAGCUCACAGAAGAUGUUAUACAGGCAGGGAAAAACCUUCAGAGUUCGCUGCCAAAGAUAAUUAUUAAGGAGAUAUCACCAAGAGAAUUCCAAGGAGUCUGAAUCAAAGACAAAUUGGUCGUUCGUGGAGGUUCUUACUUUCUUUUGGGUAUAACUCACUGAGGGCACUGUCUUUUUUAUUUUCAUUUCACAUUUAGAGUUCUGUUCUGGAAACAUAUAAAAGGAGCAUCAGUUUGUUCUUGGGUAACCCAUAGUCGUGAGUGGGUCCAUUUGCAUGCUACUUAGUUGAAAAGUUGGACCAUUUGCUCCGACGCCUACCUCCUGGAUUCCAUGCUCGGAUAAAACAAGAAUAAAAAAAUAUUUAUAAUUUACAAAUGGGGGAAAGAAAAAAAUGUCAACAACAAACUAGGAAAAAAGAGUAGUAAAAUUCAUGUCACAUGCUAGUGAGAGAAGGGGUUGUUACACUCACUCGAAGUUCUUUUCAAAAUAUCGCAUGGUAUUUUAUUUUAUGUGUGAGCGCAGUUGUGAAUGGAACGUGCAAAAGUCCAAAUUGGUGACCUUUAAUAAAUAUUUAAAACAAAAAACGAAAAAAAGGAGGGAAAAGGGAUCAGAAAAGAUAAAACAAUGUGUACAAAAGCUCAAUUAGUUUGCAAAUUACUGUUUGGAUUUUGAUAGUAUUUUAUUUGAUGUAAAAGAGAAUUUAAGAUAUUUCCGAAACAAAAGCAUUAGUUUGCUCCAUGUCAAUUUCGGCAUUUCUCAUAUGUUUCACACAUACACAGAAGAGCAUCGUUUUUUAAAGCAUGCAUUUAUGUUGGAUUAAUUUGGAUUUUGUGGGAACUGGGGCAAGGAUCACAUGGAAGAGAGGUUGACUUUUUUCAGUACUUCAAUGGUUGAGACAGGUGAAGGCCUGAUUGAUACUGAAGCCUGAAAUUGCGACUCCGUCAUUUGUCAAAACAUAUGACAGCUUCCAUGCUCUCGUUUGGUUGCAUUGUUCUGUGGUCAUGCAUACAUGCCACUUAGUGAUCAGUCUGUAACUGUCAAUCAUUGGGCUUUGACUGAACAACAUCAGCCAUGUAUAAAUACUUGCAAAUCAAACGGUCUUCUUCCUCCCAUAAGGAAUUUCGGUUUAAUUAUGAAGCAUGCAUUUGGCUGACCAUCAUAAACCACUUCUUUAAAUUGAUGAAUGAUAGUUUUUCAUUCAUUCUUUCAUUCGUUCAUAUACAGAGUAUAUAUAGAGGGUAAUCAUCAUUCUAAGAAUGGGAAAGAAUGAUACAAGGAAAUAAUGAUAUAAAGAAAUAACAACUAAUAUUCUAAUAUCUCAACUUUCCUAAUAUCUAAACAUUCCUAAUAUCUCAACACUAAAUGAUAUAAAGAAAGAAUGAUAUAAGGAAAGCAUUCCUAAUAUCUCAACACUCCUCCUCAAGUUGGUGCAUAGAUGUCAAACAUGUCCAACUUGUCUAAAAAUUUUGAGAACAGUUGACUUGAGACAUCUUUGGUGAGGAUAUCGGUCAAUUGAUCUUCUGAUCGAAUCUUAGGCAAUUCCACAAUCUUAUCAUCCAACUUUUCCUUAAUGAAAAAUCUAUCCAUCUCGACAUGCUUUGUACGAUCAUGUUGUACUAGAUUAUGAGCAAUGUCACAUGCUGCUUUAUUGUCACAAAACAAUCGGAUUGGUUGCCUAGAUAGGUAACCUAAAUCCUAUAAGAGGAGUCUUAGCCAUAAUGCCUCACAAAGUCCUAAAGUCAUACCUCUAAAUUCCGCUUCUGCACUUGAACGAGCGACGACAUUUUGCUUCUUACUUUUCCAUGUCACAAGAUUACCACCUACAAAGGUAAAGUAACCAGAUGUAGAUCGCCUAUCAUCCACUGCACCGACCCAAACAGCAUUAUACUUCUAUACUCUGAUGAUCAACAUUUUUAGCGAACAAAAUUCCCUUCCUAGGAGCAUUCUUCAAAUACCUCAAAAUACGCAUGACUACAUUCAUAUGUUGCUCUCCAGGAUUAUGCAUGUAUUGACUCACUACACUCAAUGUAUAAGCAAGAUCUAGUCUUGUAUGAGCUAAGUACAUUAAUCUCCCCACAAGUCUCUGGUAUCUUCCCUUAUCGAUUGAUACUUGAUUAGGCUCAACACACAAUUUCAGACCUUCUUCUAUUGGUGUAUUAAUAGGUUGACAUCCCGACAUUCCAGUUUCCUGUAGAAGAUCUAAGGCAUACUUUCUUUGAGACAGAAAAAUUCCUUCACUUGAUCGAGAAACUUCAAUCCCAAGAAAGUAUUUCAGACGACCAAGAUCUUUCAUUUCAAAUUCUCUAGAUAGAUACUUUUGCAAAGCUUUUCUUUCUUCAGGAUCAUUUCCUGUAACUACAUGUCAUCCACAUAUAUCAUAAGUGUCGUAAUCUUACCAUGUUGCUUUUUCAAGAACAAAGUGUGAUUUGAAUUACUUUGAUGAUAGCCAAAAGCUCUCAUUGAUUUUGUGAACCUUCCAAACCAUGCUCUCGGGGAUUGCUUCAACCCAUACAAUGACUUCUUCAAUUCGCACACCUUCUGACAUUGCUUUUCUGACACCAUGCAUCCUGGUGGAAGAUCCAUAUAUACUUCUUCAGAUAAAUCGCCAUGCAGAAAGACAUUUUUUACAUCGAACUAUUGUAAUGGCCAAUCUAGGUUUGCAGCUAAAGACAAUAAUACUCGAACUGUGUUGAUCUUAGCUACAGGUGCAAAUGUCUCUGUGUAGUCAAUUCCAUAAGUUUGAAUGUACCCACUAGUCUUGCUUUAAAUCGUUCAAUACUACCAUCUGCCUUGUACUUCACAGUAUAGAUCCAACGACACCCAACUAGCUUCUUUCCUGGUGGACAUUCUACGAGUUCCCAUGUUUCAUUUUUCUGCAAUGAUUUCAUCUCUUCAUUCAUGGUUGCUUUCCACUUUGGAUCAGCUAAAGCUUCCUGCACACUAUUAGGAAUAGCUACAGUAGAUAAUUGAUUUACAAAUGACUUAUUUGAUUCAGACAAACCAUGGUGUGGACCCGCAUUUUUCACGUGCGCCUCUACUCGAUCGGCGAGACUCGCUUUCUAUUUGUGAAAAAUUAAUUUUAGAAAAGUUGGAGUCGCCACCUAUUUUAUUUUUAUUUUGAAGGGAAAAUAAAACAAGAAAGAAAAACCCUAAAAAGUGACUCCAUAGUUUUGGAAAAAGCAUGUCUUUGGGAAACCUGAGUCUAGGUCCGGGGAUCAUGUUACUUAUUGGGAAGGUACCUCUAGGAGGUAGCACCCCUCUAAGCCUUAUGAAGGUCUCUACUAACUAAAUUAAGGGAAGUGUGGCAAUAAAUCGAUUGAUCAUAGAUACCUAAGUAGACUAGGUGAUUUUAAAGUGUGGCAUGUCAAACACAAUCAAAUUGCAAUAAAGGAGAGUUAGGGCGCGUACCUGAACCGCUUCUCAAGCGCUAUCAUAAAACAUCAAUGGUUAAUUUAAAUAAUAUAUCAUCCAGCAUGUAUUUUAUUAGAAAUAAUCAAACAAUGAAACAUGUAUAUCAGAACACUCAAGCAUUAUUAGACAUAAGCAUUAUUUCACUAUUCACAGAAUUCAGAAAGUAGGUGAUAGAGGACAUACCUGGAUAGCAUAGAUAAUUUGUAAUGUGCUUCCUCAAGUUGUAAGGGGUUAGAUAACAAAUAAUAAAAUAUAGAAAUCCUAGCAUGCUCGUUAUCUAAUUAGCAUAGCAAAAGUGAUCACAGUAUACAGAAUCAUCAAUUAUCACAUACAUCUUGUAUAUAAUUCCUAAAAAAAAUAGAUAGACAUGAUUUCAACAAGUGUCAAAUGUGGCAACAAAAAUAAAUUUUGAAAAGAUUUUCUUAUGUAGGGGUUUCACCAAUUCCCCAAAUUAAUAUACACGAAUUUAGCUUAGAAUUAUCCCAUUUAUUUGGGACUACAAGCUUUGAUUCGUGUUUUUGUUCAAAACCAAAAAUUUUUGUUGAAAAUCAAGAAGGAUGCGAACCGAACAAGAUAUGGUUGCAUAUUAUUUUUAAAUAAAUAAAUAAAUAAAUAAAGGAGAUUUUGAUCCUGAGGACUUUAAUGAGUUUUUUUUUUUAAAAUAGAUUUUUAAAAUGAUUUUUUUGAGAAAAGUAUUUUAUUUUAAAAUAAAAGGGAUUAAUUUGGGAAAAAAAUAAAAUAUAAGAAAUAAAAUACCAAACAAAACAAAAAUGAAACCUCAAAGUAAAAUUUUUUUAGUAAUUAACAAAAAUGAUAAUGGUGAUGGUAGAGGGCAAUCUUCAUGAUUUUCCAAUGGCCUCAGAAAGAAAAUCAAAUUAAAUGAAGGAUCACUAACAGGCAAGACAUUCUAAAUUAGACAAACUAACAAAGUAUCAAUUCAUGAACUAACCGCUAGGAUUUUGAAAGCAUAUAAGCUAAGAUAAGGGUGAUCAGGAACUAAUAUUAAUGAUUUUGAAAUAAAAACUAAAAAAAAGGAUCAAUUCGGGUAAGGAACUAAAAUUAUAAAAGUACCUAAACUAAUUAUGACGAGUUUGACUAAAUUAAACUAAAAACAUGAACUUUCAAACAUAGAAUUAAUUUUACUAAUGAACCAAAGCAAACUAAAAAUAUGUACUUUCAAGCAUAGAAUUAAUUUUAUUGAUGAACUAAACUAUAACAAAUAUCUAAACUAAAUAUAAUGAAUCAAAUUAAAUUAAAGCAACUUAAAAACGCAAACUUUCAAACAUAGAAUCAAUUUUAUCAAUGAAUUAAAACUAUAAAUGUAUUUGAACUAAAUAGAUGAAUCAAACUAAAUCAGAGCAAAAUUAAAAAAAAAAAAGAACUUUCUAACAUGAAAUCAAUUUUAUCAACAAAUAAAUGAAUGAAUAACAAGUAAUUAAAAGAAUAGCUACUACAUGAAUAACUGAAUGAAUAAAAUUCAAAUGUUUUCAAUCUGAAGCAAUCAAUCAAAAUUAAAUAGGGAUCAAAUCAAAAUAAUCGAAAUCGGAAAAACAAUAUGCAAUCUUUCUAAAGGUUUAACCAGACAAUUGAAUUAAAAUUAUGAAUAGAAUAAAUUAAUAAACCAAAUCGAAACCUAAAUUGUACCUAAAAAGAUUAAUUAAUUAAACUAAGAAAUCAAAAUCAAUAACAAAACUAAACUAAGGAGUAAAUUAAGACAAGACUAAUUAAAUUAAACUCACAAACACGUUUUAACUAUCAUAUGGAUUAAAACAAAAUUAGCAUGGACUUAUGAAUUACGAACAAAAAUAAUCAAAACUAUUUUAAAAAACUCACCUCUAUUAUAAGAAAAAAUCUGCCUUUGAUGCGUUGAGGUGGCUCCCCUCUCUGUGUGGAUCUCUCUGCUCCCCAGAAAAAAAAUGUCUCUUCCUCCGUUCUCUUUUGUUUCAGCAAAAUAAUAUAUCCCCUGCUGUGGAUCUCUCUACUCCCAGAAAAUAAUAUAUUCUCUCCGUGUCCUAAAGUGGACCUAGGGUGCCUAAGUGGACCUAGGGUGCCUAAAUGGGCCUAGGGUGCCUAAAUGGGCCAAGUGUAUCUAAAUAGGCUUAGGGUGCCUAAGUGGGCCUAAGUCUAAGUGAGCCUAAGUCUAAAUCAAGACUACCAAGGAUCAUAAUAAGGGGUUAGGCAAUCCCUUAACCAAAGUCUCCAAGGUGGCUAAAAAAAAGUAAGUAGUAUGAGUAGCUAUGGGUCACCAAGGAACUACUGUGGAGCAUUGAAAACGAAUUUAAAGACAUGUGCCAAAGGGACAAAAUUGAGGGUCUACAGAUGGUUAGACACAUAGUUGCUCAUGGGAUAUUUGACUUUGGUAAACAAUUCAGAUUCAUAUGUGGGUUUAGGAAUACCUUUAUUAUGACGGUGUGGUAAUCGUUUCAUGAAUGGAUCAGGUUGCAAAUUAAGAACACCCUCAGCAAACAACGAUUGGUUUGGUAUUUCAGUGAAGACAUCUUCGAACCCAAAUUGUUGACCACUCAUAUCCAACUCACCCGCUUCCUGGUUCACUAGUUCAGAUUGUCCAAAUUCAUCAUUCUCAUAGAUAUGAUAAUCAUAAUCGAGAGUCUGAAUUUCCUUAUGGUACUCCCCCUGAAGUUCAGACUUAGAUGAAAAAUACAUCGAAUAUUCAUGAAACAGCNNNNNNNNNNNNNNNNNNNNNNNNNNNNNNNNNNNNNNNNNNNNNNNNNNNNNNNNNNNNNNNNNNNNNNNNNNNNNNNNNNNNNNNNNNNNNNNNNNNNNNNNNNNNNNNNNNNNNNNNNNNNNNNNNNNNNNNNNNNNNNNNNNNNNNNNNNNNNNNNNNNNNNNNNNNNNNNNNNNNNNNNNNNNNNNNNNNNNNNNNNNNNNNNNNNNNNNNNNNNNNNNNNNNNNNNNNNNNNNNNNNNNNNNNNNNNNNNNNNNNNNNNNNNNNNNNNNNNNNNNNNNNNNNNNNNNNNNNNNNNNNNNNNNNNNNNNNNNNNNNNNNNNNNNNNNNNNNNNNNNNNNNNNNNNNNNNNNNNNNNNNNNNNNNNNNNNNNNNNNNNNNNNNNNNNNNNNNNNNNNNNNNNNNNNNNNNNNNNNNNNNNNNNNNNNNNNNNNNNNNNNNNNNNNNNNNNNNNNNNNNNNNNNNNNNNNNNNNNNNNNNNNNNNNNNNNNNNNNNNNNNNNNNNNNNNNNNNNNNNNNNNNNNNNNNNNNNNNNNNNNNNNNNNNNNNNNNNNNNNNNNNNNNNNNNNNNNNNNNNNNNNNNNNNNNNNNNNNNNNNNNNNNNNNNNNNNNNNNNNNNNNNNNNNNNNNNNNNNNNNNNNNNNNNNNNNNNNNNNNNNNNNNNNNNNNNNNNNNNNNNNNNNNNNNNNNNNNNNNNNNNNNNNNNNNNNNNNNNNNNNNNNNNNNNNNNNNNNNNNNNNNNNNNNNNNNNNNNNNNNNNNNNNNNNNNNNNNNNNNNNNNNNNNNNNNNNNNNNNNNNNNNNNNNNNNNNNNNNNNNNNNNNNNNNNNNNNNNNNNNNNNNNNNNNNNNNNNNNNNNNNNNNNNNNNNNNNNNNNNNNNNNNNNNNNNNNNNNNNNNNNNNNNNNNNNNNNNNNNNNNNNNNNNNNNNNNNNNNNNNNNNNNNNNNNNNNNNNNNNNNNNNNNNNNNNNNNNNNNNNNNNNNNNNNNNNNNNNNNNNNNNNNNNNNNNNNNNNNNNNNNNNNNNNNNNNNNNNNNNNNNNNNNNNNNNNNNNNNNNNNNNNNNNNNNNNNNNNNNNNNNNNNNNNNNNNNNNNNNNNNNNNNNNNNNNNNNNNNNNNNNNNNNNNNNNNNNNNNNNNNNNNNNNNNNNNNNNNNNNNNNNNNNNNNNNNNNNNNNNNNNNNNNNNNNNNNNNNNNNNNNNNNNNNNNNNNNNNNNNNNNNNNNNNNNNNNNNNNNNNNNNNNNNNNNNNNNNNNNNNNNNNNNNNNNNNNNNNNNNNNNNNNNNNNNNNNNNNNNNNNNNNNNNNNNNNNNNNNNNNNNNNNNNNNNNNNNNNNNNNNNNNNNNNNNNNNNNNNNNNNNNNNNNNNNNNNNNNNNNNNNNNNNNNNNNNNNNNNNNNNNNNNNNNNNNNNNNNNNNNNNNNNNNNNNNNNNNNNNNNNNNNNNNNNNNNNNNNNNNNNNNNNNNNNNNNNNNNNNNNNNNNNNNNNNNNNNNNNNNNNNNNNNNNNNNNNNNNAACCAAAGGAAGCAUGUUCCAGACGUCGAUGCCACAACCAAAUUUCAGACUUUUUCUUCUCCUCCUUAGAUCCAUCUGCCAUCAAGGCUUGUUGCAACUUAUUUGAAUCCUUUGAUUGCAAGUCCAAGUAUAGAGUUUCCCCCGCUUAAUACGACAACCAAUCGUCUGUCUUGUUUGAAUGUCCUUAAUCACACAAAAUUCAGGCCAAAAAAUGACAAUACAAGAUAAGGCUGCAGUGAUUUGAGAAACUAACAAAAGAUUGUAAUCUAAAGAUGGAACAACUAAAACAGAAUCCAAAUUCAAAGUAUCAGUAAGAGUUAAGGAUCCUUCCCCAAUGACUGGGGUUGUGUUACCAUUGGCUGUGGAAACAAUUUUUUGUGAGGAAGGUCUAAGGGGUGAAACCUGUCUAGAAUCAAAAGUCAUAUGAUCUGUAGCACCAGAAUCAAUUAUCCAUGCACUAUUAAUAACAGGUGUAAAAGUAUUUAAAAACUUACCACAAUGAUCUGUAGCGGCUACUAAUGCAGAGACUUUCUCAACAACAUUAGUCUUUGUUUUUAUUUCGGUAACAGUUGCAAUCAAGGUUUUCUUGGAAUUCUUCUUCCGUUGAUCACGAUUAUUAUCAUUAAUAACAAAGUGUUGAUAGCCUAAACAUGAUCUAAAGGUCCAUGGUGCAAACCCUCGGUUCCUCAUUGUUUUCCUGGUCAUACCAAGAGUUGUUGCUUUGAAAUUGUGGGAUAUCCAGACUGGUGGGAUCAGUUUUAUUGCAGUGAGUGCAUUUGAAUGUUGACUUAUCAAUAUUAGGGCUUGUCUUCGGAUGGUUGAUUGCUGUUGGACUACCAUAGCGACAAAAUAUCCAGGAUUUCAAUUCCAGGGCUCUGAUACCAUCUUCAAAUUGAUGAAUGAUAGUUUUUCAUUCAUUCUUUCAUGUACAGAGUAUAUAUAGAGGGUAAUCACCAUUCUAAGAAUGGGAAAGAAUGAUACGAGGAAAUAAUGAUAUAAGGAAAUAAUAACUAAUAUCCUAAUAUCUCAACUUUCCUAAUAUCUCAAUAUUCCUAAUAUCUCAACUUUCCUAAUAUCUAAACAUUCAUAAUAUCUCAACACUAAAUGAUACAAGGAAAGAAUGAUAUAAGGAAAACAUUCCUAAUAUCUCAACACCACUUCAUGAUAUAUAUAGUUUCUUACCCUUAAUCAAUGGUUUCUAAGUGAAUUUAUAUAGAAAGAAAUCCAAACUGUAGACAGCAGUAUUGGUAACACUCAAUAUUCUGUAUAUAAUAGAAUAAAUAGCGUCACAGUGAUCGUCGCCUACAAGCAAGGUACAAAUACCACAAAGAGUGACCCACAUAGACAUUCCCCAACAAGAUGUAGUAGUGACUGACACAUAGCCACAAUUAACACGUAGAAAAGGAUAAGACCGGUGCACAGUAGCUCUUAUUUUACAUACUACUUAUGCCAACCAAAGUCACUCAGUUGGGAUGGGAGGGAGAUGGAGGUUUGUGCGGUGGCUUGUGGGGCGGAGUUGAUGGCUUCUUUCCAGGAGCUUCUGGCUUUUUCAUCGGAGCUGAAGGAGGCUCAAUCUUAUGAGGCGGCUUGUACGAGUCUUCUUUGCUCUCGAAAGGAGGGUGGCCAGGGUUGUGACCAUAAUGUGGUGGUUUCUCUCCCUUGGGAGGUUUACCAAUUGGGGUUGGUGGCUUGUGUUCUGGGAGUGGUUUCUCUCCCUUGGGAGGUUUAGUGGGUGACUUGUGUUCUGGAGGUGGCUUCUCCACCGAAGGCUUGUGCUCCGGUGGUGGCUUUUUGGUUGGAGGGGGCUUGGGGUAAUCAGCAAGAGAUGGGGUGGUGAGAACCACCAGUCCAAGGAACAACACUAGCAAGUAUGUGGGAGACAUUUUUGAGUUUGGGCUGAUCAGAUGAUGCAAAACUAAAGCAUUACGUGACCUUUUAUAGCAAGUAGCUCCCAAUACCUACUUGACACGUGUUACUGUGACCCAUAAAUAUUAUGGGGUCUAUUUGUGCCCUACCGGGUUGAAAACUUGGACAAUUGGGCAAGGACCCGCCUGACUAUGGAGGACUACUGAGGUGUGAUCACAGCUUUAGGAUUUUUCUUCCUCUGCAGCCGUCUUGCCGUUGGCAUGAUUUUCUUAAUCUCAAAUAAAGGCAUAGUUAUAGAGUUGUUUAAUCUCUAAAUGGGAUUUUAUAUAUCUUCAGAUAGCCAUUAAUACAUUUGAUGAAGAAAGAAAGACAAGUGCAUACAACAUGUAUACGACUAGCUUUCAUGGAGUUCAUUUAUGAUCAGUUUUCCUGUACAUGUAAACCAAGAUCAUAUAUGUUUUUGUUCCACAACAAUUUUGGAAUCUUGUUUAUCCGUUUUUAUCAUUAUAAUGUCACAUAGGCUGCCAACUUGGGCGCUAAAUUAAAGAUCCAGUUGGGCAAGUUCGUUUCAGAAUUUCAAUGGUGGAUUCAGGAAUUGUUUUAUAAGAUAUGCAAAAUAGUAGAGGGAUGAAUAGUGUUUCAUUAAGAAAAGAGCCCUGUAAAAAUAUUGUUUAAAGGUGCCAUAGAAACUAUAAUCAAUAAAUAACUUUUUUUCCCCAUGGGUGGUGUUUCUUGUGGGGAUCAGUGACUGGUUUGAGUCAACGCCGUGUCUCUUUAGUCCAGAAAUCAACUAUUUUAUGCAUUGAAUACAUCAACAAAGAAAAUAUGAAAGCCAAAUGACACCUCCCCCGCAAAAACUAAACCCUGGUUGCUAACUUUCUAUGUUUCAGUUCCAUUCACACAAGAAUAUUAGUUCAAGUUUGAGAAAAAUGGCGACUUACCUAGUGAUAACUCGGUCUUGGUUUGCGAUUUGACUUUAACGUCAUGGGUUGAAGCCUCCUACAAUCAUCGUGUAUGCUAGUUCAAAGCUCGUGGAAGAAGUUAUACAGGGAGGGAGAAACCUCCACAGCAAGCUCCAAAAGAGAAUUAUCACAUUGAAAGCUCCAGUUGAACACUGGGUGAAAGCCAUAACAAGAUUGGUUUUCUAUCGCUCUUUUAAGUAAUGGAAGAUUAUUAUCUCUGCUUGUCACUACAACCGUGCAUGCUGCUAGAUCUUUCUAGACACUUCAAACAGUGAAACCAAGUAUGAUUCUUUUUCUCUUGAGUGGGUCCACUUGCAUGCCAAUGAACGAGUUGAAAAGUUGGACAAUUGGCCACAGCGCGCACUUACCUUCUGGAACCGAAGGUCAGUGAAGUGGGGUUCCUUUUGGCCCCUUGUGUUUCUGUUCCAACCUACUCCAGGAACCGAAGUUCAGUGAAGUGGGGCUACUUUUGGCCUCUUGUGUUUCUGUUCCAACCAAACAAAAAUGGGAGGGAAAAAUAGCAUUAUGCUUGUGCUAAAGAUCAACGCAUGAUAGCUGAAUAAGGGAGAAAAAGGCAUUGCUAUCUCAAUUUCAUAAACUUGAUAAGUAGUGACAUUAAUAGUCUUCCUCAUAGAUGGAUACAUGGUUUUAUUUUAUUUAUUUAUUUUUAUUUUUUUGUUUUAUGUCAAUGCUAAUGAAUGAAGUGCAUUAGCUUGUUUUGUGACUAGAACUACAAAUGUCCAAAUUGGAGCUUCUCCAAUAUAUUUCUCAGUGAGUUAUUGAUUAGAACUCUUGGAUUGAGUUCCAAGAUUUGAAUCAGACCCCUCUAGCAGCUUCAGGGGUACGUAGCAACCUAUAGCAUAUUAAUGAAGACUUAGGAUUUAGACUUAGGAAUACAAAUUAAUAUGUACCUCAUGCUCUGACUAGCUUCCCUGCGUAUGCACAAAAUGGAGAUGACUCCCAAAAAAAUAGCAGAAUCGCCUUAGUAUGUUUUUGUGGUUAAGAUGAUUCUCCACUUUAUAUAUCCACAUUGGUUCAUUAUGCAAAUUAAUCAACUAAGCUAUUUUUAUUUUUUCUUAAAUGUGAAAUAGGAGCUCCAAAUUAACCUAACCAUUGGCCUGAUUGAAUUGAUUUCACUUGCAUAAUGUUAUAGUAGAAGUCCGUAAUUUGAAUUUUAUUUUUGCAAAAGGUAACGUAAAUGAAGCAUUGUAAUUAAAUUUAUUUGUAAUUACAAACUAAUUUUAUUUUAUUAAGAAUUAAUUUAAUUACUCAUUUAAAAUAAAAAUCAGUUAUACUUUUACCAAGAUGAUAAUAUUCAUAUUUUUCUAGUUAACAUAUAUAAAAUAGUACACUUUUUCAUAUAAAAAAAUAAUUUAUGAUUUAUUAUAAUGUUACUAUUCACAUUUUACUAAAUUGAUGGUACAUGAUAGUGAGAGAAGGGGGUGUCACACUCAGCUAAAGUUCUUUUCAAAAUAUUGCAUGGUGUUUAAUUUUAUGUGUCGGCGCGCGUGUGAAUGGAACCUGCAAAAGUCCAAAUUGGCGUUUCUCCAUUUUCCACAUAGGAUGGUGACGUUAAUAGACAAAGAUACAAUAUCUGUAGACAUUGCUUAAAAAUCGAUGUGAAGUAUUAGAAAUUACAGGGCACUGUACUGGGGGAGCGGCUGCCCCGCCAAAGGAGGAAGAAUGUAGCAAUUUCUUCUGUUAGCCAGGCCUUAGGAUUUAUGCAUGGGAUGCCUAAUAACAAACAGAGAAAAUAUACUUUUGGGGAAGGUAUCCAACAACAGACACCAUCAUUCAGAUGGUGGGAAGGUAUCCAACAGAUGCCAUCAUUCAGAUGGUAACAUAUAUAUACAUUUAUUAGUGAGUUUUUUUAAUACCUAUAAAAAAAAAUAUACACUUUGAUAUUGUGGCUGAAUCCAUUACAUACUCAACUAACCUUGCUCAUUAGGGAUUUGACUUAACAAGGGCAACGUUGCAGUACAAGCUCAAAACUUUAUGCAGGUGACAUUACAUUUGGUAAAGAAGAGGAAAAUAACGAAAGCCAUCCAUAAAAGCAAAAUUCCACAUGGGAUGAAAUUCACAAGCUUCAUUUACGAUAGAGUCGCAUCCAGGCAAUUAAUUCCACAUUAGACCGCCUGUUGACAUGUGUACCAAUCUUUUUUCAAAAAAUAUUUAUAAAUAAUUGAUACUCACAAAAAUAAUUUAAUAUUUAUAAAGGAUAAAAAAAUAUUUUCAAAUCUAUAACAAUUUAUAAAAUAUUAAUAAAAAAUUAUCUCUUAAACUUAGUAUAGUUUUAUCAGAUUAAACUUUUAUUUUGAACAAAUAAUUUUAAUCUAAGUUUUAAAUUCUAAAAUUAUUUCCUUAAAAUAAAAUUUUAAAAUUCAACACUUCAAUUGAAAUUGUCUUUUUAAAAAAUAUCUUCUUAUUUUAAUCCUUAUAAACUAUAGUUGAUUGAAAAUACUAUUGAAGUUCUCUCUUAAAAAAAAGUCUUAUUUUAAUCUUCAUAAAUUGCCCUUGAUUUGAAAAUAAAUUUUCAGUUAUCAUAUUUUAAAUAAUAUCUAUAUUUAAAAUACUCUAUUUAAAAAAAAAUGAACUAAUUUUAAUUAUAUUAUAUUUUAUUUUUUUAUAUAUUUUUAAUGAUAAACCAAACAUAGAAAAUCAUUUUUCUAAAUAUUUUAAAAUUUCUAAGCAACCAAACAUAAUCUUCAAAAUAAAAGGAAAAUAAGGAGGGACAUUUGAGAAAUGGCGAUUAAAAAAAAGUGUACAAAAGCUCAAUUAAUUUUCUUCUAGUCUUUUAUAUAAAAAAGUAAAGGAAUUGAAAAGUAUUGAUAUGUAAAUUAAUAUUUGGAUUUUAAUAGUAUUUUAUUUGUCUUUCUCUAUCUCAUGUAAAAGAGAAUUUAAGAUAUUUCCUAAAGCAAAGCAUUAGUUAUCUGCAAUCAGUGGUGAUCAUGCCCCAUGUCAAUUUCGGACCCAUAUCUUAAAACUGUAUAAUUUGCAUUCAAACAUUACUGAUUUCUCAGAUGUUUCAUACUCCACAGAAGAGCAUUGUUUGUGAAAGCAUGCAUUUAUGUUGGAUUUUGGAUGAUGUGGGAACUGGGGCAAGGAUCAUAUGGAAGAGUGGUCGAUUUUGUUCUGUACUUUAACAUUUGAAAUAGGAGAAGCUCGGGCAUUUGUGGGGCUUAAUUGAUUUUGAAGCCUGAAAUUGCGUUUCUGUCAUUUUGUAAAAAAUAUGGCAGAUUCCAUGCUCUCAUAUGUUUGGUCUGUGGCCAUGUAUAGAUGCCCCUUAGUGACCAGUUUGUAACUGUCAAUCAUAGUGUUUUGACUCUGGCUCAACAACAUCAGCCAUUGACGGAUUUUCAUACUUGCAAAUCAAAUAGUCUUCUUCCUCCCUUAGGAAUUUCGGUUUAAAUGUUAUUAAGCAUACAUUUGGCUGACAAUUAUUAACCACUUCAUGAUAUGGUUUCUUACCCUUAAUCAAUGGUUUCUAAGUGAAUAUAUGCAGAAGGAAAUCUGAACUGUAGACAGCAGUAUUGAUAACUCUCAAUAUUCUUUAUAUAAGAGAAUAAACAACGUCAUAGUGAUCGUCGCCUACAAGAAAGGUACAUUUCCCAACAAGAUGUAGUUGUGACUGGUACAUGGACGCAAUUAACUCGUACAAAAGAAUAAGACCAGUGCACGGCAGCUCUUAUUUUACAUGCUAAUUAUGCUAACCAAAGUCACUCAGUUGGGAUGGGAGGGAGAUGGAGGUUUGUGCGGUGGCUUGUGGGGCGGAGUUGGUGGCUUCUUUUCAGGAGCUUGUGGCUUUUUCGGAGCUGAAGGAGGCUCAAUCUUAUGAGGCGGCUUGUACGAGUCUUCUUUACUCUCGACAGGAGGGUGGCCAGGGUUGUGACCAUAAUGUGGUGGCUUCUCUCCCUUAGGUGGCUUGCCAACUGGGGUUGGUGGCUUGUGUUCAGGAAGUGGUUUCUCUCCCUUGGGAGGUUUACCAAUUGGGGUUGGUGGCUUGUGUUCUGGGAGUGGUUUCUCUCCCUUGGGAGGUUUAGUGGGUGACUUGUGUUCUGGAGGUGGCUUCUCCACCGGAGGCUUGUGCUCCGGUGGUGGCUUCUCCACCGGAGGCUUGUGCUCCGGUGGUGGCUUCUUGAUUGGAGGGGGCUUGGGGUAAUCAGCAAGAGAUGGGAUGGUGAGAACCACCACUCCAAGGAACAACACUAGCAAGUAUGUGGGAGACAUUUCUGAGUUUGAGCUGAUCAGAUGAUGCAAAACUAGAAGAAUUACGGGACCUUUUAUAGCAAGUAUCUCCCAAUACCCACAUGACACGUGUUACUAUGACCAUAAAUAUUAUAGGGUCCAUUUGUGCCCUACCGGGUUGAAAACUUGGACGCUUGGCCGAGGACACACCUGACUAUGGAGGACUAUUGACGUGUGAUCACAGCUUUUGGAUUUUUCUUCCUGUGCAGCUGUCUAGCGGUUGGCAUUAUUUUCUUAAUCUUAAAUAAAGGCAUAGUUAUAGAGUUGUUUAAUCUCUAAAUGGGAUUUUAUAUAUCUUCAGAUAGCCAUUAAUAUAUUUGAUGAAGAAAGACAAGUGCAUACAACAUGUAUACGGCUUGCUUCAAUCGAGUACAUUUAUGAUCAGUUUUCCUGUGCAAGUAAACCAGUUUUUUGUUCCACAACUAUUUUGGAAUCUUGUUUAUCAGUUUCUAUCAUUAUAAUGUCACAUAGGCUGCAAACUUGGGCACCCAAAGAUCUAGGUGGGCAAAUUUGUUUCAGACUUUCAAUGGUGGAUUCAGUAAUUGUUAAAAGGUGUUUCUUCAUUAAGGAAAGAGUCCGGUAAAAAUAUUGUUAAAAGGUGUCAUAGAAACUAUAAUAAAUAAAUAACUUCUUUUCCCCAUGGGUGGUGUUUCUUCUGGGGAUCAGUGACUGGUUAGGGUCACCCAAAAUGAGUCCAGAUUAAAAUUGGUUCGAGUCAAAGCAGUCUCUUUUGUCCAGAAAUCAACUAUUUUGCGCAUUGAAUGAAUCGAUAAAGAAAAAAUGAAAGCCAAAUCACACCUCCCCUGCAAAACCUAAACCCCGGUUGCUAACUUUCUAUGUUUCAGUCCUAUUCAUAUAGGAAUAUUGGUUCAAGUUUGAGAAAAAUGGCAACUUACCUAGGGUUUACUUGGUUUUGGUUUGCGACUAUUUACGCAACCAACCAUGAGUUUGACUUUAACGUCAUGGGUUGAAGCCUCCUACAAUCAUGUAUGAUAGUUCAAAGCUCGUGGAAGAAAUUAUACAGGAAGGAAGAAACCUCCAAAGCUAGCUCCAAAAGAGAAUUAUCACAUCGAUAGCUCCAGAGAUUCCCAAGGGAACUGAAUCAAAGACAAGUUCCUCACUUUUUCUUCUUUUGAGGCCAAAUAUGAACCAAGGAUCACACGACCUCAUUCAACUUCAUAAGUUUGAUUUCAUGCAGUUGAACACUGGGUGAAGGCCAUGACAAGAAUUGAUUAAAAAAUUCUACCACUCUUUUAAGUAAUGGAAGAUUAUUAUCUCUGAUUGGCACCACAACAGCACAUGCUGCUAGAUCUUUCUAGACACUCCAUGCAAUGAAAGCACAAUGGAUCUUGUAAUGAUAGAAACUAAGCCAUGCUACAGUACUAGAUGAGGGGGUAAAACUAGUAGACAUCUUUCUAGACACUCCAUGCAAUGAAAGCACAAUGGAUCUUGUAAUGAUAGAAACUAAGCCAUGCUACAGUACUAGAUGAGGUGGUAAAACUAGUAGACAUGGCUGGCAGUUGAUUACUACUCAAAAAGUACUCUUUUAUAGCUUGAAACUAACUGUUUUAAACACUUUUGAGUAGUAGUUAAUACCUUUUAACUUAAUUGGCACAUUAAGGAACCUAGCAAGGGUUACUAAUCAACAUUUGGCAAGUUUUGAUGUUUUUGGUAGCUAUUUGAUCAUUGAAACAAGCCAAGAAUGAGGGGGAAUUUUGUGAAGUCCAUGGCAAUGCAAGUUAAAGCUCAAAUACAUGAAGAAUCCAAGCUUUGGAGCACUUCAUAGCCCUUUGCCAAGCCAAUCAAAGAUGCAAGGAAGAAAACCAAAGGAAGAAAUCCAACAAUCAGCAUUUUGGCAUGGCUAUGUGAAAUUUCGCACACCAUGCGAAACCACAAGAGGCAGCCAAAGAAUUUCGCAUGGUAUGCGAAAUCUUCUUGUGCACUGACUCUGUUAGAUUUUUAUCUUCAGAUAUUUUGUGUAAUUUCCUAGUUUCUCCUUGUAACCAACUUAGAUAUUUUCUUUUAUAUCUUUUUUUAUAUUUUUUAGGUAACAUCAUAUAUAAGAGGAGAGACAUAAGGAGGAUAUGGAUGUUUUUCAUAGAACACUUGUAAAUUUUUGGUAGUAAGAAAUAUACAAAGCUUUUUGCUCUGCCUUACCUUCUCAAGGGAUGAGUGGCUAGGUUUUCUUGGAGUGAGGGAAGCUAGGUGAAGGACCUGAAUGCAAAGGUGGGAGUUUUCCUUACUUUAAAUGAAAGUAGUUGUUAAACAUUAAUGGUUUUUAUUUUAAGGUUUAGCUUUAAAUCCCUGAAAAACACCUUGAAUGGCCAAUACUUGGUAAGCUUUUUAGAUUCUAUGGAUGCUUAUUGCUAGAUCCAUGGAUGUCUAUUAGUUAUCAUUUACGAGCCAUUGGAAGGUGAUUCAAGGUGAGGGUCUUUAGUGUUUGAAGCCAUUAAUGGGAAGCAAUUACCAUUUUUUCAUGAAUCCUUUGGAUCAAAUCUUAAUUGCUAAAUAUAAAACCGGUUUCGAGAGAUAACCACCAUCCUUUAUGUUAUUAUCCCCAACGCGAGGAGAAGAUCCGAAAUCUUCCUUUUUAUCUAAGGAACCCGAUCCUAGUGACCUAAAGCUCCAAGAUACCUUUUCUUUGUAGUUAACUUCAUUUAUUGUUUUUGCUUAACUUAAAAUCAAUCUUUGCAACCACAAUUCCAUUUUCUUUAAAAGCUAAUUUUUAUAAGGAAAAACACCAUUUUAUUUCCUUCACUAAGUCAACUGUACGAUGAAAACCCAUCCCUGUGGACGAUCCUAGAGCCACUAUACUAUGUUAGCUAUGCUACCCUAGUGUGAGGUGAUUUAGGUUUUAUAAAUUUUUUUGAUAACACCCAUCUGAGCCAGAAUCAAAUGGCACGACUGAACCAGGGACGAAUCAAAUGACGCCGCUACCAAGGAUGGUGCCAAAGUACAUUGACAUGACUUUUGGUGAACACUUGUGAUCUUCACCACAAGUUUGGUGAUUUUUCUUUUACUAAUUUUUUUUAUUUUAGCUUAUCUUUUAUUUAGUUUUUAGUUAACCUUAAAUUUUUCCUAGAAUUGUAUUUCUUUUGUUUUCUUUGUUUUUGUUUCAGUGAUCUUUAGUUGUGCAUGCCCUAUUGGAUAAGAGAUAUUGAGGGAAUACUUGUGAAGAUUGAAACUCCUCGAGAAACUGAGUUAGAAGUGUGCUUGAACAUCAUGGAUGUUCCACCUGAAGACCAGAAUAGCCAACAUGGUUAAGAGGAUAAUUUCAACACAUACCGAUCCAUGAGGAACCGCAUACAUCCACCUUGUAUGAGUGCACCGUCAGGCAUAAUGCCUCCCACUGAGCAGCUAGUAAUCUGACCUCACAUUGUGCCACUCCUACCUACUUUCCAUGGGAUGGAGAGUGAGAAUCCCUACUCGCAUAUUAAGGAAUUCGAGGAGGUUUGUAAUACAUUCCAAGAAGGAGGAGCUUCAAUUGACUUGAUGAGGCUCAAGCUAUUUCCUUUCACUUUGAAGGAUAAGGCCAAGAUUUGGCUUAAUUCUUUAAGGCCAAGAAGUAUCCAAACUUGGAUUGAUUUGUAAGCCGAGUUUCUUAAGAAGUUCUUCCCUACCCAUAGGACCAAUGGUUUGAAAAGGCAAAAUUUGAACUUCUCAGUUAAAGAGAAUGAGAAAUUCUAUGAGUGUUGGGAGAGCUACAUGGAAGCUAUUAACGUUUGUCCUCACCAUGGCUUUGACACAUGGCUCUUAGUGAGCUAUUUUUACAAUGGUAUGUCUUCUUCAAUGAAGCAACUCCUAGAAACUAUGUGUGGAGGAGACUUCAUGAGUAAGAAUCCGGAGGAAGCCAUGGACUUUUUGAGUUAUGUGGCUGAAGUUUCAAGAGGAUGGGAUGAACCAAAUGCUAGAGAGGUGGGAAGAAUGAAGUCUCAACCUAAUGCUAAGGGUGAGAUGUAUGUUUUGAAUGAAGACAUUGACAUGAAAGCAAAGGUUGCAGCUAUGGCAAGGAGAUUGGAAGAGCUAGAAAUGAAGAACAUACAAAAAGUGCAAGCCAUUUCUGAGACAUCAAUGAAAGCUAUGCCUUGUUCCAUUUGUCAAUCUUAUAAGCACCUAGUGGAGGAGUGUCCUACAAUUCCAGCAGUGAGAGAGAUGUUUGGUGAUCAAGCAAAUGUUAUUGAUCAAUUCAAGCCUAAUAACAAUGCUUCAUAUGGCAACACCUACAAUUCAAAUUGGAGGAACCAUUCAAAUUUCUCUUGGAAACGAAAGCCACCUCAAUACACACAACCUACUCAAGCACCUUAGCAAUCCUCGAAUCUUGAACAAGCUAUUGUGAACCUUAGCAAGGUUGUGGGAGACUUUGUGGGAGAUCAGAAGUCCAUCAAUGCUCAACUGAAUCGGAGAAUUGACAGUGUGGAGAGUACAUUGAACAAAAGGAUGGAUGAGAUGUAAAAUGAUCUGUCUCAAAAGAUAGACAAUGUCCAAUACGUAAUCUCAAGGCUUACCAACCUCAACACAGUGUAAGAGAAAGGAAAGUUUCCUUCUCAACCUCAUCAAAAUCCUAAGGGUAUCCAUGAAGUAGAGGCUCAAGAGGGAGAAUCUUCAAAGGUGAGGGAAGUCAAAGUAGUUAUCACCUUGAAGAGUGGUAAAGAGGUUGAUCAACCCACAUCCAAGCCAAAGCAUAAUGAAGAGAGUGUAGCAGAAAAAGAAAAGAGAGGAAAAUAAAGGAAUUAGAAUAGAGAAAAAUACAAAGAAAGAUGACCAUGAGUCUAGUGUGGAUGAAGAGCCCGAGAGGAUGGUGAUCAAGGAAGAUAUGAUGAAGAAACACAUGCCUCCACCUUUCCCCUAAGCUUUGCAUGACAAAAAAAGAACCAAUAAUACAUCAGAAAAUUUUGAAGUAUUGAGGCAAGUGAAGGUCAAUAUCCCUUUGCUAGACAUGAUCAAACAAGUGUCGACAUAUGAAAAAUUCUUGAAGGACUUGUGCACUGUAAAGAGAGGGUUGAAUGUGAACAAGAAAGCUUUAUUGACCGAGCAAGUGAGUUCCAUCAUACAGUGCAAGUCCUAGUGAAGUACAAAGAUCCGGGUUGCCGUACCAUCUCAGUGAGUAUUGGAAGGACUUGUGUGGAGAAAGCUUUGUUGGACUUGGGAGCAAGUGUGAAUUUGCUAUCCUACUCUGUCUAUAAGCAGUUGGGAUUUGGAGAGUUGAAGCCAAUAUCCAUCACUCUAUCUCUAGCGGAUAGAUCAAUGAAGAUUCCAAGAGGGAUGAUCGAAGAUGUCCUGGUUCAAGUUAACAAAUUCUACUAUCCAGUAGAUUUUGUUGUUCUUGAUAUGGAUCCGGUUGUCAAAUGAACUAAUUAUGUUCCUAUCAUACUUGGAAGACCCUUCCUAGCUACAUCAAAUGCAAUCAUCAAUUGUAGGAAUGGAGUCAUGCAACUCACAUUUGUCAACAUGACAUUAGAGCUCAACAUCUUCCAUUUGUACAAGAAGCAUAUCCAUCAGGAGGAAAAAGAAGGUCUAGAGGAAGUGUGAAUGAUUGACACUUUAGUGGAAGAGCAUUGUGAUCGAGAAUGCAAAAAGAUUUAGUUGAGAAUUUUGGGGAUCUUGAUGAAAGGUUACUUGAACCCUCAGAUUUGCUUGCUACCCUACUCCAUUGGAAGAGAAGAGAAGAAAUUCUACCCUUAUUCAAUGAGGAGGAGACGCAAAGAGCUGCAAAGGAGAAACCCCCAAAACUUAUUCUUAAGCCACUACCCACAGAGUUGAAGUAUGUAUACUUGGAAGAAGACAAGAAGUGCCCUAUUGUUAUAUCUUCAACUCUUACCAUUCAUCAGGAGGAUUGUCUACUUGAAGUCCUUAGAAGAUGUAAGAAGACAAUAAGGUGGCUAAUUUCUUAUUUGAAAGGGAUCAGCCCUUUAGUCUGCACCCAUCAUAUUUACAUGGAGGAUGAAGCUAAGCUAAUUCAUCAACCUCAGAGAAGGUUGAACCCUCACAUGCAAGAGGUGGUUCGAGCUGAAGUUCUGAAGCUACUUCAGACCAGUAUUAUUUACCCCAUAUCAAAUAGCCCAUGGGUGAGUCCUACUCAAGUUGCGCCAAAGAAGUCUGGGAUCAUGGUGGUGCAAAAUGAUAAGGGAGAAGAUGUCUCUACACGCCUCACUACAGGUUGGAGGGUGUGUAUCAAUUACAGGAGGUUGAAUGCAGUGAUAAGAAAGGACCAUUUCUCAUUGCCCUUUAUUGAUCAGGUGCUUGAGAGGGUCUCUGGGCUUUUUUUUUUAUUGUUUCUUGGAUGGCUACUCCGGGUACUUUCAGAUAGAAAUUGAUGUUGAAAACCAAGAUAAGACCAUUUUCACAUGCCCAUUUGGAACCUAUGCAUAAAGGAGAAUGCCUUUCGGCUUAUGCAAUGCACCCGCAACUUUCCAAAGAUGCAUGUUAAGCAUUUUCAGUGAUAUGGUGGAGCGUAUUAUGGAAGUCUUUAUGGAUGAUAUCACCAUUUAUGGAAGUGCAUUUGAUGAAUGCUUGGUCAACUUAGAAGCUGUUCUGAACCGAUACAUUGAGAAAGACUUAGUGCUUAACUGGGAGAAGUGCCAUUUCAUGGUACACCAAGGGAUUGUCCUUGGGCACAUUAUCUCCAAGCAAGGCAUUGAAGUUGACAAAGCAAAGGUUGAACUCAUUGUUAAGUUGCCAUCCUCAACAAAUGUCAAAGGAGUAAGGCAAUUCUUUGGCCAUGUCGGGUUCUAUAGGAGGUUUAUCAAGGAUUUCUCUAAGCUUGCAAGGCCUCUUUGUGAAAUAUUGGUGAAUGAUGUUAAAUUCAUAUGGGAUGAUGGAUUUGAAAGGAGUUUUGAAGAAUUGAAGCUAUUUUUGACAACCGUACCAAUAGUGAGGGCUCCCAACUGGCAACUGCCCUUUGAAGUAAUGUGUGAUGUCAAUGAUUUUGCUAUAGGAUUUUUUCUUGGGCAAAGAGAAAAUGGAAAACCUUAUGUGAUCUACUAUGCGAGGAAGGCAUUGAAUGAGGCACAAAGAAACUACACAACCACCGAGAAAGAAUUGUUAGCUGUAGUUUUUGCCUUGGAUAAGUUUCGCGCUUACUUGGUGGGGUCCUUCAUCAUGGUUUUUACUGAUCACUUUGCUUUGAAGUAUCUGUUGACUAAGCAAGAUGCUAAAGCAAGGCUGAUUAGAUGGAUUCUCUUACUUCAAGAGUUCAAUCUCCAUAUCAAAGAUAAGAAAGGAGUGGAGAAUGUGGUAGCAGACCACAUUUCAAGGCUAGCUAUCGCACAUAAUUCCCAUGCUUUGCCCAUUAAUGACGAUUUUCUAGAGGGGUCUCUCAUGUUGGUGGAAGUUGUCCCUUGGUACGCUCACAUUGCUAACUACCUGGUCACGGGAAAAGUUCCAAGUGAGUGGAAAGCACAAGAUAAGAAGCACUUCUUUGCAAAAAUUCAUGCCUACUAUUGGGAAGAGCCAUUUCUAUUCAAGUAUUGUAUGGAUCAGAUAAUAAGGAAGUGCGUUCCUGAAGAAGAGCAACAGGGGAUCCUUAGUCAUUACCAUGAAAAUGCAUGUGGAGGCCACUUUGCUUAUCAAAAGACAGCCAUGAGGGUGUUGCAAUCGGGUUUCUGUUGGCCAUCACUUUUCAAAGAUGCCCACACCAUGUGCAAGAGUUGUGAUCGAUGCCAGAGGCUUGGGAAGUUGACACGCAGGAACAUGAUGCCUUUGAACCCCACUUUAAUAGUUGAUAUUUUUUAUGUUUGGGGCACUAACUUCAUGGGACCUUUCCCUAUGUCUUUUGGCUACUCUUACAUCUUGGUAGGAGUAGAUUAUGUUUCUAAGUGGGUUGAGGCAGUCCCAUGCAAACACAAUGACCAUAGAGUGGUUCUCAAGUUUCUUAAAGAGAAUAUCUUCUCAAGAUUUGGGGUGCCCAAAGCCAUAAUUAGUGAUGGGGGUACUCAUUUUUGCAACAAGCCUUUUGAAACUCUCCUAGCCAAGUAUGGGGUGAAGCAUAAGGUAGCUACACCUUACCACCCUCAAACUCAUGGACAAGUUGAGUUAGCAAACAGGGAGAUUAAAAACAUAUUGAUGAAGGUGGUGAACACAAACAGAAAAGAUUGGUCAGUCAAGCUUCUUAAUUCACUAUGGGCAUAUAGAACAACUUACAAGACCAUUCUCGGGAUGUCUCCUUAUCGCCUAGUUUAUGGCAAAGCAUGCCAUCUCCCUGUGGAAUUGGAAUACAAAGCUUGGUGGGCAAUCAAGAAGCUCAACAUGGAUUUGAGCAGAGCUGGGUUGAAGAGGUUCUUAGACCUUAAUGAGAUGGAGAAAUUGAGAAAUGAUGCCUACAUCAAUUCAAAAAUUGCAAAAGAAAAAUUGAAGAGGUGGCAUGAUCAGUUGAUUUCCCGCAAGGAUUUUCAAAAUGGACAAAGAGUCUUACUUUAUGACUCUAAACUCCACAUCUUUCCGGGCAAGCUGAAAUCAAGGUGGAUAGGUCAUUUUACCAUUCACCAAGUGCAUUCAAAUGGAGUAGUGGAACUACUCAACUCCAACAAUAUCGAGAACUUCAAAGUGAAUGGCCACCGUCUCAAGCCCUUUGUGGAGUCUUUUUCUCACAACAAGGAGAAAUUCAUCCUCCUUGAUCCACAUCAAGCUUAACAAGACCAAUUUUCUUGAUGGACUUAGUCUUUCUAAAGACUAUCGAGUCCAUAACUUUUUGUUUUAUUUUUUAUUUGAGAUUUUUUCGGUAUUGUUACUUGUUUUGUUUUUUAUUUUUCGUUUUAAUUUUAUUUGGUUUGAUUUAACUUAGGUUUUUGAUGAUCAAUUACAGGGGGGAUUUCAAAUAGAGGAAAAACCAAGAUAAUUCGCACACCCUACGAAAAUUUCGCAAGGCAUGCGAAAUUUAUGGCUUAUUUUGCAUGGGGUGAAAAUUUUCGUACAUCUUACGAACCAAUUUCGAACACUUUGCGAAAAUAAACCAACCCUGCGAAAUCAUUUCGAUUACUCUACGAAAUUUUCGUAGAGCAUGCGAAAAAUUUAGCACACCAAACACCAUUUCGCAUACUAUGCAAAAACCUAAGGGGUCUGCGAAACCAUUUCGCACCUCCAAAUCCAUUUCGCACAUUGUGCGAAAACCAAGAGGCGCUGUGCGAAAAUGAAAAGUCGCCCUGUCAUCCCUUUUUAAACCCCUCGAGCCCUAAAAUCUCCAUUUCGCAAGCACCCCUGUCCUUGCGAAUCCCUCAUUUUCCUCUACUACCUUGCAACCUCGUCCCUUUCCAUUUGAUAUUGUGCCCCGCGCACAUCUCAUUUCAGAGACUCGCACUCCGCGCCCCCUCAAAGCAUGGACUCGAGACCCACCUUCCAUUUCCGACGUGGCACGGACCCAAGGAGCCCUUUCUGCCCCUUCACUAAGACACACACCAAGGCAGAAAGCCUCCUUUGCUCAAGUGCCUAGUGAUUCUCCAUCUUAGGCCUCAGAGGCCUCGGAGGCCCCGUGGAUUCCACCUUCCGAGGGUAGAGCAGCCAUUGGUCCUUCCUCUUCUACUCCUUAGCGUAGAUACGAGACGAGGAGACCACCUACUACACAAGGGGCGACUACUUCGAGCCUUGAGAAUUCAGUACGAUGCCUUCCUGCCAAGAGGGUCAAGACUUCAGGUCCAAGUGAGUCAUCCAGAGCUUCAUAGCCUAAGCCUCCUGUAGAUUCCAAGGUUCCUACUGACAUAUCACCGGAGUCUAUUAUCAGAAGCCCGAUGCUCAUAGCACCGCCCAUUGAGGGCAACUCAGAUUAUAGAGCGAGAUCUUUCCACUUGGAGCUAUAUUUUGAUCAGGAGGCCAUACGACAGCAGCCUGAGCUCCGAGACUCUUAUGGCUUACUGCAGAGGUACCAUCUUGAGGAACUUAUGACUCCUCGUGAGUUUUUUUAUCCCAGAGUAGCACUAAACUUUUACCAGUCCAUGACUACUCGUGGCGUCCCGAGUCCUACCACGAUUCACUUCACCAUUGAUAGACGUCAUGGUAUCCUCAAGGCCAGACAUAUUACAGAGGCUCUACAAAUUCCUUUCGAGCUAGAGGAUCCAUCUGUUUUUCGCUAAUGGUCCCCAGUAUCUCAGAGGGACAUGGUCCGUAUUUUAUCUAGGGGAACAUCUACAGAUUCGAUCUUUCUACGGAAGGAGCUUCGACCUGGGAUGCUCCUCUUAGAUGUGGUGCUAUGCUCCAACCUCUUUCCCUUACAACAUUCGGUACAUAGGUGAUGAGCUAUUUUGGACGCUUUAUUCCGUAUAUCAGAGGGCUUCUACUUUGGCCCGCACCACUUGAUCAUGGUCUCCCUCAUCCACUUUGAGGAGAAGGUUCAUAGGAAGAAGCUUCAGAGGGUGGACACCAUUCCAUUACUAUUCCUGAGGUUACUUUGCCAGGUCUUGGAGUACAUGGGCUUUCCUACUGAGCCUCGGCUCGAGCUUUGCCGCCUUUGUCGAGAGUGAUCCACUCUCGACAAAUGGAAUUAGUUGGCGGGCUAUUCUGCACCUCCAGGAGCCCCUCCCAUGGUAGCACCUCCAAUGUCCCCACAGGCAAAGUAGGGCGAGCUCCCGGCAAAGACUGUACCACCAAUGCCCACACUUGAGGCUAUUUCUGCUGCUCUGCCUAUGACUCCUACUGUUCCACCAGUUGGUCCUUUUACAUCCGAGCCUUCCAUCACCAUCUCGGCUUCGGAGUUUCGCGCCCUUGUGCAUACCUUUCAGACACUCACCACCACACAUACUCCUCUCUUCUAGCAAAUGGUUGAGAUGUGUGCCCAUCAGGACCGGAAGACUACUAUACUCUGCCAAAUUCAGCAGCACCUAAGACUUUUGCCUCAACCUCAACCUAACCAUCCCAUAUCAUCAGAGCCUCUAGCUCCAACUGAGGAUACUAUUCCACCUGAGAACACUACCACAGUAGAGGUCCGGUUUCCACCACCUUAAGAGGCCACCACAGCUACAUCAGAGGAUGUGUCAUCUCCACUUGAGGCUCCCACUACUUGAUCAUAGGACAUAUCUUUAUCUUAUUGUAUUUACAUAUUAUAUUACUAGAGAUUUGUCCUUGUUUUGAUACUUUAUAUUCUGGGAUUGGAUGUAUUGCCUGAUGAUAUCUCAAUUGUACUUUCUCAUAUUAAUAUAUAGACAUCAAUUUUUUUUAGUAUACUUAGCAUUUUUCUAUUUCCUCUACUCAUUACUCUUUUGUUUUUUUUUACUCAUGUGGUUUCUCUUAUACAACUCAGACUCCAUUUCACUCAGGAGGUACCACUUCCUCCCUUUAUUUUCAAUUGCUCUUGAAAUAUUGAGUGCAAUGUUGAUCUUGGUUGGGGGGAGAGUUGAGGAAGGAAGUUUUGUUAAUAAUGCUAGGUUAAUUUGUUAAUUUAGUUACUUUCUGCUUAAUUUUAAAAGUUUUCACUCUACUUUCCAUGGUUAUUAAGGAAAAAUUCUCAAAAUGAAAUGGGAGAAAUCGAAUUCUUGCAUUUUUACUUGAAUCUUAGAAUUUGUAUCAUGCUUAUUAAAGUUGAUGAAUUAUUGAAACUCCUAUUGAAUUCAACCUUAUUUUUUCCACUUUAAUCUUACCACACACGGUGCACAUUAGGUUCCAGUUAUAAGAUAAAAAACUAUCUCACCCCCUAAACUUAGAAAAAUUUACACUUGGUACCUUUGACAUCGUUUUAAUAGUGUUGGGACACCUUAUAAAAGGCCAAUGAGCCUUUAAAAAAAAAAAAAAAAAAAAAAAGAGAAAGAACAAAGUAUUGCACUUGCCUUGAAACCUGAGCAAGAUCCGAGGGGUAUACAGUGAAAGUCUUUAAAACCUGGUGCCCUAAGCCUUGAUUGGUUGGGAGUCACCGACCUCAAUGCUCGUUAUAAGGGUGAAUAGGUGGAGUUUAACAUAUUGUAGGUGCUUGGGUAUUGAAUUUCAAUCUCAAAAGUCCGGGAAAAAAUCUAAGGAGUUAGUGGUCAAAAGAUCCUUAAAGCUUGAUGCCCUAAACCUUGAUUGGUUGAGAGUCAUUGAUGGAUCCCCGCUACAUGGACAUUUUAGAAAACAAUACCUUUAGCAUUGCACGCCUACAAUGAAAAAAAAAUGUGAAAUAAAAGAGGUGCGUUCUUAGCCUAUUGGAGGUUGGUCAGUUUGCUAAAGUUUGAGAAAUCUAGGUUGGGGGGAGAGAAUAGUCCGACAUACUAUAAUAAAAAACUAAUAACCUUAACACUUAGAUUUUUGUGGAAGAGUAAGGAUUGGACCUUUAGGGGUGGAAAUUCUUUUGAUGCUUAAAUUUGCAUAAUGCCUACUCUUUAUAAAUUAUGAUUAGGCAAGAGAUUUGAUGACUCUUGUUCAAAGUUGGGUUUUUCCUCUUUGAUGUUCCAUGAGAGAGUAUAAUCCUCAUCAUGCCACUUGAAAUCUUUUUGGAGUGAUUAACAUGAUUUUGUAAAUUAUUUUACUGUCUAUUUUUCUUUAUCUCUCUUUUAUUGCUAAUGGACUAGCAAUAUGUCAGUUGGGGGGAGUGAUUACUACUCAAAAAGUACUCUUUUAUAGCUUGAAACUAACUGUUUUAAACACUUUUGAGUAGGUGUUAAUACAUUUUAACUCAAUUGGCACAUUAAGGAACCUAACAAGGGUUACUAAUAAGUUUUUGGCAAGUUUUGGUGUUUUUGGUAGCUAUUUGAUCAUUGAAACAAGCCAAGAAUGAGGGAGAAUUUUGUGAAGUCCAUAGCAAUGCAAGUUAAAGCUCAAAUACAUGAAGAAUCCAAGCUUUGAAGCACUUCAUAGCCCUUUGCGAAGCCAAUCAGAGAUGCAAGGAAGAAAACCAGAGGAAAAAAUCCAACAACCAGCAUUUUCGCAUGGCUGUGCGAAAUUUUGCACACCAUGCGAAACCACAAGAAGUAGCCAAAGAAUUUUGCACACCAUGCGAAAUUUCGCAUGGUAUACGAAAUCUUCCUAUGCACCAACUCCGUUAUAUUUUUAUCUUCAGAUAUUUUGUGUAAUUUCCUAGUUUCUCCUUGUAACCAACCUAGAUAUUUUCUUUUAUAUCUUUUUUUUAUAUUUUUUAGGUAACAUCAUAUAUAGGGGGAGAGACAUAAGGAGGAUAUGGAUGUUUUUCAUAAAACACUUUUAAUUUUCUGGUAGUAAGAAAUAUACAAAGUUUUUUGCUCUGCCUUACCUUCUCAUUUUGUUUUCACCUAUCUUUCUAGCCAAACAACCUCUGAGAAUGAUUUCUCAGGGGAUGAGUAGUUAGGUUUUACGUUUCUUGGAGUGAGAGAAGCUAGGUGAAAGACCCAAAUGCUAAGGUGGGAGUUGUCCUUGCUUUAAAUGAAAGUAGUUGUUAAAUAUUAAUGGUUUUUAUUUUAAGGUUUAGCUUUAAAUCCCUUAAAAACACCUUGAAUGGCCAAUACUUGGUAAGCUUUUCGGAUUCUAUGGAUGCUUAUUGCUAGAUCCAUGGAUGUCAUUAGUUAUCAUUUAUGAGCCAUUGGAAGGUGGUUCAAGAUGAGAGUCUUUAGUGUUUGAAGCCAUUAAUGGGAAACAAUUACCAUUUUUUCAUGAAUCCUUUGGAUAAAAUCUUAAUUGCUAAAUAUAAAACUGGUUCGGGAGAUAACCAUCCUUUAUGUUAUUAUGCCCAAUGCAAGGAGAAGAUUUCGAAUCUUCUCAUUUGUCUAAGGAACCCGAUCCUAGUGACCUAAAGCUCCUAGAGACCUUUUCUUUGUAGUUAACUUCAUUUAUUGUUUUUGCUUAACUUAAAAUCAAUCUUUGCAACCACAAUUCCAUUUUCUUUAAAAGCUAAUUUUUAUAAGGAAAAGCACCAUUUUAUUUCCUUCACUAAGUCAACUGUAUGAUGAAAACCCAUCCCUGUGGACGAUCUUAGAGCCACUAUACUAUGUUAUCUAUGCUAUCCUAGUGUGAGGUGAUUUAGGUUUUAUAAAUUUUGUUGAUAACACCCGUCUGAGCCAGAAUCAAAUGGAACCACUGAACCAGGGACAAAUCAACAGCCUAUAUGGGAGGGACACAAGUUUAAUUGAUUUGCAUUUCAGCGUUAUAGAUAAGUAUGUUUUGGAAGAUUUGUUCUGGAAAUACUGCACCAAGUACGAUUCUUUUUCUCUUGAGUGAGUCCAUUUGCAUGCCAAUUAACGAGUUGAAAAGUAGGAGCACCUACCUCGUGCUCAUGGAACCGAAUGUCAGUGAAGUGGGGCUCCUUUUAGCCUCUUGUGUUUCUGUUCCAACCAAGGCGGCGUAGGGAAAAACAACAAUAUGUCUGUGCUAAAUAUCAACGCAUGAUAGAUGUUUUUUUUUUUUUUUUUGGUAUGUCAAGGCUAACGAAUGAAAUGCAUUAGCUUGUUUUGUGACUAUAACUGCAAAUGUCCAAAUUGGAGUAUCUCCAUUUCUCACUUCGGAUGGUUAACUUUAUAAACAAGAUAUAGGAAACAUGUGAACAUCUUGAGGAACAAUUCAAAUUAUUCAUUAGAAGUCCUGGGUUAAGUUCCAAGAUUUAAAUCAGACCCUUCUAGCAGCUUCAAGGGUACUUAGCAACCUAUAACAUAUUAAUGAAGAUUUAGGAUUUAGACUCCGGAAUACAAAUAAAUAUGUAUCUCAUGCUUUGACUAGCUUCCCUACAUAUGCAUAAAAUGGAGAUGACCCAAAAAAAAUAGCAGAAUCUAGCUUCCCUACAUAUGCACAAAAUGGAGAUGACCCAAAAAAUAGCAUAAUCGCCUUAGUUUCUGUGGUUAAGGUGAUUCUCCGCUUAAUAUCCACAUUGACUCAUUAUGCAAAAUCAACUGAGCUAAUUUUAUUUAUUUAUUUAAUGUCAAAUAGGAACUCCUAAUUAACUGAUUACUGUCGAAAAGUGCUAUUUUGUAGACCUAAUUAUAAGGGUUUUAAGCACCUUUGAGUAGUAAUCAUAUUCAUUUAACCUAAUUAAUUCAUUAAGCUCCUUAGUAAUUAGUUCUAACCAUUUUUAGUGGCAAGUUUACAUGUUUUUCAUCAGCUUAUGAACCAAUUCAAGCAUGCCAAUUGAUGGAGGAGCUACUUGGGCGAGUUAAGCAAGGAUUUUGGACGUUUACAGGCUUGAAUUUCAAGUGGAAACACGAGCACAAGCAAUGGGAACACCAUUUCGCAAGGGGAGGCAAUUCACCUUGCCAAAUGACCAAUUUCGCAAGGGGAUUUUCCUCAUGGUGCAAAAUUUGGUCAUUUCGCACCAUGAAGAAACCACCUUGCAAAAUUUCGCAAGGUGGAUUUAGGCACCUUGCGAAAUGCCAAAUUUCACAAGGUGGCUUUUCACCUUGCGAAAUUUGGACCUUUCAUCUUCCCCCCUUGCGAAAUGCCUUUGAAAUCCCCUGUUUUGAGACGCUGUUGAUGAUAUUCCACUGCCGGUUCUCCAAGAUAUUUUGCUUGACUUUUAGCUUUAUAAAUACCUAUUUUACCCUUGUAAUCAACCAAUGAAAAGGUUGCUUUUGUAAUAGCUCUUGUAAUUUAGCUUUUUAUUGUCUUUAAAUAGAGGUGAAGAGCCUCAGACACGAUCAUCUUGUAACCUGUAACUUUAUAAGUUAUAAGAGCACUUUUGUUCAUACGCUUCUUUUCUCUUUUCUUUCUCAUUUUCUUAGUAGCCAAACAUCCUUGGAGGAUGAAAUCCCCAAGGAUGAGAGGCUAAAACCUUUUAGUUUCUUGAAGUAAUGGAUGCCAUGUGAAGCUCCCGUGUCAGGAUGGAGAUUUCCAAGCCAUAAAUGUAAGUAGCUGAGCGUCAUAAAUGUUUUCAUUCAAAGUAAAGCUUUUAAUCCCUCUGACUUGCUUUGAAUGGCCAAUACUUGAUAACCUUUUGGUCUCAAUGGAUUCUUAUUGUUAGAUCCACUGACGUUCAUUAGUUAUCUCCUACGAGCCAUUGUAUUGCAAGUCGAGGAGAUGACCUAUACCAAUAAAAGAGCAUUUAUGAGGUUCAACUACCCUUUUUGUAAGUUUUCAAGGACUAAAACUCAGUUGUUAAACUCAUACCGGUUCGAGAAGUAAGCAUCACCUUAGUUGCUUCCCCAACUCGAGGUGAAAAGUCCCAAAAUCUCCAUUUUUACACAGUGAGUUAAGCAUGGCUAUCCAAAGCUUUAAGAAACUUCUUUUUCCAUCUUUUAACCUAUUUUCAUGUUAGUUUAGUUUACAACACCUUCAUCUUUUUAUGUUUUCAUCUUAACCUAAUUUUUAUUAAGAAAAGUUCACUCCAUCCUCCGAACUUCACCAGUUAAAGUAAAAACCCUUCCCAGUGUUCGAUCCUAGAGCCACUAUGCUAUAGUAGCUUUGCUACUUUAGUGUAAGGACCUUAGGUAUAAAUUUUGUUGAUACCCUUACAUGCCAAGCUACCAAGAGUCGGGUUAUCAUUAACCUAACCAUUGGCCUGUGUAAAUUGAUUUCACAUGCACAAUGUUGUAGUAGAAGUCCAUAUUUUGAAUUUUAUUUUUGUAAAGGUAAGGAAAAUGAAGCAUUGUGUAAUUAUAAAAAUAACUUCAUUGGAAUUCACAAGGUUCACCCAAAAUGGAGCUACAUCUGUAUUCUAUCCUACAGUAGACUAUAUAGAUUGUACAAUAGUAAAUUGCAAAUACAAUUAAUAAGUCUUGUGCUUCCUUACUAAUAAUCCUUUGACAUGAACAUUGCAGCACUAAGGUCCUCUUGGGAAGACACCUUGCACCCAUGAGAGCACUAAGAGGAAGCAAGGCAGAGUCAUGGGUGCAAUGUCAUGACUUGUUGUUGCACCAAGAGAGGCUUGGUGAUGCCAUGGUGUUGCAGUAGCAAGAAUGUUGCCUUGGCAGGGACACGAUCUAGGGAUAGAUGCCAAGAAAGGCUUAGCACUCACAUGAGUUGCACAAAGAUGAAUGUAAUAGAGCAUCAGAGAGACGUCUUGGCAAGUAAAUGAAUGGAUCCAAGAGACAACAACAUGAGGAGUUUCAAAUGGAUAAGGAAUGACUCAAAGACAUUUGAAAGCUACAAGUUGGAUUCUAAUUACGAUUGCAAUUUGAGUUUGAGUAGGAGUUUAGAUUUUGAUUGUAAUUGUAGUAUGAGUUGGACUAGGAUUGCUUAUCCUUAGUCAAUAUAGGAGCGGUUCGUGUCACCCUAUGAAAAGAGUUUGAGUAGGGACUAGGAUUGCUUACUCCUAGUCAAAUAUGGAGUAGGUGGUGCCACACCUAUAAAAAAAAGGGACAACAUGAGAGAGAGAGAGAGAGAGAAAGAGAGAGUGAAUUCACUAAAGAUAUUGUGGGAGUUUUGCUUUGUUACGUCUUGUAUUAUUACUUAGAAUAGGAAUAAAAUACAAGUUGGGGCUAGAGCCCCAUAAUUAAUCUCGUGUGCCUUUGUGGUUAUUCUUUAUUUGUCAUCUCGUGUGGAUUGGAUUAGGUUGACUUAGAGGGCUUCUAAGCACCACCUUUGUGGGUUAUUAUUUAUUUUCCAUCUCUUGUGGAUUAGAUUAGGUUGACUUAGAGGGCUUCUGAGCACCACCUUUGUGGGUUAUUAUUUAUUUUCCAUCUAUUGUGGAUUAGAUUAGGUUGACUUAGAGGGCUUUUAAGCACCACAUUUGUGGGUUAUUCUUUAUUUUCCAUAUCGUGUGGGUUGGAUUAGGUUGACAAGGAGAAAAAUUAUGUGGGAAAUUUGUGUUGGGACACUUACCAUAACCAAGUAAAAUCUACCAAGUCCUUUGUAAUAUCUUCAACAAAUAUUUUAGACUAGUUCUUUCAGUUAGUGUAAAGGAGGAAGAAGUGGUAUUGAUUCUAGAAAUAGGGUGUGUGUAUUUGAACUACAAUCCUUAUGAUCCUUAGGUCUCUAAACCUUCGUGAUGGGCUCCCUGACAUUUCAUAGGUUGUGCUACACAUGCGUUUGAAAUUUAGAGUGCGUUUGACAGUGAUUCCGGGAAGUGUUUUUGGCCUUUCUUACACUUGAAAAUUUUUAUUUUUCAAGUAUUAGAAAUGCUACAAACACUUUUGAAAAUUACUGUCAAACACACUCUUAGGAGCGCACAUAUAUAGUAGAAAACUAGAAAUUGUGGUUUUUUUAGGAUUUACUGUAAUGUCAUUAGGAGGGUAGUAAGUUGAAAUUGAGUAUGAACAAAUAUUUCUUUCUUUGGGAUGUUCUUCUAGUAGGUGCUGAUGAAACUGUUCUUUCUACUGCCAAUGUCACAUAUCAGCCAGAAAUUGAAAAUUUCAGUCAAGGUGUCCUCUGUUUUAGUGGUGAGGAAAGCUAGAAAUUUUAAGGUGAAGUUUUGUUAAAAACCUUAAGUAGCUGGGAUAUCAGGCCUGUUUUGCUUGAAAAAAAAAGUUGCAAGAUAACUCAUAUGCCAAACAGGUUCUGAUAUUGUGAAUCUAUCGGCAGACAUCAGUAAUCUCAUCUUCUGAGAUGGAUGUUGGGGGUGCAUGUGGUGGUGGAGGGGCAAGGUUUCAUUUGGUUUAUUUUGUUGAUGGAUAUUGUCUAGCCACCUGCGCCAAGUUUGAGGGGUGGUGGGUUGUGAUGACCCUACAAUUACUAUUAAUUUCUUCAUCUUUUACCGAUUAAAGUGUCCGAACAGUCGAAGUUACCCUUAUGCAUGUCAACUUGAUCACUUACCUCUUCAAUGGAGUUUAUGCUGGUUCAUUUAGGAACUGAUUUUUAUUGUUAUGUAUUAUAUGCUGAUGUUUAGGUCUCUCCAUCAUCACUAUAUACAAAAAUUCUAGGUUGAUACUAUAGGUUGAGAUUUAUUUUUUAAAUAAAAAAUAAUAAAAAUAAAAAUUAUGGUGAUGUUUAGUUGUUUUAUGGAAAAUUUUAACAAGUAAAAGUUAUUUUUGGGCAAGUUUUCAAACAAAAAGAAAAGUAAAAGUUGUUUUGACAAAAACAUAUAGAAAAAAAAAUCAUAGAAAAUAAAUAAUUUCCCCAUAUUCUAACUUUUUUGAAUUUUUCUCAAUGGGCAAAGGAAUAUCAAAUCAAGUUUGAGUAGGAUUUCUUAAUUUUUAAAAUAACUUACAAUUAAAAAAUUUUGGUGUUUUCAUUUUUGGACAAUUUUUUAUUAAGCAAAUGGACUCUGAGUCAUGCAAGAGAUAUGGUUCAUUAACCGGUCGAACAAUUUUUUUAAAUUAAUUUAAAAGUCAAAUACAUAAUCAAUUUCACAAAAUUUAUAAACAAAAAUAGGUUUAGAGAAGAUCUACACAUAAUUUUACUUUUCUAAUUUUAUUUUAUUUUAUUUUUUGUUGGAAAAUAGUCUUCAAAUCAUGUAAGAUUUAAUAGGUUAAAUUUGUUAACAAUAAAUUUUAAAUUAUAAAAUAUAAUCUGGAACUCAAAAAUCAAUUCAAGUAAUGCUAAAAAAAAAUCAAAUUUGGUAUAGAAUGACUUUGUAAAUUUUUUUACAAAACAAAUGAAUUUUAAAUCAAGUGAGAUUUAAUGCAUUAGAUUUUUAUCAAAUAUAGUAAUUUUAAAAAUAAAUUUGGAACUCAACAAUAGACACAAUAAAUACCAAAAAAUAAUGAACCAAAAUUGGUUUGGAAUAACUCCACAACCUUUUUUUUUUUUUUUUGGUGCACACGAAUUUUCUUACUAGGUAUAUUGCUUUCAAAUUGAGAAAGAUUUACCAUUUAGAUUUUUUUUUAAUGAGUUUAAUGGUAUUUUAAAAUAAUUCAAAAUUUAAAAAAUUGACUAAUUAAUAUUAUAAAUUGAUAAACCAAGACUAUUUCAAAAUGCAUUGGGGGCUAAGGGGGUUGAAAAUAGGGACAAUGGGAUGGGUUUGGGACAUGACACUCAUAUCUCAUUUCCAUUCCAAUUACACAGUUAUCUCCCAUCCUUAUCCCAAACUUGUGUUGGAGCAAGUUGAUUUGUUCCCAUCUUUGUUGACGAAAUGACUAAUAACCUCAUCCCCUCCUUAUCUUAGAUGUACAUUUUGUCAAAUUUGAUCAGGUAUGAUUGAUCCAAGCCCUAACCCUAAUUGGUAAUGAGUGAAUACUACACCUAAUUGCAUUCUUCUUUCAUUGCAAAAUAAUGAGAUUAUAAUAAUCUAGCAAAUAAGAAAAAAUAGUAUGGAAGUUCAAAUUAACACCAUAACUAUCAAUAAUUUUAAGCUUAUAGAUGACUUAAAUGAUUAAAAACUAAUGCAAAAUCCUAAAAAAAAUAAAAAUCAUAUAAAGAAUUCACAAGAGAACAGAAUGAACAAAAACCAAAUAUGAACAUGGGUCAACAUUAGUUAUGGAUUUGGAUUCCUUUCAAGGCCAAUCUUUGAACCAAGACUUCAUCAAAUCAACUACUUCAAAGGCUUUUGUGUUCUUCUUGGGUUGUGCUCUCAAACAAAGACUUCGAGGUGAUGUUCUAGAUGAUUGAAUUACACAUAUUUAGGGUGGAGAGAUUGGAGAAGCUUGAAGAUGCCAACGAUGGGUACAAUUGAGUGGUCAAUAAGAACAAUGUAGCCUAUGACUAGUUUGAUGUCAUGGUACAAGAGUUUUAGGCAUUGAGGUUAAAGCAAGAGCAACAUGGAAUUGAUUUCGGAGUCUUUCAGUUAGUGUAAAGGAGGAAGAAGUGGUGUUGAUUCUAGAAAUAGGGUUUUAAGUGGUGCGUGAUUACUACUCAAAAAGUGCUAUUUGAUAGCCUUUAAUUAAUCCUUUUUAACACUUUUGAGUAGUAGUUUAGGCCUUUUAACUCAAUUGGCAUGUUAAGGAUCCUUUAAAGCAAUUUUGAUCACUUUGUGCAAGUUUUGGUGUUUUUGUUAGUAUUUUGAUCACCAAAGCAAGUCAAGAAUGAGGAGAACUAUGAGGAAUCAUGGGCAAAGCUUAGAAUUCAAUUGCCAAGAGUGAAUCCGGAUUGCAAGGAGAAAAAGCAAAGAGAAUCUGUCAUGAAGCCUAUUCUUGAUGACAGUCGUAGCAGCCACUUUUGGAGCACUUUCUGAAGUCCAAAUGAUGCAAGCUAUAUACCAUUUCAAAGAUCAGGAAGUCAACAAUCCAAUGCUUCAAACGGUGCGCGAUUCGGAGUUGAAACGAAGAAGUUGCAGCCAUUACAAGCCAGUCACUCUAAAGUGUUGCGGAAUCAGCCUUUUGUUGCGAGAAUUUCGCAGCACUUUUGUACAGUAAGGUGUUUCUCCUUCUGACGAUGCACGAACCAUGCCGCGAGAGGGAAGCUAGGAACUUCAAGAUGGAAGCCAACUUUGCAGCCUGGUGAAGAUAGCUUGGUCUUGCGAAAUAAUUUCGCAGCCCUCUUGGGUGUCUGCGAAAUUUCGCAGGCACCACUUUUUUCCUGCGAAAUGGCUCCGGAAGCCUCCCGAAGCUUGCUACCGACAUUGGGAGAUAUUUUCCAUUAGAUUUUUGUUGUCUAAAUUCCAAAAUACUCCUUGUAAACCACCAAUUACAUGAUUCCUUAGUUUUUAAGUUAGUAAAAAGACCAAAUAUCUAUGUAAUAAUUAGUUUUAUAUUAGUUUGCUAUAAAUACCUCUCGGGAGCAUGUUCUCAGAGAGGAGUUCCUUCUGUAACCAUUUUGGUAAGCAAGUAAAGUCUUUUCUUUCUACUGCCUUACCUUCUCACUUUGUAUUUUCAUUUUAUUUCUAAGUUAUGAAUUCUCUGAGGAGCUUUCCCCAGAGAAUGAGUAACUAAACCUCCAAUUCCUUGGAGCUAAGGUUGCCGGGGAAGGUUCCAAGUGCAAGAAUGCAAAGCUCUGUGGUUUUAGCUAGUAAUGAAGAGGAAGUGAAAUCCUUUAGUGAUUUCAAUGUUUUUAGUUAACUUAAAACACCUUGGAGUCACCUGGGCCAACACUUGGUAAGGCAAGUGAUUUCCAACCGUGGAAAUGCACUAGUUUACCCCUUGCGAGCCUCUGGUAGGUGACUUCAAGGUAGGAUUUUCUGGAAUUACCAACACUUGGUAAGCUUUUGGACUCCUAGGAGACAUCCAUUAGUUAUCUCUUGCGAGUUUGUGAAGGGGAAUCCAAGGUUAAAGAUCACCUUGAAUGGUAAGUGCUCGUGAGAGGCAUGAACCAUUGCAAGUUGUAUCAGUGAGAGAAUUAAAGUGAAAUCUAAUUGAAGGAGUCUCUGUACAUCACCGGUUAGAGAAUUGACUAUAAGUUGAAUCUCUAAUGCGAGGAAAUGAACCAUCUGACCGGAGCUAUGUCUUUUGCAUGAGGAACCACCCCAGUGAACCUAAAUCUCCAAGGAAUGCUUUUCUUCCUAAAUUAUUCCAAACUUCUGUUAAGUUAGUUAGUUUAAGUCUAAACCUUUACCAAUCAAACUUUGUGUUUUAUUUCUUAAGCUAACCGUGAAAUGAAACAAAACCAAUUCACUUGGAAUUGGUAUCCUUGAUUGCUUGCAAAUCAUUCCCAGUGAACGAUCCUUAGAGCCACUAUACUAUAGUAGCUUUGUAUUUGCUACCCUAGUGUAUGGUGUUAUAGGUAUAAAUUUUGUUGAUCACUUCCUCAAUCAAGGAACACCAGCUGAACACAAAUCAGCUGAGACACCAAUUGGGCAUGAGUCAAAUGGCGCCGUUGCCGGGGAAUGAGUGUCAAGAUCAUUGUGAUACCAUUUUUGAGCACUUGUGAUUUUCAUCACAAGUUGGUAAAGUUUCUUUCACUUUACUAAUUUUCAUUCUCUCUUUGUUUAUUUACAAUCUAAGUUUAUCUUUUUAAAAUUUAGUCUAGUUUAAUUUUGCUAUUGUAGCCUUGUUUCUCUUGUUGUCCUCUGUUCUUGUUGUCCUCUGUUUUCAUUUUAGUUGCAGCUGAAUACUAGUUGUGUAUGCCAAAGUGGAUACGAGACAUUGGAGGUAGGCUUAUUAAGUGUGAUACACCUCAGAGAGGAGAAUUGGAAGUAAUCUUGAAUAUCAUGGAGGCUGCACCUGAAGAUCAGCAUAGUCACCAAGGUCGUCAAGACAAUCUCAAUGAAUUCAGAUCAAUGAGGGACCGUAUGCAUCCACCUCGUAUGAGUGCACCAUCAUGUAUAGUGCCCCCUACAGAGCAACUAGUGAUCAGACCAUAUCUUGUUCCACUUCUACCAACUUUCCAUGGGAUGGAAAGUGAGAAUCCGUAUGCACACAUCAAGGAAUUUGAAGAUGUUUGUAAUACAUUCCAAGAGGGAGGAGCUUCAAUUGAUUUGAUGAGGCUUAAGUUAUUUCCUUUUAAUUUAAAGGAUAAGGCCAAAAUUUGGCUUAAUUCUUUAAGGCCAAGGAGUAUCCGCUCUUGGACUGAUUUACAAGCUGAAUUCCUCAAGAAAUUUUUUCCUACUCAUAGAACAAAUGGCUUGAAAAGGCAAAUUUCAAACUUCUCAGCUAAAGAGAAUGAGAAAUUCUAUGAGUGUUGGGAAAGAUACAUGGAAGCUAUAAAUGCUUGUCCUCACCAUGGCUUUGAUACUUGGCUACUGGUGAGUUAUUUUUAUGAUGGUAUGUCCUCCUCAAUGAAGCAACUCCUCGAGAAAAUGUGUGGAGAAGAUUUCAUGAGCAAAAAUCCAGAGGAAGCUAUGGAUUUCUUGAGCUAUGUAGCUGAUGUUUCAAGGGGAUGGGAUGAACCAACUAAAGGAGAAGUGGGAAAGAUGAAGUCUCAGUUGAAUGCUUACAAUGCAAAGGCUGGGAUGUAUACUUUAAAAGAGGAUGAUGACAUGAAAGCAAAGUUGGCAGCUAUGACAAGAAGAUUGGAGGAGCUGGAGCUGAAAAGAAUGCAUGAAGUGCAAGCUGUUGCUGAAGCACCAGUGCAAGUGAAGUUGUGUCCCAAUUGUCAAUCGUUUGAACAUUUGGUAGAGGAAUGCCCUGCAAUUUCAGCUGAAAGGGAAAUGUAUAGAGAUCAAGCAAAUGUUGUUGGACAAUUCAGGCCCAAUAACAAUGCUCCUUAUGGAAAUACCUACAAUUCAAGUUGGAGGAAUCAUCCAAAUUUUUCAUGGAAGGCCAGAGCAACUCAAUACCAACAGCCGGAUCCACCAUCUCAACAAUCUUCAAGUAUUGAACAAAUAAUAGCUAAUCUCAGCAAGGUAGUGGGAGAUUUUGUGGGAAAGCAAGAAGCCACCAAUGCUCGAGUGGAUCAAAGAAUGGACAGAGUGGAUCAAAGAAUGGACAGAAUGGAGAGUAUGUUGAACAAAAGAAUGGAUGGAAUGCAAAAUGAUAUGAAUCAAAAAUUUGAUAACAUCCAAUAUUCAAUUUCAAGGCUUACAAAUUUGAAUACACUGCAAGAAAAGGGAAGAUUUCCUUCUCAACCUAACCAAAAUCCCAAAGGUGUCCAUGAAGUGGAAAGCCAUGAGGGAGAAUCAUCACAGGUGAAAGAUGUGAAAGCUUUGAUCACUCUAAGGAGUGGUAAGAAAAUUGAGCAGCCAACACCCAAGCCACAUGUUGAGAAAGAAGAAGAGAUGAAGAAAGGGAAGGAAAUGGAAGAUAAAGGCAGUGAGAUCAGUGAAGAAAAGAAGGACUCUGAUGCAACAAUGAAAGUAAUUCCAGAGAAGGAGCUUCUGAAGGAAGAAAUGCUGAAGAAAUCAACUUUUCCACCUUUUCCUCAAGCAUUACAGGGGAAAAAGGGGGUUAGAAAUGCAGCUGAAAUCCUAGAAGUAUUGAGGCAAGUGAAAGUUAAUAUUCCACUGCUGGAUAUGAUCAAACAAGUUCCAACGUAUGCAAAAUUCCUAAAGGACUUGUGUACUAUCAAAAGAGGGUUGACUGUAAACAAGAAAGCCUUCUUGACUGAGCAAGUAAGUGCAAUCUUACAGUGUAAGUCUCCUUUGAAGUACAAAGACCCUGGAAGUCCUACCAUUUCAGUCAUGAUUGGAGGAAAGGUAGUGGAGAAAGCCUUGCUAGACUUGGGAGCAAGUGUGAAUUUGCUUCCAUAUUCUGUCUACAAGCAACUGGGACUUGGAGAGUUGAAGCCAACAGCAAUCACUUUGUCUCUGGCAGAUAGAUCAGUGAAAAUUCCAAGAGGGGUAAUUGAGGAUGUAUUGGUUCAAGUAGAUAAUUUCUACUAUCCUGUAGAUUUUGUUGUUCUUGAUACAGAUCCUACUGUAAAGGAAGCUAAUUUAGUUCCUAUCAUCCUUGGAAGGCCAUUUCUUGCAACUUCAAAUGCAAUCAUCAACUGUAGAAAUGGGCUUAUGCAACUCACUUUUGGUAACAUGACACUGGAUCUAAAUAUUUUCUAUAUGUCUAAAAAGCAAAUCACUCCAGAAGAAGAAGAGGGUCCAGAAGAGCUAUGUAUUAUUGAUACUUUGGUGGAGGAGCACUGCAAUCAACAUAUGCAAGAUAAGUUGAAUGAAAGUUUUGUGGAUAUUGAGGAAGGUUUUUCUGAAUCUCCUAAUGGGCUUGCUACUCUACAAAGUUGGAGAAAGAUAGAAGGAAUUCUACCUUUGUUCAAUGAAGAAGAGGAGGCAGCUGUUGAAAAAGAAAUUCCAAAACUCAAUCUGAAGCCUUUACCUAUGGAGCUGAAAUAUACAUAUCUUGAAGAAAAUAAUCAAUGUCCUGUCGUAAUAUCUUCAUCUCAAACCAAGUCUCAAGUGAAGGAUGCAAGCUUCAAAUGGGAUCCGGGCAAACUGAAUCAGGAAGGGCAAAAAGUUUUGAUGUAUGACACAAGACUCCAUAUCUUUCCUGGGAAGCUCAAGUCAAGGUGGAUUGGUCCAUUUGUUAUUCACCGAGUAUAUUCCAAUGGAGUGGUGGACUUAUUGAAUUCCAAUGGCAAGGACAGCUUUAGAGUCAAUGGAUAUCGUCUUAAGCCGUUCAUGGAGUCAUUCAAAUCAGAAAAGGAGGCAAUCAACCUCCUUGAACCUCAAAAAGCCUAAGUGAAAUGGGUUUGCUGGACGUGGUUUUACCACAGUCCAAAAAUUUUUGUAAAUUUUGUAAAUUUUCAAGUUGUUUCCAUGCUUUUAAUCUUAGUUUUUGAUUUUAAAUCAUGUUUUUAGGUGUGUUUUAAUCGUUUUAUAUGAUCCCAGGCGGAAGAAAUUUCAAGGGGAUUGAAAAGAAAAAAAUCGGGUCGAAAUUGGAGCCGAAACAGAGCAAAAACAGGGGAAAAACAGAGCUCUGCGAAAUUUCGCAGGGUGAAGGAAACUUCUGCGAAAUUGGCAUUUUGCUGCCAAACCAUUCCGCAGCACUGUAGAAGCCUCUGCGAGUGUAUUUCGCAAUUGCGAAAGUGGAUUUGGCACACGAGUGCCACUUCGCAGCACAGUGACAUCAAUUUCGCAGCUGCGAAACUCACUGCGAAGUUGCUGCGAAAAUGGCAAGUUGCUGCGAAAUUGGCGUUUUGUUGCGAAACGUAAUCUGACCCCUGGGCUUCCGUUUUUCCUAUUUAUACCUGUCAAAAGUGCUGCGAAAAAGGUUUCAAAAAUUAGAGCACCAUUCUCGCAGCCCUUUCAUCUUCUUCGCCAAGCCACGCCGUCCGUUUCUCCGGUCGUCUUCUCCGUUUAGCAGCGCCGGCCAAAGAUCGAUAGCCCAAAAAUGGCACGAACGCGAGGGGCAAAGUCUUCAUCCCCUUCGAACCGCAAAAGGAGUCUGCGAAAGGAGCCAAGUUCAGGCUCUGUUCCAGAACCUGCUCCAAAGCCUUCGCCGUCGAGACCACAACCUUCUCCAGUGAAGCCGGCGCCACCAAAGCCGCCGGCAAGGCGAUAUUUAACCAGGUCAGGUGGUCAGCCAUUGAAGAAGAAAGCCAGAGUUGAGAGCUCUGAACCAAUCGAUUUGACUGAGCAAUCCCCUGAGAAAUCACCAAAUCCUUCACCGGUACAAAUUCCAGUGCCAUCACCGGUUCCCUCGCCAAUUCCCUCACCAGAAGCAACUCCAAUUCCAUCGCCGGUACCAUCUCCGGCACCCCAAGAAAAAGCUCAGGAGCCUCAAGCGCCAAUUCCAGAGCCCCAAAUUGCAGCUGAAGCACCUCUGGAAGAAGUGAUCCGAAGGCCAAUGCUGCCUCAGCCCCCAAUCGAAGGAAACCUGGAUUGCCGAACUCGGGCAUUCCAUUCUGAGCUUUGCUUCGAUUUAACAGCAUUCAGAGUGAGGCCAGAGCUUGCCCAAUCCUUCCAACUGCUGAGGAGAUAUCAUAUGGAGCAUCUGCUAGCUCCAAGGGAUUUUUUCUAUCCCCGGGUAGUCACGGAUUUCUACCAAACCAUGACAACCAAAGAAGUAAGAAAUCCAACUCUGAUUCAUUUCAUAAUUGAUGGAAGGCAUGGUAUUUUGGGAGCAAGACAUAUUGCUGAAGCCCUGCAAAUUCCUUUUGAGCCAACUCAAUUCGACAAUUUUAAAGCUUGGACAAAUCCUACUGAGUUAGAGAUGGUUAGCACACUAACCAGAGGAGCUGCAAAUCGAUCGCAUUUGUUGAGGGGGGAGCUACCUCCAGUUAUGUUUUUGAUUGAUGCCUUUUUGAGGCAUAAUAUCUAUCCCCUGCAGCAUUGGACCCAAAGAAGGGGAAUUCUCCUAGAAGCCUUGUACAAAAUGUCUGAAGGAUUCUUCUUUGGGCCUCAUCAUCUGAUCAUGGCAGCCCUUCUAUACUUUGAGGAGAAGGUUCACAAGAAGAAGCUUCAAAGAGCAGAUUGCAUUCCACUCCUCUUCCCAAGGCUGCUAUGCCAAGUUUUGGAGCAUCUCGGAUACCCCUCUGAGCCUCAGCAGGAAAGAAAGAGAAUAUGCCGUGAGCCUUUUACCCUUGAUAAAUGGAAUAAUAUGACGGCCUACAAAAUUGAUCAGCCUGGGCAGCCUCAGCCAGCAGCAAGGAGAGUCUCCCCAAGACAUAUACCUGAAGGUAUAACACUUGCUACUCCUGCCAUCCCUCGAGCUCCACCAGCUGCACCUGCUCCAUCACAGCCAUCCACAUCAGCUGAGCCGAGGAUGGCCAUCCCUAUAUCCGAAUAUCGAGAGCUGUGCCGUGCAUUGGAGACUCUUACAGCUUCUCAGAGCAAUCUUGCUCAGGAGUUGGCAGCCAUUAAAGCAUGCCAGGAGCAGAUGUUAGCCUCUCAGACUCAACAAGCUGCCAUCCUAAGGCAGCUUCAAGUCCAUUUCGAUCUGCCACAAGCUGUAGAGCCCUCUAUUCCUACUCCACCAGAGCCACACUCUCAGCCUUCAGAGUCUCAUCCUCCAGAACCCGAAGCACCAGCUGAUCCACCUACUGAGGAGGCAGAUCCUUCUGCCUAGCACCAUCACCCCCCUCAUCAGACAUUAUAUAUAUAUUUGCUGUUUAUGUUUUUAUGCAUGUUUGUUUUGUUUUAGUUGAAAAGAAAUCCCAGUAUUUUGGUACUAUAUAUGGGAUUCCUUGUGUUACUUGUCUUUAGUAUUGUAAUCACAUGAACUCAAAGUAAUACAAGUUGACUAUUUCUUGUUAAAAGUUAGCAUUAAAGUUUCCUUAUUUCCUUUUCUCACAUAUUCUAUUCUUUUUGAAACAUGUGGUUUUCCCCAAUCAAUAUUCGAAUUUGAUAUCAGCAUGGAGGUACCACUUCCUCCCUUUUAUUACAGUCACUCAAAUCACAUUGAGGACAAUGCUCAGUUCGGUUGGGGGGUAUGAGGAAGGAAGUAUUCUAAACCUUUUUGGUAUUGCAAUUAUAUUGGUUAAUUAGUUGUAGAUUUUACUUUUUACUAGUGUUACUCUAUUCUCCAUGAAUUUUGAGGAAAAAUUUUCAAAUUAAACCAAGAGAAAUUGAACUGUUGUUUUUCACUUGACUUAGAGUAUGGAUUAUGCUUACUAAAGUGGUUCAAUUGUUGAAACUUCUACUGAAAUUGAAUUGAGUUCUUCCACUUUAAGCUAUCCACACACUGUGCACAUUAGUUUCCGAUUAUAAGAUGAAAAGCUAUUUCCCUCUUGACUUAGUAUAUUUUUGGGACUUGGUAUAUUUGACCUCAUUUGAUAAAAAUUGAAACACCCUGCAAAAGGCCAAUGAGCCUUUGAAAUAAAGAAAGUUGUUUGCUUGCCUUGAAACCCGAGCAAGGUCUGAGGGGUAUAUGGUGAAAAUCUUUAAAGCCUGGUGCCCUAAGCCUUAAUUGGUUGGGAGUCACCGACCUCAAUGCUCGUUACAAGGGUGAAUAGGUAGAGUUAGCAUAUGGUAGAUGCUUGGGUAUUAGAAAUUCAUUCUUAAAAGUCCGGGGAAAAAUCCGAGGAGUUAGUGGUUGAAAGAUCCUUAAAACUUGGUGCCCUAAACCUUAAUUGGUUGGGAGUCAUCGAUGGACCCCCAUUACAUGGACAAGUCAGAAAGAGUACCCCAUAAAGCUACCUUAAAAAAAAAAAAAAAAAAAAAAAAAAAAAAAAAGAUGAAAGUGUGUUCUUUUCUUAUUGAUUUUGGUCAGUUUGCUAAAGUGUUGAAAAGAGAUAGGUUGGGGGGUGAGAUUAGUAGCAUAUUAUUCUCGGAACCUAAGGAACCAAUACACAUAGAUUUUUGUGGAAGAUUGAAGUUUAGUUCUUAGAAAAUGAAAUGAUUUUAAAACUUCAGUUUGCAUAAUGCACUCCCUUGAUUGACAGUGUUUAGCAUAGGUGUUAUGACUCUUGUUGAGAUUUGGGUUUGUAUUUCUUUAAUGAUUCAUGUGAGAAAUAGAUCAUCAUGCCACUUGAGAAUUAUUUUCCUUUUAGCAUGAUGUUGUAAAUUUUAGAUUAGUUUGCUAUUUAUUUUUUAUUUUCUCUCCUAUAUUGCUAAGGGACUAGCAAUAUGUCGGUUGGGGGGAGUGAUUACUACUCAAAAAGUGCUAUUUGAUAGCCUUUAAUUAAUCCUUUUUAACACUUUUGAGUAGUAGUUUAGGCCUUUUAACUCAAUUGGCAUGUUAAGGAUCCUUUAAAGCAAUUUUGAUCACUUUGUGCAAGUUUUGGUGUUUUUGUUAGUAUUUUGAUCACCAAAGCAAGUCAAGAAUGAGGAGAACUAUGAGGAAUCAUGGGCAAAGCUUAGAAUUCAAUUGCCAAGAGUGAAUCCGGAUUGCAAGGAGAAAAAGCAAAGAGAAUCUGUCAUGAAGCCUAUUCUUGAUGACAGUCGUAGCAGCCACUUUUGGAGCACUUUCUGAAGUCCAAAUGAUGCAAGCUAUAUACCAUUUCAAAGCUCAGGAAGUCAACAAUCCAAUGCUUCAAACGGUGCGCGAUUCGGAGUUGAAACGAAGAAGUUGCAGCCAUUACAAGCCAGUCACUCUAAAGUGUUGCGGAAUCAGCCUUUUGUUGCGAGAAUUUCGCAGCACUUUUGUACAGUAAGGUGUUUCUCCUUCUGACGAUGCACGAACCAUGCCGCGAGAGGGAAGCUAGGAACUUCAAGAUGGAAGCCAACUUUGCAGCCUGGUGAAGAUAGCUUGGUCUUGCGAAAUAAUUUCGCAGCCCUCUUGGGUGUCUGCGAAAUUUCGCAGGCACCACUUUUUUCCUGCGAAAUGGCUCCGGAAGCCUCCCGAAGCUUGCUACCGACAUUGGGAGAUAUUUUCCAUUAGAUUUUUGUUGUCUAAAUUCCAAAAUACUCCUUGUAAACCACCAAUUACAUGAUUCCUUAGUUUUUAAGUUAGUAAAAAGACCAAAUAUCUAUGUAAUAAUUAGUUUUAUAUUAGUUUGCUAUAAAUACCUCUCGGGAGCAUGUUCUCAGAGAGGAGUUCCUUCUGUAACCAUUUUGGUAAGCAAGUAAAGUCUUUUCUUUCUACUGCCUUACCUUCUCACUUUGUAUUUUCAUUUUAUUUCUAAGUUAUGAAUUCUCUGAGGAGCUUUCCCCAGAGAAUGAGUAACUAAACCUCCAAUUCCUUGGAGCUAAGGUUGCCGGGGAAGGUUCCAAGUGCAAGAAUGCAAAGCUCUGUGGUUUUAGCUAGUAAUGAAGAGGAAGUGAAAUCCUUUAGUGAUUUCAAUGUUUUUAGUUAACUUAAAACACCUUGGAGUCACCUGGGCCAACACUUGGUAAGGCAAGUGAUUUCCAACCGUGGAAAUGCACUAGUUUACCCCUUGCGAGCCUCUGGUAGGUGACUUCAAGGUAGGAUUUUCUGGAAUUACCAACACUUGGUAAGCUUUUGGACUCCUAGGAGACAUCCAUUAGUUAUCUCUUGCGAGUUUGUGAAGGGGAAUCCAAGGUUAAAGAUCACCUUGAAUGGUAAGUGCUCGUGAGAGGCAUGAACCAUUGCAAGUUGUAUCAGUGAGAGAAUUAAAGUGAAAUCUAAUUGAAGGAGUCUCUGUACAUCACCGGUUAGAGAAUUGACUAUAAGUUGAAUCUCUAAUGCGAGGAAAUGAACCAUCUGACCGGAGCUAUGUCUUUUGCAUGAGGAACCACCCCAGUGAACCUAAAUCUCCAAGGAAUGCUUUUCUUCCUAAAUUAUUCCAAACUUCUGUUAAGUUAGUUAGUUUAAGUCUAAACCUUUACCAAUCAAACUUUGUGUUUUAUUCCUUAAGCUAACCGUGAAAUGAAACAAAACCAAUUCACUUGGAAUUGGUAUCCUUGAUUGCUUGCAAAUCAUUCCCAGUGAACGAUCCUUAGAGCCACUAUACUAUAGUAGCUUUGUAUUUGCUACCCUAGUGUAUGGUGUUAUAGGUAUAAAUUUUGUUGAUCACUUCCUCAAUCAAGGAACACCAGCUGAACACAAAUCAGCUGAGACACCAAUUGGGCAUGAGUCAGUGCGUUAGAGGAUCAAGAAGAAGAAAAAGAAGGAACUGUUGGAAUUAGUAUGAGUGUGAAGAGAAAAGUAUAUAAAUAAGGGGAAGUAAAAGCAAAGUUCAAAAAGCUAUAUUUUUUUAUUGUUGGUGUAUGGUUGCAUGAUUAUCCCUAUAAAUAAUAGGAGUUUUUUGGUAUUCUACUAGUAGUUGAAGCAUAAUUUCAUAAAUUAAUAUUUAGAGCGGGGUGGGGUGAGUUGUGACAAAAUUCAUACCCGUCCCAAACCUUGGUUCAGAUUUUUAAAAUAUUCUCAAACUUAUCAUAUACCCAACUUUUAUAUUUCAUACUUGUCCUAAUAGAGGCACGUUAGGCCGGGUUACUUGAGUAACCUACAUAAUUGUCAUCCCUAGUUGAAAUACACUUUUUGGCAGUGGCCACCAACUGAGCUAGAAGCUUGAUUGAUUGACCUACAAGAUUAGUUCUCAUCAUUUUAAAAAAAGUUCUGGCUUUGGUUGUGAGUGCAAUUGAAUCUAAACUGGCAUUUGCUUAAUGCAUCUACUUCAAUCCUAAACUUCUUACUUCUUAAGCCUCAAUUGUUGUUAGGAUUUUGGAAAACCCAUUUCCUUAAAUUGUAAAUUUAAGAUAAAAUAAAAUAAAAGUGAGACAUUUCUUGAUUGAAUAUUGUUAAAGGUCCCUUGGCAUUAAGACUUGGUUGAAGCCUUGGAAGAUUAGUGGAACUCUCAACAUGUGUUUGAAUCUUGAGGAGAGUGGAUGUAAGCCAAAAUUUUGUCAAACCAUUAUACAAAUUGAGUUUGAAUCCUCAUUUCUUGAUUUCUUAUUUAUUUGCUUUUUCUUAUUAUUACUUGAAUUGUCAUUUGCAUUCAUUAAUGUUAAAAUUGGUUAUAAUUAACCAACACUAAUUCUCUUUCCCCUUCCCUUUCUUGGGUGUAAACCUAGGUUGGAUUAACUAGAUAAAUCUAUUAAGAUGGUAAAAGAAUAAUUAUUCUUAACAUACAUAAGAUCAUCUUCAAUCAAAUGACUCAUUGGCUAAUAUGUUGAAUUUGCUUAUUACUUGCAACUCAAAAUUGUGUUCUAGUUGUGUCAAGUCCCCAGUGUAUGGACAUUAAAUUUGUAGUACGUGAUGAGUAAUUAGAUGGUCCAACUCCAAGAAAGUGAUUGAAAAGUAGUUCAAGAAAGGUGCAAAAGGGAAUUGUUUUGGUAUUUUCGUUUUUAUUCUUGAAGGUGGCAGAGCUAAAAUUUGAGAAAUCAAGCAAAACAUACUGAAAUUACAUUGAAAGAAAGAAGAUGGGAGUUAAUGUCUUGCAGUACAUGAUAAGGACUUCAUGCAUGUAGUGUGACCCAUGUCUUGGACUGAUGCCAACUCACGGUUACACUUAUACCCUUGGUUCUCUCUUUACUACCUUGGCUAACCUAGAUCAGGCUAUGAGAUAGGCUCCUCACCACACCAUUACUUGCCCAUUAAUUAGAGACAUUUUCAAGCAAUGAGGUAACAUGGUGACACCAAGAGGGUCUAUUCCUCGCCCGGAACAAGUCUAGACUUGGUCUCAAAAAAAUGGAGAAAAAUGAGGUGUCGUUAUGUAGAAAUACAACAACCAUGCCUUCCUCAUUACUUAGAUUCAGAAUGUGAAGGUGAAAUUGAGAAACAGAAACUCUUGAAACCAAAAUGAAAAUUGAUACUUUUACGAAGAAUUACAACAACAUUAGAGGAAGACUACAUUCUUCCUCUUUAUUCCUACAUUUCUACACUACUUCUACUCCACUCCAUAUUUCUACAUACAUCUUUAAUCAGUCUUCCCUCCUUUAUAUAGAGCCAUCUUCACACAAAUUUCGCAAGGUAGAAAAGAGGAAUGAAACUUGGAGCAAGGUUCGACUACUGGUUGUAGCUUGUCAAGGCUGGAAGUGAACUUUUCUUGGCUUUCUGGGCAUGGGUAGUAACUUGUGGGUUCCUGUUUGGCAUAAAAAUGGCUAGAACAUGUGGCACUAUCUUGUUGGAUGAUGUGUCAAGCAUGUGGCAGCCAUCUAGUGGCGAUUAUGUCAAUUUUGGGAUGGAGAGUUGGCAUCCAAUUGCAAAGAAAUAUGACGUCUACCAACAUGCAAUGUAAACCUAUGUAGAUCAUAUGAAGAUAGAGAGGAAAAAUAUAGAAAUGGAUAUAUACCUAGAACUAGCUUUUUAUUAAAUGAAACGGAGAGACAACAAUGAAGGAAAAUAAAAUUUUUUGGCUUAUAUCAAAGAGUUCACAUUGUGUUACCCUAGGUUUUCUUAAAACUUACUUUUAUGAUAACAAAAAAGAAAAAACCAUUAUUGUUUAAUCCUUUGUUUUAAACGCAUGUAAGGUGUAAUUAAGUUAGUUCAAUGCAUUAAUUUAAGAAACUUGACCUAUCAAAAGUACAAAAUUAGAUGAAAUCCAUUUCAAUGGUUAAAAUGAUCAAAAUCAAACUUUUUCUAAGUAUUUUUUAAAAGCAUCAAUAGUGAAAGACAAUUUUAUAUUUAGUCGGAGUUUGGACAAAACUGAAAAACACACAAAAUCCAAGCGACCAUCUCUAGCUUGGAUGGUCGCUUGAUCCCACCUAGAGAUGUGCAUGAGUAAAAGGAUUUGAAAAUGGAAAUUGACUAUGUAGUCGAUCAAUUAACUUUGCAACAUCAUAUGCAAUCCUAAUUGCUAGUCAUCUAAUCAAUUAGGUAGUCAAUCAACAGGCCAAAAAUAUGUUUAUAAUGACUAUUUUGUACAAAAACCACCUGUAUAGUUAAAUAUAAUGCAUUUCAUUUAUAAAUCUUCUAAUUCUUGAAUAACGAUCCUAUCAUCCUUUGAAAGUUUUUAUUACACUUUUUUUACUUUUGUUCUAAAACUUACACAUCACCCUUAAUUGUACCAUGAGAACCUAGCUAUUUUUUAUUUUUUUUUUUGUAAUUCAUCAAAGUUAGCUUUUGUAUUCAUUGUUGUAUUAUUUUUAGUAUAACUUAGAAAGCUAGUGUUUUCAAGUGAGUAAAAUUAACUUGUAAAUAUUGUAAAGAUUCAUCGACAUGUAUCUUAAACUAAGUGUACAAGUUAAAACAUUUGCUAGUAGAUUUUCUCAAAAUUUAGAAUAGAGCUUGAGACUAUUGAAAUAGGUGGGGUUGCACCAAACCACAUCACAUCGUUGUUUGCACCUUUUUUCACUCUCUUUUACUUAGUUGCUCUAUAUUUGUUGUCUAGUAAUAUCCUAUAGGCUUGAUGGGUUAGGGAGCAUCCCUUUGUGAAAAAAUUUUAUUCAAUCCUUAGUUGUAUCACGCAUAUAUAAAAUGCCUCAUUGUUUUAAUGGUAUUCAGUCGUGGCAUCACAGAUAUGGGCAUCUAAAUUUUAAAAGUUUGAAACUUUUAUCUAAAGAAAAUAUGGUGCUUUGCCUUUUUGUAAAGCAUGUUGAUGAAAUCCAUGAGAAUUGUGUACUUGGGAAGCAACACCGAGAUGACUUUUUUUUUUUUUUUAUAAUAUUGUUUGUCCAAAUUCCCUACAAAUUAGGCCACCAGAUGUUCAUAAUUCUCCCUUCUUGAAUUUGAAAACUCGGACAAUUGGACAAUGCGACACCUAAGUCCGGUUUCUAAAUGCUAAAGUGAAAGGGUAGGUAUGGACCAUUGAAAUGUGAUCACAACUUUUCUCUGUAGCCAUGUUGUCUCUUUUUUCUUUUGCAUGAUUUUCUUACCUUAACAGAAUCAUAGACUUGUUUAGUCUCUAAAUGGGAUUAAUUUCAUCCAGCUUUAAGCUACUAUAUUAUAUCUAGGUGGAGGACUUUUAAGAGUGCAACCGACAUAGAGCACAUGGAAGUGGGUAUAUGGGACAUGAAAUUUCUUCUUAUAAAGAUUGCAUGAUUUUUAUAUUAGAGUUGUUGAGGCGCUAUGUAUUUAGCUUGUUUUGCAGUUAAAUUAAUUGGAUAAGUAGACAUUGGCGUUUCUAAAUCUACUGUGAAGUGCUUCAUGUACGUGUGAAGUAUUAGAAAUUUCUUUCUUGGCAACUUGUUUUUCUUUGCGGUCUACUGAUAGGUUUGACUAAAAUUAUAUUCCCUGUCAUGCUAAUUAAUUUUCACGUGCAUGCUCAAAAGAAAAGUAUGACCUUAGUGCACCAAAAUCACUUUGAUUAAUUUGUGAUAGGUUUUUGUGCAUCAUGACAUUAGCCUUAUUCAUUUAGAUAAUGUUUAGUUUUUAGAAAGUAUUAAGAAAAGGAAAAUAAAUAUUAAGAAAAAUAUUCUUAUAUUUGAUUGUAUUAUGAAAAAUAUCAUAAAAAAAUCAAAUAUAAUUUAAAUUAAUUAAUAAUUUAUACAUUUUCAAAUUAUUUAAUCUUUAUAUUGAAGAUAUAAUAUAAAUGAAAUGAGUUUUAAGUAUUAUAUAAAAGUGAUUUAUUGAUCUUACAUAUAUAUAUUUCUUUUUUUUUUCCUUCUAUUUUUUCUCUUUAUUUUAUUUUCCUUAUGUUUUCCUCAACAUUUUCCGGAACCAAACAUAGCCUUAGGAAAUCCACAAUUACCUUCAACUGAGUAGAUUCUGUUGUUUUAGCAAUGUUAGGCUGCUAACUUGUGUUGGUACGAACCUAUUAAGCCUAAAGAUGUAAUUAGUUAGGAUAUUCUUUUCCCUCUAGUCUUGUAGCUCCACGUGUACAGUUGGUUAGGACCUCAUUGUAUAUAAUGCUUGCCCUGUUAUUGUAGAAGACAACAAAGAUAAAUAAUAUUAACAUUUUUCCUCUCAUCUCUCUCUGUUUCCCUCUGUUUUCAUCUCCUCUCUCAUCUUGGUAUCAGAGCCUCCAUGGCUUCUUUCAAAGAAACCUCCGAAUCACCUUCUGCUAGCAUUGUUAAUGUGCAAAACCCAUUAUCUCAAUCAAACAACCUUCCUUCACCAGUAGCCACACCCUCUUUUUCUUUCUCGUCUAUGAAUCAACCUCUCACAGUGAAGCUGGAUAAUGGGAACUACCUCAUAUGGAAGAAUUAGCUUCUAAAUGUCAUCAUUGCUAACGGACUCGAUGAUUUCAUUGACGGAUCUCGACCCUGCCCUCCUCGAUUUCUCGAUCUGCAACAACAAACCCUCAAUCCAGAGUACUCAGCUUGGCAGAGAUACAAUCGACUUCUGAUGAGUUGGCUGUACGCAUCCUUGUCCAAAGAUAUAAUGGCUCAGAUUGUUGGGUAUUCAACAGCUAUGGAGAUUUGGAAUGCCCUUAAUCAGAUUUACUCUGCCUCUUCUAUGGCGCGGUUUACUGAGCUUCGCACCAAGCUUCAAACGCUCAAGAAAGAUGGACUCUCAGUUGGUGAAUAUAUUCAAAGGCUCAAAUCCAUUUGCAAUAGUCUUGCAGCAAUAGGAGAACCAGUUUCUGAGAAAGACCAUCUUAUCUAUUUGUUCAAUGGAUUAGAUUGUGAGUAUUAUUCUUUUGUUACCUCCAUUCAAAAUCGAUCUGACCAACCAACUAUUGACAAAAUCCAUAGCCUAUUGCUUAGCUAUGACUUCCGGCUUGAACAACAAAACUCUGUUUCUCUCCAUUCUGCCCAAGUCCAUAUGGCUCAUCUGAACAAGAAACCUUAUAAAUCAACUCCUCAACCUACAUUCAAUCAUAUUCACAUUCAACCUAGAUACUCUUCUCCACCUUUUAAGCCAACCACUAGUCAAUAUCAACCCAACAUUUUGGGCAAACCACAACCACAACCAUGACAGCCUCAACCUCAAUGGAAACCACAUUUUUCAAUCUAAAAUCAAAAGCCUCAGCGCCAAAUUUGUGGUAAAUUUGGACACACUGCUCUUAUUUGCUUCCAUCACACAAAUUUGAACUAUUCACCCCAACCUUCUCCUAAAUCUUUCAAUACUGUUCUCACCACAAAUUCCCAGCUCCCUAAUCCUCCAAAAUUUUCUUACCCUACAAUGGCUCAUCCUGCUGCUACGCAUAACACGGUUCCCGAUACAAAUUGGUACAUGGACUCAGGUGCUACACAUCACUUUACUCUGGACAUCAACGUGCUUGACACUGUGACACCAUUUAGUGGUUCAGAACAGGUGACAGUUGGGAAUGGUAAGCAACUCUGUAUCUCACAUCUUGGUACUGCAAAACUACCAUCUUCGUAUUCUCCUCCUGUUCUACAUCAGGUAUAUCACACUCCAAAAAUUUCAAAUAAUCUUAUUAGUGUUAAAAAAUUGUGUUCUGAUAAUAAAGUUUUUGUUGAAUUUUAUGCCACUCAUUUUCUUGUCAAGGAUCAGGUUUCGAAGAGAGUUCUCCUUUAGGGUCAACUUGAUAAUGGCUUAUACAAAGUUCAGUCGUCAUGCUCUCCUUCUGCUGUUUCCUUUCCUCCUCAAGUUUUCAUAGCCAACAUCAAGUAUCCAAAUCUGUGGCACAAGAGACUAGGCCACCCAGCUUUAUCUGUUGUUAAUCAAAUCUUGGAUUCUUGUAACAUUGCUCGAACACAGAAAAUUUGUUUUAAUUUUUUAAAUUCUUGUCAAUUAGCAAAGAGCCACAGGCUUCCUUUUUCUCUGUCUCCAUCCAUUGCAGAAAAACCUUUUGAGUUAAUUCAUACAGACCUAUGGGGUCUUUCGCUCGUUCGCUCUAUUUCUGGUGCUCUUUAUUUUUUACUUUUCAUUGAUGAUCAUACUCGUUUUACUUGGUUUUAUUUGCUCAAAACAAAAGAUGAAGCAUAUCCUACUUUUCUCAAGUUUCAAGCUCUCAUUGAAAAUCAAUUUAAUACCAAGAUUAAGGCUGUCCAAUCUGAUUGGGGAGGUGAGUUUCGAUCUCUCUCCAUACCGUUUUCAAAUAUGGGCAUUGUCUAUUGUUUAUCGUGUCCAUACACCUCACAACAGAAUGGGCGAGUUGAGCGAAAAAAUCGCCAUGCGAUUGUCCUUUCUUGCUUGCUCUAUGCCCUUAUCUUAUUGGCCUUAUGCCUUUCAAACUGCCACUUACCUUAUUAAUCGUCUCUCUACCCCUGUGCUGCAUCAUCAAUCCUCUUACUUCGCACUCUAUCACAAACUCCCAACUUAUACUCAUCUUAAGGUCUUUGGUUCCUCUUGUUUUCCGUAUUUGCACCCUUAUAAUACCCAUAAACUCCAAUACAGGUCACUAGAGUGUGCUUUUCUUGGUUACAGUUCACACCACAAAGGUUAUCUAUGUCUUGACAUUCAUUCUAGCAGGGUGUAUAUUUCUCGCCAUGUGAUUUUUAAUGAAGAUUCUUUUCCAUUCAAGAAUUUGAAAUCUUCUCUCUCUCAGUCUAUUUCUUCUUCCUCUUCUUUAUAAGUUCCUCUGUUCAUUCUCUUGCCUCCCCUUUCCCCAUCUCCUCUUAUUUCUUCAUCUAUACCUCAUUCUUUUCCCUCUUCUUCUUCUACCUCUAGUACUUGUUCCCCUCUCGUUGCUCCUACCUCUCUUCCUUCCUCUUCACACUCUGUGUCUCCAUCUAUUCCACCUCCUUCUCCACCUUCUCCGAGUGUGGACCUGCUUGCACCUUGUGUGAAUACAAAUUUACAUACUUCUUCUCGCACUCACAAUAUUCAUCCUAUGGUGACUAGAUCUAAGGUUUGUAUCUAUAAACCUAAGUUGUUGUUGAGUGUCUCCAUAGGUUCUCUCACUAAGCCUACUUCCUUUCUUCAAGCUAUUAAAGAUCCUUCAUGGAAGCAAUCCAUGGAAUUCGAGUUUGCUACCCUUCAACACAACAAGACCUGGCAUUUGGUUCCUUCACCUUCCUCAGGCGAAGUAAUCGGUUGUAAAUGGGUCUAUAAGCUAAAGCUUCAGCCUGAUGGCUAAAUUGAGAGAUACAGCCUGCUUAGUAGCUAAGGGUAUCAUCAAAUUGAAGUAUGGACUACUUCGAAACAUUCAGCCUGAUNNNNNNNNNNNNNNNNNNNNNNNNNNNNNNNNNNNNNNNNNNNNNNNNNNNNNNNNNNNNNNNNNNNNNNNNNNNNNNNNNNNNNNNNNNNNNNNNNNNNAGCUUCAGCCUGAUGGCUAAAUUGAGAGAUACAAGGCCUGCUUAGUAGCUAAGGGUUAUCAUCAAAUUGAAGGUAUUGACUACUUCGAAACAUUCAGCCUGAUUGUCAAGCUUUCUACUAUCUGUAUUGUGCUCAGUCUUACUUUUUCCCAGAAUUGGUGUAUUAGACAGCUGGAUGUUCAUAAUGCCUUCUUACAUGGUGACUUAGCUAAAGACGUUUUCAUGGAACAACUGCCUGGAUUUGUUGAUCCUCUCUAUCCUACUCAUGUCUGCAAGUUGGAUAAGUCUCUCUACUGUCUUAAAUAGUCACCUCGGGCUUGGUAUACUAAGCUGAGUACUUCUCGCUACACUUGGGAUUUGUUACUUCUAAGAAUGACUCUUCCUUAUUUAUUUGUCAUUCGUCUCAUGGGUUACUUCUUGUUCUUGUCUAUGUGGAUGAUAUAAUCGUCAUUGGGAGCCACUCUCCUCAGGUUACUCACCUUAUCCAACAGUUGCAUCAUUAGCUUUCUUUAAAGGAUCUUGGUCCUUUACAUUAUUUUCUGGGCUUGGAGGUUCAUCACACCCCUACUGGUAUUCACCUCAGCCAAGCAAAGUAUAUCACUGAUCUCCUUACCCGGGCGGCUAUGUUGGAUGCCAAGCCAUGUCCCACUCCUAUGUCCUCCAACACAUAUCUCUCUUUUCAUGAUGGAGUGGCUCUUGAAAAUGGUUCAGAUUAUCGAAGUUUUGUUGGUGCCCUUUAGUAUUGUACCAUGACACGCCCAGAUAUAGCUUUUGCAAUAAAUAAAGUGUGUCAAUUCAUGCACCAUCCCUCUAAUGUUCACUGGCAGGCUAUAAAACGUAUUCUCCGGUACUUAAAGGGCACAUCUCAUUUUGGUCUCUUCCUACAGCCUUCCUAUGACUUCAACAUCACUUGCUAUACAAAUGCCGACUGGGCUUCCUGUCCUGAUGACAAGUGUAGCACCAGUGGCUACUGCCUCUUUCUUGCCUCUAAUCUGGUUUCUUGGUCAUCUUCCAAACAAAAAGUGGUCUCCCGCUCCAGCGCCGAAUCAGAGUACCGAGGGGUAGCAAAUGGGGCUGCUGAAAUUGCUUGGACUGAAUCUCUUCUUUGUGAACUUUCCAUUACUCCCCCUCCCCUCAUUCUCUGUGACAAUAUCAGUGCCACGUACUUAGCUGCCAAUCCUAUUUUGCAUGCCCGCACCAAACAUGUGGAAAUCGACUAUCACUUUGUCACGGAACGUGUUCUUCAAUGCUCUCUUUUUGUCCAGUUUACACCUUCUGAUGAUCAACUUGCUGAUUGCAUGACCAAGCCUCUCUCCACCCAACGUUUCAUCACUCUACGCUCCAAGCUCACUGUUCUCACUAGACCAAUGAGCUUGAGGGGGGAUGUUAAGCCUAAAGAUGUAAUUAGUUAGGAUAUUCUUUUCCCUCUAGUCUUGUAGCUCCACGUGUACAGUUGGUUAGGACCUCAUUGUAUAUAAUGCCUGCCCUGUUAUUGUAGAAGACAACAGAGAUAAAUAAUAUUAACAUUUUUCCUCUCAUCUCUCUCUCUGUUUCCCUCUGUUUUCAUCUCCUCUCUCAUCUGAACCAAAUGAUCCAUGUUAACCUUGGCUUGGUUUGAUUUGGCUCUAUCUUAGAGAGCUCAAGGAUCACGUCAACUCUGGUUUCUACUAUUCAGGUCCAUUCCCAUAUGAACUGGUUCAAAUUUGAGAAAAUGGUAACAGACCUUUAGUGAUGUUGGUUUGGAGCCAGUUGCCAAACCCGCCCUGAGCUUUACCACUAAUGUCAAGGGAGAAAGCCAUUUGAACAAAAACAAUAGCUUCAAGGGACUGAAUCGUGGAUGAAAUCUGAUCCACAUUUCUUCUCAUUUUGGAAACAAAUGAGAACUUAACUAAGAAGAUUCUACGGCCUCAUAGUGCUUUUCCUGAUCUAAGGUUGGUUCGUUUCCCAAACUGUGAGAUGCACGUGCCAGACUUCAGAACUCUCACGCUCAGGAGUGUAUCCACGUGGUGGACAUAAGAUGGUGGCUUAAGAUCUGGUGUCGGUGGCUUUACUUUACUAGGAGAGUAGUGUGUCUUCAUCUCAUUCACUGCCGGAGGGUGGCGUAAGCAGUGACGCUAAGGUGGGGCACAGUCAAUAUCAUUUGCAUUUGACCAUUAUAGUUUUCUCCCGGCUUUAAAGUAACCUUAUCGUGAUAAAGGAUUACUAGCACUAGUUCAGAUGAUAGUCAUGUUAAAUUCGGACCAUGUUUGUGUCACAUUAUCAGCAACCAUGUGUUUAUGGUUCAUGCUUUCUGCAACUAAAAUUGAUAUAUAACCAGGUGAACUUCAAUCUAAAUUCUGAAAGUACUCAUGUGAUAGAUGGUGCCCGUCUGCAGAGUCCAUCAAUUGAAAAAUGGAGUGAGUGUAUCUAUAAGAGGGAAGGCUUGGAAAAUGUUCAGUUUUCUGGGAAUUCAACAAGGAUCUAAAAUAGAUUGUUUUCUUUGCUGAUUUCAAUGGUUGAAAUUUGAGAAGAUUGUGUCCACAUAACACAACUAUUACUGGUCCUUCUGUUGCAAUUUAUCCUCUAAAGCUCUAGCAUGUCUUCCAAUUCCCACUUCCCUGUUACUCCAGGAAAGCUAUUUCUGUCAUUGUGAAGAAGAAAAGAGAAUGUACAUAUCGAUGCUUUUAAGUGACUGGAGCAUUUAUAUCAGGUGGUCUGCAGCCAUAUAUGCCACUUUGUGAAGAUUGGAACAGUCAAUCACUAGGCUAUAUAUUAGUGUGGCCCAGCCACUUUAAUCAAGGACAAGUCUUCAUACUUAAAGUCAAAUUCUGCCUUUAGUCUCAUUAUAAAUUUCUGUUUAAAUAUUAAGCAAACAUUUGUUUAAUGCGAUUAAGACAGUACUAACUCAAUACCUGUUCUAUUUUUGGAUGCAAAUGCUUGAUGGUUUCAUCAUUGGAUGGGAUAAAGGUGCAUUCAUGAUUAGGAAUACUAGUAGUUAUAUUUUAAUUCUCUUUUUUCUCAAUGAGACUUGUUGGCACAAUUUUGCUGUUGAGAAACCUACCUCUCCAUGGAAAAUAAGUUGUGAUUGAUAGUACUGGAUAUAUUCAAGAAAUCUAAAUAUAGAUAGCACAAAAUAUUAUCGACAUAAAUAGCAUUAACAGCGUACGUAUGUCUCAGUGCUCAUCAGCUAUAAGCAUGGGGCAAACACUUACUAUGAGCAACUUACGUCAAAAUUCCAGAAUAGGACAUAGAAGUGACAGAUAUAGAACAUUGCAUAUGAGUCACAAGAAAGGAAAUUACGGGUGCAUAGCAGCUCUUAUUUUACAUACUACUACUCAUACUGAUCAAAGUCACUCAGUUGGGAUGGGUGGGAGUAGGAGGUUUGUGGGGUGGCUUGUGCGGAGGAGUUGGCAGCUUCUUUCCAGGACCUGGUUGCUUCUCUGCUGGAGUUGAAGGAGGCUUAAUCUUCCGAGGUGGCUUGUAUGAGUCUUCAGCAUUCUCAGCUGGAGGGUGACCAGGGUUGUGACCAUAAUGUGGUGGCUUCUCUCCCUUAGGUGGUUUGCCAACUGGGGUUGGUGGCUUGUAUGAGUCUUCAGCAUUCUCAGCAGGAGGGUGACCAGGGUUGUGACCAUAAUGUGGUGGCUUCUCUCCCUUAGGUGGUUUGCCAACUGGGGUUGGUGGCUUGUGUUCUGGGAGUGGCUUCUCCCCCUUGGGAGGUUUUUCCAAUGGGGUUGGUUUGUGUUCAGGAGGUGGCUUCUCCACUGGAGGCUUGUGUUCAGGAGGUGGCUUCUCCACCGGAGGCUUGUGUUCAGGUGGUGGCUUCUCCACCGGAGGCUUAUGCUCUGGUGGUGGCUUCUCGAAUGGGGGAUGCUUAGGAUAAUCAGCAAGUGAGGGGGCGGUGAGAACCACCAGGCCAAGCAACACCACUAGCAAAUAUGUAGGAGACAUCUUUGGGUUUGGGCUCAGAUGGUGCAAAACUAGGAGAAUUGGCUAGCCUUUUAUAGCGGAUCGUACCCAAUAAUGAAAUGACACGUGUCAUUAUGACCCAUGUGUAAUGGGGUCGAUUUGGGUCCUACAGUGUUGAAAACUUCGACAUCCACUUUUGGCCUUUUGCUUUCUCUACAGCCGCCUUGCUUUUUCCCUCUUUCCUUUUGUUUUCCUCCUGCCCCAUUCUAUCAACUAAACACAAUUAUGUAGUUGUUUAAUUCUUAAAUGAGAUAUUAUCCGUCAAUCGUAUUAUAUUUUAUCAAGAGAGAACGGAGUGCAAUGUGGCUGUAAUUUUAUCGUUUAGUUUUAUCUCUUGGACCACUGCAUUUUUGUUAAGAGGUGCAAUAAUACACGUCUUUAUCUGCCAUUCAAUAUUUACAGUAAAGAGAGGGCACAAAACUCUUCACUUCGCACCAUAAUUAUUUUGUUUUCUGGACACCCCGGGGCCCUUUGGUUGGUUUGGGGGUCAGAAAGUGAACAUCAUAGGGGGUUUUUCCCUUAUGUGCAUUUGUAUCUGAUGGCUUUAACUCGCCUUGUUACUACAAAGAAACUGUCACAGAUAGGAACUUAUUCCAGGCUGAGUAUCUCCUCAUAGACCCUAUAAAAGAAGACAAGUCAUAAUGAACAUCUAACCUUUGUUCAAUUUGAUUCAAUGCCCCCAUUGUGUCCAUCUCACAAAUCUGAAUUAUUAUAUCCAUUGAAUACAUAAAUUAAUGAAGAAAAUAUGAAACCCAAGAUACAUCUCUGCACAACCUCAACCCUGGUUGCUAUGUUUCCCUUCUAUUCACAUGAUUUGAUGCUAAUUGCCAAACUUGCAACAAGCCCUGAGUUUGACACCUAGUAUCGAUGGGCGAAUUUAAAGUCUCCUCCAAACAUAUAUUCCACAGCUUGAAGCUCACAGAAGAUGUUACAGGCAGGGAAAAACCUUCAGAGUUCGCUACCAAAGAUAAUUAUUAAGGAGAUAUCACAAAGAGAAUUCCAAGGGGUCUGAAUCAAAGACAAAUUGGUCGUUCGUGGGGGUUCUUACUUUCUUUUGGGUAUAACUCACUGAGGGCACUGUCUUUGUUAUUUGCAUUUCACAUUUAGAGUUCUGUUCUGGAAACAUAUAAAAGGAGCAUCAUUUUGUUCUUGGGUAACCCAUAGUCGUGAGUGGGUCCAUUUGCAUGCUACUUAGUUGAAAAGUUGGACCAUUUGCUCCGACGCCUACCUCCCGGAUUCCAUGCUCGGAUAAAACAAGAAUAAAAAAAAUAUUUAUAAUUUACAAAUGGGGGAAAGAAAAAAAUGUCAACAACAAACCAGGAAAAAAGAGUAGUAAAAUUCAUGUCACAUGCUAGUGAGAGAAGGGGUUGUUACACUCACUCGAAGUUCUUUCCAAAAUAUCGCAUGGUAUUUUAUUUUAUGUGUCAGCGCAGUUGUGAAUGGAACGUGCAAAAGUCCAAAUUGGCGUUUUUCCUUUUCCCGUGUAGGAUGGCGACCUUUAAUAAAUAUUUAAAACAAAAAACGAAAAAAAGGAGGGAAAAGGGAUCAGAAAAGAUAAAACAAUGUGUACAAGAGCUCAAUUAGUUUGCAAAUUACUGUUUGGAUUUUGAUAGUAUUUUAUUUGUCCAUCUAUAUUUGAUGGAAAAGAGAAUUUAAGAUAUUUCUGAAACAAAAGCAUUAGUGUAAAACUAAAUUAAGGUAUAAUUAAGUUAGUUCAAUGCAUUAAUUUAAGAAACUUGAUCUAUCCAAAGUACAAAAUUAGAUGAAAUCCAUUUCAAUGGUUAAAAUGAUCAAAAUCAAACUUUUUCUAAGUAUUUUUUAAAAGCAUCAAUAUUAAAAGACAAUUUUAUAUUUAGUCGGAGUUUGGACAAAACCAAAAAGCACACAAAAUCCAAGCGACCAUCUCUAGCUUGGAUAGUCACUUGAUCCCACCUAGAGAUGUGCAUGAGUAAAAGGAUUUGAAAAUGGAAAUUGACUAAAUAUUUAGUUGAUCAAUUAAAUUUGCAAUGUCAUAUGCAAUCCUAAUAGCUAGUCAUCUAAUCAAUUAGGUAGUCAAUCAAGUGUUUGUAAUGACUAUUUUGUACAAAAAACCACAUGUAUAGUUAAAUAUAAUGCAUUUCAUUUAUAAAUCUUCUAAUUCUUGAAUAACGAUCCUAUCAUCCUUUGAAAAUUUUUAUUACACCUUUUUUACUUUUGUUCUAAAACUUACAUAUCACCCUUAAUUGUACCAUGAGAACCUAGCUAUUUUUUUUUUUUUUGUAAUUCAUCAAAGUUAGCUUUUGUAUUCAUUGUUGUAUUAUUUUUAGUAUAACUUAGAAAGCUAGUGUUUUCAAGUGAGUAAAAUUAACUUGUAAAUAUUGUAAAGAUUCAUUGAUAUGUAUCUUAAACUAAGUGUACAAAUUAAAACAUUUGCUAGUAGAUUUUCUCAAAAUUUAGAAUAGAGCUUGAGGCUAUUGAAAUAGGUGGGGUUACACCAAACCACAUCACAUCGUUGUUUGCACCUUUUUUCACUCUCUUUUACUUAGUUUCUCUAUAUUUGUUGUCUAGUAAUAUCCUAUAGGCUUGAUGGGUUAGGGAGCAUCCCUUUGUGAAAAAAUUUCAUUCAAUUCUUAGUUGUAUUACGCAUAUAUAAAAUGCCUCAUUGUUUUAAUGGUAUUCAGUCGUGGCAUCACAGAUAUGGGCAUCUAAAUUUUAAAAGUUUGAAACUUUUGUAAAGCAUGUUGAUAAAAUCCAUGAGAGUUGUGUACUUGGGAAGCAACAUCGAGGUGACUUUAUUUUUUUUUCCUUUUAUAAUGCCACACCUAAGUCCGGUUUCUAAAUGCUAAAGUGAAAGGGUAGGUAUGGACCAUUGAAAUGUGAUCACAACUUUUGGCCUUUUCCUUUCUCUGCAGCCAUGUUGUCUCUUUUUUCUUUUGCAUGAUUUUCUUACCAAAACAGAAUCAUAGACUUGUUUAGUCUCUAAGCUACUAUAUUAUAUCUCGGUGGACUUUUAAGAGUGCAACCGACAUAGAGCACAUGCAAGUGGGCAUAUGGGACAUGAAAUUUCUUCUUACAAAGAUUGCAUGAUUUUUAUAUUAGAGUUGUUCACGUGCAAUGUAUUUAGCUUGUUUUGCAGUUAAAUUAAUUGGAUAAGUAAACAUUGGCAUUUCUAAAUCGACUGUGAAGUGCUUCAUGUACGUGUAAAGUAUUAGAAAUUUCUUUCUUGGCAACUUGUUUUUUCCUUGCCAUCUACUGGUAGGUUUGACUAAAAUUAUAUUCCCUGUCAUGCUAAUUAAUUUUCAUGUGCAUGCUCAAAAGAAGAGUAUGACCUUAGUGCACCAAAAUCACUUUGAUUAAUUUGUGAUAGGUUUUUUUGCAUCAUUUAGAUAAUGUUUAGUUCUAAGAAAAAUUUAUAUAAAAAUGGUUUAUUUAUCUUACAUAUAUAUAUAUAUAUAUAUAUUUUUUUUUUUUUCAUUUUUUUUUCUUCUAUUUUAUUUAUUUAUUUUAUUUUCCUUAUGUUUUCCUCACAUUUUCCGGAACUAAACAUAGUCUUACGAAAUCAACAAUUGCCUUCAACUGAGUAGAUUCUGUUGUUUUAGCAAUGUUAGGCUGCUAACUUGUGGUGGUACGAACCAAAUGACCCAUGUUAAUCUUGGCUUGGUUUGAUUUGGCUCUAUCUCAGAGAGCUAAAGGAUCACGUCAACUCUGGUUUCUACUAUUCAGGUCCAUUCCCAGAUGAACUGGUUCAAAUUUGAGAAAAUGGUAACAGACCUUUAGUGAUGUUGGUUUGGAGCCAGUUGCCAAACCCGCCCUGAGCUUUACCACUAAUGUCAAGGGAGAAAGCCAUUUGAACAAAAACAAUAGCUUCAAGAGACUGAAUCGUGGAUGAAAUCUGAUCCACAUUUCUUCUCAUUUUGGGAAAAAAUGAGAACUUAACUACAAAGAUUCUACUGCCUCAUUCAUAGUGCUUUUCCUGAUCCAAGGUUGGUUCGUUUCCCAAAUUGUGAGGUGCACGUGCCACUCUCACGCUCAGGAGUGUAUCCACGUGGUGGACAUCAGAUGGUGGCUUAAUAUCUGGUGUCGGUGGCUUUACUUUACUAGGAGAGUAGUGUGUCUUCAUCUCAUUCACUGCCGGAGGGUGGCGUAAGCAGUGACGCUAAGGUGGGGCACAGUCAAUAUCAUUUGCAUUUGACCAUUAUAGUUUUCUCCCGGCUUGAAAGUAACCUUAUCGUGAUAAAGGAUUACUAGCACUAGUUCAGAUGACCGUCAUGUUAAUUCGGACCAUGUUUGUGUCACAUUAUCAGCAACCAUGUGUUUAUGGUUCAUGCUAUCUGCAACUAAACUUGAUAUAUAACCAGGUGAACUUCAAUCAAAAUUCUGGAAGUACUCUUGUGAUAGAUGGUGCCUGUCUGCAGAGUCCAUCAAUUGAAAAAUGGAGUGAGUGUAUCUAUAAGAGGGAAGGCUUGGCAAAUGUUCAGUUUUCUGGGAAUUCAACAAGGAUCUAAAAUAGAUUGUUUUCUUUGCCGACUUCAAUGGUUGAAAUUUGAGAAGAUUGUGUCCACAUAUCACAACUAUUACUGGUCCUUCUGUUGCAAUUUAUCCUGUAAGGCUCUAACAUGUCUUCCAAUUCCCACUUCCCUGUUACUCCAGGAAAGCUAUUUCUGUCAUUGUGAAGAAGAAAAGAGAAUGUACAUAUCGAUGCUUUUAAGUGACUGGAGCAUUCAUAUCAGGUGGUCUGCAGCCAUAUAUGCCACUUUGUGAAGGUUGGAACAGUCAAUCACUAGGCUAUAUAUUGGUGUGGCCCAGCCACUUCAAUCAAGGACAAGUCUUCAUACUUAAAGUCAAAUUCUGCCUUUAGUCUCAUUAUAAAUUGCUGUUUAAAUAUUAAGCAAACUUUUGUUUAAUGCGAUUAAGACAGUACUAACUCAAUACUUGUUCUAUUUUUGGAUGCAAAUGCUUGAUGGUUUCAUCAUUGGAUGGGAUAAAGGUGCAUUCAUGAUUAUGAAUACUUGUAGUUAUAUUUUCAUUCUCUUUUUUCUCAAUGAGACUUGUUGGCACAAUGUUGCUGUUCAGAAACCUACCUCUCCAUGGAAAAUAAGUUGCGAUUGAUAGUACUGGAUAUGUUCAAGAAAGCUAAAUAUAGAUAGCACAAAAUAUUAUCGAUAUAAAUAGCAUUAACAGCGUACGUAUGUCUCAAUGCUCAUCAGCUAUAAGCAUGGGACAAACACUUACUAUGAGCAACUUACGUCAAAAUUCCAGAAUAGGACAUAGAAGUGACAGAUCUAUAUAUAUAGAACACUGCAUAUGAGUCACAAGAAAGGAAAUUACGGGUGCAUAGCAGCUCUUAUUUUACAUACUACUACUCAUACUGAUCAAAGUCACUCAGUUGGGAUGGGUGGGAGUAGGAGGUUUGUGGGGUGGCUUGUGCGGAGGAGUUGGCAGCUUCUUUCCAGGACCUGGUUGCUUCUCUGCUGGAGUUGAAGGAGGCUUAAUCUUCCGAGGUGGCUUGUAUGAGUCUUCAGCAUUCUCAGCUGGAGGGUGACCAGGGUUGUGACCAUAAUGUGGUGGCUUCUCUCCCUUAGGUGGUUUGCCAACUGGGGUUGGUGGCUUGUAUGAGUCUUCAGCAUUCUCAGCAGGAGGGUGACCAGGGUUGUGACCAUAAUGUGGUGGCUUCUCUCCCUUAGGUGGUUUGCCAACUGGGGUUGGUGGCUUGUGUUCUGGGAGUGGCUUCUCCCCCUUGGGAGGUUUUUCCAAUGGGGUUGGUUUGUGUUCAGGAGGUGGCUUCUCCACUGGAGGCUUGUGUUCAGGAGGUGGCUUCUCCACCGGUGGCUUGUGUUCAGGAGGUGGCUUCUCCACCGGAGGCUUAUGCUCUGGUGGUGGCUUCUCCACCGGAGGCUUAUGCUCUGGUGGUGGCUUCUUGAAUGGGGGAUGCUGAGGGUAAUCAGCAAGUGAGGGGGCGGUGAGAACCACCAGGCCAAGCAACACCACUAGCAAAUAUGUAGGAGACAUCUUUGGGUUUGGGCUCAGAUGGUGCAAAACUAGGAGAAUUGGCUAGCCUUUUAUAGCGGAUCGUACUCAAUAAUGAAAUGACACGUGUCAUUAUGACCCAUGUGUAAUGGGGUCGAUUUGGGUCCUACAGUGUUGAAAACUUCGACAUCCAGUUUUGGCCUUUUGCUUUCUCUACAGCCGCCUUGCUUUUUCCCUCUUUCCUUUUGUUUUCCUCCUGCCCCAUUCUAUCAACUAAACACAAUUAUGUAGUUGUUUAAUUCUUAAAUGAGAUAUUAUCGGUCAAUCGUAUUAUAUUUUAUCAAGAGAGAACGGAGUGCAAUGCAGCUGUAAUUUUAUCGUUUACUUUUAUCUCUUGGACCACUGCAUUUUUGUUAAGAGGUGCAAUAAUACACGUCUUUAUCUGCCAUUCAAUGUUUACAGUAAAGAGAGGGCACAAAACUCUUCACUGCUCUGCAUGUGUCCCAAAAAUGCGAUUGGACAAAUUAUGAUUUGCAUGCUAAAAAGAGGCAAAUGAGGUUAAUUCGCACCAUAAUUAUUUGGUUUUCUGGACACCAUAAAAAGAUGUUAUACAGGCAGGGAAAAACCUUCAGAGUUAGCUACCAAAGAUAAUUAUCAAGCAGAUAUCACCAAGAGAAUUCCAUAGAGUCUGAAUCAAAGACAGAUUGCUCGCUCGUGGGGGUUCUUACUUUCUUUUGGGUAUAACUCACUGAGGUCACUGUCUUUUUUAUUUGCAUUUCACAGUUAGAGUUCUGCUCUGGAAGGUUUGUUCUGGAAACAUAUAAAAGGAGCAUCAUUUUGUUCUUGGGUAACCCAUAGUCGUGAGUGGGUCCAUUUGCAUGCUACUUAGUUGAAAAGUUGGACAAUUUGCUCCGACGCCUACCUCCUGGAUUCCAUGCUCGGUAAAACAAGAAUAAAAAAAAAUAUAUAAUUUACAAAUGGGGGAAAGAAAAAAUGUCGGAAAAAAUAGUAAAAUUCAUGUCACAUGCUAGUGAGAGAAGGGGUUGUUACACUCACUCGAAGUUCUUUUCAAAAUAUCGAAUGGUAUUUUACUUUAUGUGUCAGCGCAGUUGUGAAUGGAACGUGCAAAAGUCCAAAUUGGCGUUUUUAUUUUUCCCAUGUAGGAUGGUGACCUUUAAUAAAUAUUUAAAACAAAAGACGAAAAAAAAAAGGAGGGAAAAGGGAUCACAAAAGAUAAAAUAAUGUUUACAAAAGCUCAAUUAGUUUGCAAAUUACUGUUUGGAUUUUGAUAGUAUUUUAUUUGUCGUUCUAUAUUUGAUGUAAAAGAGAAUUUAAGAUAUUUCCGAAGCAAAAGCAUUAGUUUGCUCUGUGAUGUCCCACAUCGAAUAGGGGAGAAAGUUUCUGGCGCUAUAUAUGUAGAGGCUCCUCUUAACCAAGUAGAUGCGUUUUAAAACCAUGAGGGCCCCCUUAGGUCCAAAGCGGACAAUAUCUACAUGAUUGGGUGUAAGUCAUUACAAAUGGUAUCAGAGCCGAUCCCCGACCCCGGUGUGGGGGUUUGUUUGGCCCUGUAAGGGGUGUUUGUCUGUUUGACCCCACAAUCCCAUGGGACACAACGAGGACGUUGUGUCUGCAUGGGGGGGCGUUUGUGAUGUCCCACAUCGGAUAGGGGAGAAAGUUCCUAGUGCUAUAUAUGUAGAUGUUUCUCUUAACCAAGUAGAUGCAUUUUAAAAUUGUGAGGGCCUCUUUGGGCCCAAAGCGGACAAUAUCUACAUGGUUGAGUGUAAGUCAUUACAUGCUCCAUGUCAAUUUCAGCAUUUCUCAUAUGUUUCACACAUACACAGAAGAGCAUCGUUUUUUAAAGCAUGCAUUUAUGUUGGAUUAAUUUGGAUUUUGUGGGAACUGGGGCAAGGAUCACAUGGAAGAGAGGUUGACUUUUUUCAGUACUUCAAUGGUUGAAAUAUGUGAAGGCUUGAUUGAUACUAAAGCUUGAAAUUGCGACUCUGUCAUUUGUAAAAAAAUAUGACAGCUUCCAUGCUCUCGUUUGGUUGCAUUGUCCGGUCGAGAGGUGCAAAAAGCAUUCUCUCUCUUCUAAUAGUCUUUUCGUUUAAAUCAAGGGAUUUGCCUUCCCGGUCGAGGUCCAAUAGAGGGUAACGGUCACCUACUAAACAUUAAAUGCUCCAACAACUAGUGAACUGAUCGACCCCAGCUCGACUAGUUGAGGUUACUUUUUGGUUUUCUUGUCUCCCGAGGUUAGAAACCUAUAAAUAGAGAGCUUCACUUCAUUUAUGAGUAAGAGAACACCUAAAUUUAUUUGUUUACCUACUUGUUUUUGCCAUAAAAGCUCUCAUUUCUUUUCUUGGUGUAUUAAAUCUCCAUUUGCAUAUCCUUUAGUGCACCUUUGUGAUUCAUUCUAGCCUUGAGUUGUAUUUAAGCCUUUGUUGAGCUAGGUUGAGAGUUUCAUACUUGUUUAUUGAGUGUUAAAGCCUUCAAGUGAGUUAAAACUUGAAGAGAUUGUGUAAGAGCCCAUUGGAGUCGGAAUCCAAGUGUAAAGGUGAUUAAAAGCUUGGUUGAAGCUUCAAGUUAGUGGAACUCUCACUCGGUUAUGAGCUUGAGAAGAGUGGACAUAGACAAGGCAGUGUCGAACCACUAUAAAAUCUGAGUUUGAUUUCUCUAACCUUAUCUCUUUAUAUUUGCUUCUCUUGUGCUUAAAUUUUUUGUGUUUAAAAAGAAUUUUUAAAAACUCAAUUCACCCCCUUCUUGGGAGUUUUUCUCUUUUAAGAUCAGCUUUUAUUUUCUCAAUUGGUAUCAGAACUAUGCCUCUUGUUUAAGACUUAAUCGUCUAAGAGGAAAUGGCUAAUCCAUCAAGUUCAUCUCACAUUGAAAGUUUUGCAACCAAUAGACUUCUUUUUUUUUUUUUGCGGGAACUGAUUAUCCCUAUUGGAAAACUAAAAUGACUUGGUUUUUACAAUCAAUUGAUUUAGAUGUAUGAGAUGCCAUUGAAGAUGACCUAACUUUUCCUUCAAAACUAGUUGAUGGAGUCAUGGUUCCAAAACCUAAGCAAGAAUGGGAUGAGCGUGAUUGAAGAAAUUUUCAAUUAAAUGCUAAAGUCGUUUAUACUUUGCAAUGCUCUAUGGACAGAAAUGAAUAUAAUAGAAUAUGUCAAUGCAAAUCGGUUAAAGAAAUUUGGAGAUUGCUUGAAAUAACUCAUAAAGGAACAAAUCAAGUUAAAGAGUCAAAAAUCAAUUUACUUGUUCAUAGAUAUGAAUUGUUUUUUAUGAAAGAUAAUGAAACUAUUGUUAAGAUGAUCACUAGGUUCACCAACAUUGUUAAUGGUCUUAAAGCCUUGGGAAAGACCUACAAGGAAUCCGAAAACGUGAUGAAGAUCUUGAGGUCACUUCCAUCAAAGUGGCAUACCAAGGUCACCGCAAUUUAAGAAGCAAAAGACUUGAUCAAGCUACCUUUGGAGGAGUUCAUAGGGUCAUUGAUGACAUAUGAAAUCAAUUUGGCAAAGAAGUAACAAAAAGGUGAAGACAAAAAGAAGAAGAACAUAACUCUCAAAGCUACAACUAAGGAAGAAGAAGUUGAAGAAGAAAAACAAAUUGAAGAAGAUGAAGAUUUAGCCCUCAUCACAAGAAAGUUCAACAAAUUCAUGAGGGGUGAAAGGUUUAGAAGAAGAAGGUUCACUUCUAGAAGAGACUUUUCUAAAAAGGAAUCUUCAUCUAAUGGUGACAAAAAGAGAUGGGAAGAGAAAAGAGACUUGGUGUGUUUCAAGUGCAAGAAACCGGGACACAUUAAAUAUGAUUGUCCUCUCUACAAAAGUGAAGUCAAGAGGAAAAAGAAUAAGGCAAUGAUGGCCACUUAGAGUGAAAGUGAAGAUGAAUCAUCCGAAGAAGAAAAUGAGAAAGAAGUGGCAAACAUGUGUUUCAUGGCAAUAGAUGAACUUGAUGAGGUAAAAUCUAACCUUAGUGAUUAAGAUAUACAUGAUGCAUUUGAAGAAUUGUAUGAGGAUUUUUAAAAACUUAGUUUGAAAAAUAUUUCUCUUAAAAAGAAAGUUCAACAACUUGACAAAGAACUUAGAGAAGUAAAAGAAAAAUUUUCAAAUGUUAAAGUUUCUAAAACUCAUCUUGAAAAAGAAAAUGAGAUUCUAAGAAAGAAAAAUGAAUAGUUGAACUCCUCUCUUUCAAUCUUUUCUUCUAGACAAAAAUCUUUUGAAAUGAUUCUAACUAGCUAAAAAUGUGUUUUUGACAAACAAGGGUUAAGAUUUAAAUCUUCAAAAAAUCAAAAGUAUUUUAAAAACUAUUUUGUAAAGGAAUCCACAAGUGCAAGUCCUUCCACUACUUGCAACUUUUGUGGAAGAGAAUGGCACAUUAGUAGUACGCCCUUUAAGAAAUGGUUCUCAAAAGAAUUUAAAUGCAAAAACUAAAAAAGAUUUGGAUUGAGAAAUCCAAGGUCACUAACCCUCAAGGACCCAAAAAGAUAUAGGUACCUAAAUCAACUUGAGUUUUAUGUUGUAAGGUUCAAAGAAUGAUAAGUGGUUCUUAGAUAAUGGUUGCUCAAGACACAUGACCGGAGAUGAAUCCAAGUUUGCUUUUCUUAAAAAGAAAAAUGGAGGAUAUGUUACCUUUGGAGACAAUGCAAAAGAAAGGAUGAUUGGUCAAGGCAACAUUGGUAAUGGCACAUCCUCUCUCAUUGAAAGUGUUUUAUUAGUAGAUGGUUUCAAACAUAACCUUUUAAGCAUUAGUCAAUUUUGCGACAAAGGUUUUUAAGUGAUUUUUUAAGCAUCUCAUUGCAUCAUCAAGGAUAUUCAAAAUGAUAAAACCAUUUUCAUGGGCCAUAGAUGUGAUAAUGUUUAUGCUAUAAAUAUUUCAAAAUAUGAUGGCCAUGAUAGAUGUUUUUCAAGCAUGCAUGAUCAAAGUUGGUUGUGCCAUAGGAGAUUGAGACAUGCUAACAUAGACCUCAUUUCCCAACUCAACAAAGAUGAACUUGUUAGAGGCCUUCCCAAAAUAAUUUUUUAAAAAGAUAAAGUUUGUGAAGCUUGUCAAGUGGGAAAGUAAAUCAAAAACUCUUUUAAAAACAAAAACUUCAUUUCCACAUCUAGGCCACUUGAGUUGUUGCAUAUGGAUUUAUUUGGUCCCUCUAGGACACCAAGUCUUAGAGGAAAUUCUUAUGCAUAUGCUAUUGUGGACGACUUCUCUAGAUACACAUGAGUCUUGUUUUUUAGUCAAAAGAAUAAAGUUUUUUAUGAGUUUUCAAAGUUUUGCAAUAAGAUUCAAAAUGAAAAAGGUUUUUCAAUUACUUAUAUAAGAAGUGAUCAUGGGAGAGAAUUCGAAAAUAUUGAUUUUGAAGAGUAUUGCAAUGAGCAUGGAAUUGACCACAAUUUUUUGGCUCUUAGAACUCCUCAACAAAAUGGGGUAGUUGAAAGGAAAAAUAGAACUCUUCAAAAAAUGACAAGAACCAUACUAAAUGAAAACAACUUACCAAAAUAUUUUUAGGCCAAAACGGUUAACACUUCUUGUUAUGUUUUAAAUAGAGUAUUAUUGAGGCUCAUACUUAAGAAAACUCCCUAUGAGCUUUGGAAAAACAAAAAACCCAACAUUAGUUAUUCCAAAGUCUUUGGAUGCAAUAUUUUAUAAUAAACACCAAAGACAAUCUUGGAAAAUUUGAUGCAAAAUUGGAUGUUGGAAUUUUCCUUGGUUACUCAACUUCAAGUAAAGCUUUUCGAGUUUUAACAAAAGAACCAUGGUUGUAGAGGAGUCCAUCCAUGUUAUUUUUUAUGAAUCUCCAAGAAAGAGAGAGGAUUGAUGAUGAUUUAGGUUUGAAGACCUCUAUAGGAAGAUUGCAAAUCGAAGAUAGAAGACAACAAGAAGAAAAUGGAGAGAAUCCAAAGAAAGAAGGAUCACCAUUGGCACUACCCCCUCAUCAACAAGCGCAAGGUGAAUCAAGUCAAGAGCUUCCUAAAGAAUGGAAGUUUGUCAUCAAUCACCCACAAGAUCAAAUUAUAGGCAAUCCAUCUAGUGGGGUAAGAACUAGAUCCUCUCUUAGAAAUAUUUGCAAUAAUCUAGCUUUUAUCUCUCAAAUUGAGCCUAAAAAUAUAAAUGAUGUUUUAGAUGAUGAAAAUUGGAUAAUUGCAAUGCAAGAAGAGUUAAAUCCAUUUGAAAGAAGUGGAGUAUGGGAAUUAGUACCAAGACCUUCAAAUCAAAGUGUUAUUGGAACUAGAUGGAUCUUUAGAAAUAAAAUGGAUGAAAAUAGCAUAAUUGUUAGAAAUAAAGCAAGAUUGGUAGCCCAAGGUUUUAAUCAAGAAGAAAUGAUAGAUUAUGAAGAAACCUUUGCCCCCGUAGCUAGGUUGGAAGCCAUUAGGAUGCUACUUGCCUUUGCAUGUUUUAAAGACUUUGUUUUAUAUCAAAUGGAUGUGAAAAGUGCUUUUUUAAAUGGUUUUAUAAAUGAAGAAGUAUAUGUUGAACAACCACCCGGUUUUCAAAGUUUCAACUUUCCUAACCAUGUUUUUAAACUUAAAAAGACACUUUAUGGUUUGAAACAAGCACCUAGAUCAUGGUAUGAAAAAUUGAGUAAAUUUCUUUUGAAAAAAAUGUUUUAAAAUGGGAAAAAUUGACACAACUCUUUUUAUAAAAACCAAAGAAAAUGAUAUGCUCUUAGUUCAAAUAUAUAUUGAUGAUAUCAUUUUUGGUGCUACUAAUGUCUCUCUUUAUGAAGAAUUUUCUAAGUGCAUGCAUAGUGAGUUUGAAAUGAGCAUGAUAGGAGAACUCAACUUCUUCCUUGGACUUCAAAUCAAGCAACUAAAGGAAUGAACCUUCAUCAAUCAAGCAAAGUAUAUAAGAGAUCUUCUCAAAAGGUUCAACAUGGAAGAAGCCAAAACAAUGAAGACUCUAAUGAGCUCAUCCAUUAAGCUUGAUAAGGAUGAGAAAGGUAAAUCCAUUGACUCUAUUAUGUAUAGAGGCAUGAUAGGUUCUUUGCUCUAUUUGACCACUAGUAGACCUUACAUUAUGUAUAGUGUGUGUUUGUGUACUAGAUUUCAAUCUUGUCUUAAAAAAUCUCACUUAAGUGUCGUGAAAAGAAUCCUCAAAUAUUUGAAAGGGACAAUGGACAUAGGCUUAUGGUAUCCUAAGAGUGAUAACUUUGAAUUAAUUGGUUUUUUGGAUGCUGAUUUUGUCAGUUGUAGGGUUGAAAAAUAAAACACUAGUGGCACUUUUCAUUUCUUAAGACACUUACUUGUCUCAUGGCAUAAUAAGAAGCAAAAUUUGGUAGCUUUGUCAACAGCAGAAGCUAAAUACAUAGCAACUGGUUUAUGUUGUGCACAAAUCCUUUGGAUGAAAUAAACACUUAGUGAUUUUGAUUUAUCUUUUGAGCAUAUUCCUAUUAAAUGUGAUAAUAGUAGUGCCAUAAGUAUAUCAAAAAAUCUCGUGCAACACUCUAGGACUAAGCAUAUAGAGAUUAGACAUAAUUUUCUUAGAUAUCAUACACAAAAGGAUGAUAUAACACUUGAAUUUGUAAGCAUAAAAGACCAACUUGCCGAUAUCUUUACAAAACCUCUAAGAACAUUUUGUUGAUAUUAGAGGACAAUUAGGAGUGAUUUCUUUAUGAUCUAAUGUGAUGAAUUCUUGAUGAAUAUACUUUUUGAUUGCAUGAAUUUCAUGUCAUAUAUGCAUCAUAUAGAAAUAUACUUAGAUAAUGGUCAAAUUUCGACCAAAAAUCAAAAUUCCCAUGGCAUUAGGCAUAAAAAUUUUGGAAUUUCAACUGAAAAUGGUAGGAGGAGGAUCACAAAAUGAGAAAGUAUGCAAAAAUUGAAAAAUCAAAACGUUGACCAAGCGGUCAAUCGGACUAGACCGAUCGACUAGUUUGUCGAGAUUUAGGAUUUUUAAGAGACUCCAACGCUUCAAUUUUUGCACCGUUCUCCUCUAUUUCUUCACGGUUUCUCUGAUUUUGUCUUUUAGAGACUAAUUUGAGUGCGUUUUGGAUCAAUUGAAGCAUUUUGGAUUGGAUUUUAGGAAGAUUGAAAGUUAAGGUUUCGGAUUUGGGUCGCCUUCUCUUCCUCUCGCGUGUCACAAUCAGCUUUAGCAUUGUUCUCUUUCCAUUUUCACACACCUAGGGUUUCAGUUGUGAGCAUCUCUCUCUCUUUACCAACCACUACUCCCUUGCUUCUUCCAUAUGGCUCCUAGGCGAGAGUCCGCUACUUCUAGGGCACAAGGCAAGCACCCAACUGAGUCGUCUCAGUCAAAGGCACGUCGAAAAGUGAGAUUUGACAUUGCCUUGUUCAGUUCCAUGGAGGACUACCAACUAUACAAGCAACACUUUGCUUAGAGACGAGUAGUUCCCAAGAGAAAUAUUAAUUUUCCUCAACUUCAGCAUUUCGAAUUUAAGGGUCUAUUUACUAGGAUGGUUGGUUGUCUAUUGUCACAAUUUCGGAGCCGGUUUUCCUGACCUUAGUGCGAGUUUUUUACUCGAGGGCGACUUAUGGCAUGGGUGGCAUGAUCAUUUCUACUGUUGGAGGAGUUGAGAUCUGUCUGGACCCAGAGAGCAUCUGCCAUAUUUUCGAUAUUGCUCUGGUUGGACUCAAAGUAUACAAGUCCAAAAUGUGGCCCAUUGUGCCAGGAUUUGAGCUUAGAGAGGUCAUUCAGAGGAUUUGUGAACUUCCAGACGCCCAGGAGAUGGGCAAACCAUUGCCACACAGUUUGACGGUCAUCAACAGGGUGCUACACCAUAUAUUGUGCUCUAUCUUUCUACCACGAAGUGGACAUUGAGAUGAGGUCUCUUAUUAUGAGGCAUUCCUUAUUGACUCCAUUCUAACGGAGAGACGAAUUCAUCUACUAUGUCAUCAUUCACUAAGCCUCCUCACAGUGACAUACCACCUCAUCAGGCACCUCUUGCUCCUGACCAUGCUCCAUUGAUGGAUUUAUUUACUCAUAUUAGCUCUCUAGGCACUCGCAUGAAGGAGUUUGUUGUAGUUAGUGAUACAUGGUUCUACUCCAUAGAGGAUCGCAUGGAUCAGUAUCAGACUGGCUUCACGUCACAGUUUGAGUAUCUCCAAUAGAGGAUUGAGCAUAUUGAGGAUCACUUGAGCAUGAGAAGAUGAUGGCUUUUCUAUGCUCUGUGUUUCCACCUCCACCUCGUCAACCUUGAUUUCUUAGAGACCCAUUGUUUUCAUUUUGUAAUGUUGCCAAAAGGGGGAGAUAUUUAGGAUCUAGGACUCUAUAGGAGACUUACAUGCAUAUCAUUUUCAUAUCAUUGUUUGGAUCGUACAUAUUGGAUAGUGAUACUUUUUACUUAUAUAUGAUAUGCCUAUAUGUUUCAUGUCUUACAUUGUUUCUUAUUGCAAAUUAUCUCUAACAUGUCUUGAUUAUCUUUUUUUUAACUUCAUAAAUUUUGAUUGUUAACCCAUGAUUGGUUUGAGGGGAAGAUUCUUCUUCUCCUAGAUAACCAAGGUUUGUCAUCAUAAAAAAAUUGGAGAUUGUUAGCCCAAGGGUUCUCCUAAUCAUGUUUUGAUGAUAACAAACCAUGCUUAAGUUACUAAUUGGUUUGAAUUAUAAAGAAUUUCAAGUGUUAAUUUGAAAAUUCAUCAAAGAACCUAAUGGAUGCAAGAUCAAGAUUUUUGGAAGACCUUUAAUCAUAAGAAACAUAUGUAAGAUGAAUGCAUGGGUGCACUUAAGAUUUGCAUAUCAUUUCAUGCAUAUUUGGAAAACACGGUUUAUGCUUUAAAGUUACAUUUCCAUCAAAAUUUGAGAUCCAUCAAAUGAACCUUAGGAAAAAUGUUUUAAAAUUGGCAUAUAAUUUUACCUAAAGACCUUGCCUAAGUGUUAGAAGCAAAAGGACAAAAAAAAUAUAGGUUUUCUGGUCAAAAAUGGUGAACCAGUCAAGGCAUUGUCUAAAUCAGCUCAAUCGGCCAAGGUACCGGUCGAUCGGUUUCCCUUUCCCUGUCGAGAUCUAGUCAAGAGGUACAAAAAUCACAAUCUCUGUCUCUUUCUCUCUUUGUCUAUCUUCCAGUAGUCUUUCCUUCCCGGUCGAGGGAUUUGCCUUCCCGAUUGAGGUCCGAUUGAGAGUAAUAGUCACUUGCCAAAUAUUAAAUGCUCCAACAGUUAGUGAACUGGUCGACCCCCACCUUGCCCAGUUGAGGUUACUUUUUGGUUUUCUUGGCUCCCGAUGUUAGAAACCUAUAAAUAGAGAGUUCCACUUCAUUUAUGAGCAAGAGAACACUUGCAUUUAUUUGUUUACCUACUUGUUCUUGCCUUAAAAGCUCUCAUUUCUUUUCUUGGUGCAUUAAAUCUCCAUUUUGAUAUCCUUUAGUGCACCUUUGUGAUUCAUCUUAGCCUUGAGUUGUAUUUGAGCCCUUUUUUUAGCUAGGUUGAGAGUUUCAUACUUGUUAAUUGAGUGUUAAAGCCUUCAAGUGAGUUGAAACUUGUAGAGAUUAUGUGAGAGUCGAUUGGAGCCGAAAUCCAAGUGUAAAGGUGAUUAGAAGCUUGGUUGAAGCUUCAAGUUAGUGGAAUCCUCACUCAAUUAGGAGCUUGAGGAGAGUGGACGUAGCCAAGGAAGUGUCGAACCACUAUAAAAUUUGAGUUUGAUUUCUCUAACAUUGUCUCUUUAUAUUUGUUUAUCUUGUGCUUAAAUUUAUUGUGUUUAAAAAGAAUUUUUAAAUACCCAAUUCACCCCCCUCUUGGGUGUUUUUCUCUUUUAAAAUUAGCCUUUAUUUUCUCACAAACUAUUGUAGUAUAGUGGUUUUUAGGUGUCAUCCAUUAGGAUGAAUUGUUCUCGGUAAUUAAGGCGUGAAUGAGAGGAGAAUUAAUGAUUGUGAUUAAGUAAAAUUGAUUUGAAAAUUCAUGGUGAAAAAUCAAUUUAACAAUGGUUUCUAAUUGAGAAAAACAAUGAAAUGUGAAAUAAAAUAAAAUUAAUAGGAAAUGAAAUUCUCGAAGUUAGAAUUUUCUAAAAAACAAAUUCCAUGGUGAAUGGAUGUUGAGAUCUAAUUUUCAUCAAGUUAGAUUGAAAACCGAAAUUUUCAUAUAAACUGAUUUUUUAUUUAGUUUUAGGUCUAGAUUUAAUUUCCCUUAAAAUUAGGUUAUUUAAUCCAAGAAAUCAAUUCAAAUCAUAUAUUCAAUUCAUCUUAAAUUAUCUUCCAAUUAUUCACACAAUGCAACUAUUCAAUCUCAUCAAAUCUAGCUUUUAAGAAUUUAAUGAAUCUACCUAGUUUGCAUUGUAAUAGUCAUCCAUGACAAUUUGAAGAGAAAAAUAAUUCAAUUAAUCAAUCACUUGGAUCAAAUUACCUUUGCAAUUAAAGUUCAUUUCUCUAAUUCACCACAGAUUUUGUCUCUAGAUCCUCCUUUCUCAAAGAAAAAUGAGAUUUAGCCACACAUGAUUGGAGAUUUGGUCUCAUAAGGCAUGUUUAGCUAGUGAUAAAAUGAGAGAAAAUAAAGAAAAAUAGAGAAUUCGAUUAAGAAAGAAAAUCUAAAAAAUUCUACAAUUAGAAAUGUCCAAAAAGCUUUUUCAUGAGAAAAUCAAGUUUCUAUUUAUAGGCCAAGGUCAAGUGGACACUUGACAUCAUCUAAGAGGUCUUCCGGAAGCUUCUUCAUCAAGAAAUCUGGAGUUUAAUAAUAAAAUGGUCAUUUCACAAGAGCUCAAACAAUUUCGCAUGAUUAUGUGAAAUAAAAAAUGCAACAACAGCAAUUUACAUCUUCUUGGAGCAUUUCGCAUGACUGUGUGAAAUUUUCACAUGAUCAUGUGGAAUCGACUUGACAACUCUCAUUUAGCCUACAACAUAAUUCCACCUUUUGGUCCAUUUUUCAUAGUCAUGCGAAAUGGAAAUAUUUGAUUUUUAAGUUUUCUUUUGUCAUUUCUUUCAUUUCCUUCUCUUGAUUCCACUUCAACUACCUCCGAAUCCUGGUCCAAACCAAUUGCAUUACUUCUUUCAUUAUGCAUUUGGAUCAUCAUCAACAUUAUUUGUUCUCUUCAAUUUGAUUCAUCUCUUUUGUCACCAAUUUAUCAAAAUCAUACCUUGAAAUGACUCCAAAACUUCAUAAAACUUGUUAGUAACUCUUGCAAGGGCAACAACAUAUUAAUUAAGUGUUUUAGGCAUAGUUACUACUCAAAAGAUGCGAAACUCAUGAUAAUUAUUAUAUAAAAUAUGCUCUUUUUGAGUAGUAAUCAACUUUCUUGCAUAAGCAGACCUUUUAGGGUGGAGUACUAAAGACCAAUAUGCUUGUCCUUGUUGUAAUAAAGAAACUUGCUCUUAUUGAUUGCACCAUGGGAGAAAAUUUUGCUACAUGAGUUAUCAUCAAUUUCUUCCCACCAAUCAUAGAUUUAGACGUGACAAGAGGCCUCUUAAUGGCAAGGAGGAACUGACACUCACACUUAUACAAUUAUCGGGCAUUGAUGUGUUGCAACAAUUAGAAUAACUUACACCAAUUAUGUUGGGGAAGUCACAAAAGGCAAACAUGAAAACUAAAAGGAAAAAAGAAAAAUGUUACAUAUCACCACAACUGGAAAGAAAAAAGUAUUUACUUUCAUUUGCCAUAUUGGAAAGCACUUAUUUUACAUCAUAAUAAUUUAGACAUAAUGCAUAUUGAGAAAAAUGUGUGACAAUAUAAUUGAGACAUUGUUCAGUAUUGACGAAGAAACAAGGACAACCUAAAUAGUCAUCUCGAUUUACAAGCUCUAACUAUUAGAAAUGAGAUUCACCCAAUAGAAAGCAGGACCAAAUUUAUUUUGCUUGCAACAUGCUACUCACUCACCCCAAAUGAGAUUAAGGAAUUUUGCAAGUUUUUGAAAUCAAUAAAGGUCCCCAAUGGCUAUUCUUUCAAUAUCUCUCGUUAUGUGCAACUCAAUGAAAGGAAGAUAUAUGAGCUCAAAUUGUAUGAUUGUCAUGUCCUAAUGCAACAACUUCUCUCACUUGUAGUUCGUGGAGUUCUACAUAAGAAUGUUUGUGGAGUUAUCAUAGAAUUGCGUAAUUUUUUCAAGCAAUUGUGCUCAAAGGUGUUAGAAACAAAUCACUUACACCAACUUGAGAACAAUAUUAUUGUCAUACUAUGUAAAAUGGAGCAAAUAUUUCUUCCAUCAUUCUUUGAUAUUAUGGUGCAUUUACUUGUGCAUCUAGUAAGGCAAAGGUUGCAAGACUUGUGCAAUAUUGUUGGAUGUACCUAAUUGAACGAUAUUGUUAUAAUUUCAUAUGAAUCAUUUAAUUUUAUUUUAUAUUAUGUUCAGUUCAUUAACAUGUACAUUGGUCUACAUAUGGAUGAUGAUAGGUACCUAAGCACUUUAAAGUCAUAUGUGCGUAAUAGAACUUUUCUAGAAGGUUCUAUUGUAGAAAGGUACCUUGCAAAAGAAUGUACAACAUUUUAUUCUAGGUACUUGAAUGAUGUGGAAAUAAAGUAUAAUCACAAUGAUAGAAACUUUGUUGGUUUCAACACUAGAGGAGAUGAAAGGGGUUAUCUUUAAACAUAUUGGACAUGCAUUGGGAAAGCCCAUAUUUCAUUAACUUAGUUCAAAAGAGUGGUCACAAGCACAUUUAUAUGUGUUGACAAAUUGCGAAGAUGUCAUACCAUUCAUUGAGUAAAAAAUUUAUUUGAAUUUUAAUUAAAGCUCUAGUUUAUAUCCUUAAUCAAUGUUUUUUAAAUUCACAAGGAGCACAAGCAAACCAUCAAGGCUAGACCACAUAUACGUGUUUGAGACGUAGAUUUAAUUCAUAACAAGGAAUUUAUCAAGUGGUUUGAAAGACAUGUAAGUAUAUUCCUUAUUAUAAGGGAUUUAUUUCACAUUAUGUUUAUAUUGAAUCCAAACCUAUUAUUGAAUUGUAGGUUGAACAAUUACAUAAUGAAGGUCAUAUAUCUGAACACCUUCUCACAUUAUCAUGUGUUCCAAAUUCAUUAGUUACAUGCUUCAAAUGAUAUAUUGUCAAUGGAUUUAGAUCCCACAUUAAAGAACGUGAUAAAAAAGUUUUUAAAAAAAGACUCAGAAUAAUGGAAUUGUUGUAGUUGCAAAAACGUCAAGCUUUACAAGUGCAUGUGAUAUGAGUCCAAUUAUUAGUGAUGCUCUCUACUAUGGUGUUCUAACUAAAGUUGUUGAGUUACAUUAUCUUGGUGAAAAUAAGGUUGUUUUAUUCGAGUUUGAUUGGUGGGAUGUUACAAAUAUUGGAAAAUUGAUAAAAGAUGAUGAGUACAAUUACACAUUUGUUAACUUUGCAUGAAUUCUAACCACGAACGAACGAUUUGUACUUGCAUCUCCAGCAAAGUAAGUGUUCUAUGUGAAGAAUGCGAAUGAAUCAGAUUGGCAUACUAUCAUGGAGAUGCAACCUCAAGACCUCUAUAAGAUGAACGGGAUAGGAUCCAAUGGUGAUUUUGAACCAUUUCAACAAAGUGAACUACAUGAUCACUAAUAUAUCUCAGAUUUAGUUGAUGAAGAUAUAAUCAAGUGGAACAAAAGUGAUGUUUUAGGACUAAUCAUCCUAAAAAAUAUUGUAGUUUCUUAAAAAAAAAAUGAAAAUGAAGAAGAUAAUUGAACCUUUGUCAUACUUUAAAAAGCAACUAUGCAUUGUUCAUUUUGUAUGUUUUGGUUUUCUUCAUUUAAUUUCCUGAUUUUUGUGAUUCAAUGUCAUAUUAUUGAUCUUGAAAUAUUUUUCUAAUUUUUCAUUCUACGAUGGUUUCAACAAGGAUGACAUCAAGUCAAAAAAGGAAAUGUGGUCCCACACACAAUAUUGCAUUACAGGGAUUAAGGUCAGGGAAGAAGGUAAAAGUUGCAUUUAAUGAGUACAAUCAAUUGGUUAAACAGAAAAAUGGAAAACACUUAUCGAGCUACAUAGGGACACUUGUAUCUAACCAACACAAUGUACCUCUCCAAGCUAGUGAUUGGAAAAAUGUUCCAAAUGAUGCAAAAGAGAAAGUAUGGCCUUUGUUUUGGUAUGUUGUAUUUCUCACUAUAUGAUGUCAUUUCACUGUUAUUCUAUUUUGUGACUAACGUUUGAAUCAUAUGUAAGAAAAAUUUGAAGUAGAUAAAGACUGAAAAGAUUACAUGUUGGGUAUAGCCUCAAAUAAAUAUAGAAGCUAUAAAAAUAUGAUGAAUGCAAAAUACUAUGACCCUUGGCAUAAGGAUGCAUGAGGAGAGGUUAAUACAUAAAUCACCAUUUGUCUCUGAUGUUGAUUGGAAGUGGCUUGUCUCUGAUGCAUAAACCAAAUCCCCCACUGAAUGUUUGAUAUUUGAUAGCAGGAAAAACACACCCGCAGCUAUACACCUCCAUCAUUCAGAUAAUUAUAGUGGGGGAGAUGAUUCAUGGUUGCCCUUAUACCCUUUAUUUGCACCAUCUAUUGAGAUUCUUUAUCAUGGCCAGGUUUUACUGCAGCAAUAAGAUAUGGUGGCAACAAUUUUAUCUAUAGGUGCGGUUCCAGACCGCCUCCAUAGGUGCGGUUCCUGACUGCCUCCAUAGGUGCCUCUUCUUGUAAUGUUUGUUCUGGGAAUUACACUUGAAAGCCUUAUCGUGAUAAGGGAUUACAAACACUAGUUCAGAGGACAGCCAUGUUAAACUUCCACUAUGUUUGUGUCACAUUAUCAGCAGCCUAGUGUUUAUUGGUCAUGCUAUCUGCAACUAAUAUAACCCGGUGAACUUCAAUCUAAAUUCUGAAAGUACUCAUGUGACAGAUGGUGCCUUUCAGCAGAUAUCAUCAAUUUAAAAGUAGUGUGUGUGCCUAUAGGUGGGAAGGCCUUGGCAAAUGUUCAGUAUUCCGGUAAUUCAAGAAGGAUAUAUCUAAAAUAGAUUUUCUUCUUGCCCAUUUCAAUAGUUAAAAUUUGAGAAGAUUGUGUCCACAUCACACAAAUAUUAUUGGUCCUUCUGUUGCAAUUUACCUCUGAACAUGUCUUCCAAUUCCCACGGUCCUGUUACUCCAGGAAAACUAUUUCGGUCAUAUUGAAAAAAAAAAUAUUAAAGAAGGUACACAUGCUUUUAAGUGGACUGGGGCAUUCAUAUCAGGUGGUCUGUAUCCACAUAUGCCACUUCGUGAAAGGUGGAACAGCCUAAUCACUAGGCUAUUUAGUGUGGCCCAGCCACGUUAAUCAAGCACAAGUCUUCAUACUUAAAGUCAAAUGGUGUCUUUAGUCUCAUUACACAUCGCUAUUUGAAGAUUAACUCAUCACUAGUGUAAUGCGAUUAAGACAGUCCUAACUCAAUAUUUGUUCUAGUUUUGGAUGCAAAUGCUUGCUGGUUUCAUCAUUGGAUGGGAUAAAGGUGCAAUCAGGACUAUGAAUACGUGCAGUAAUACUUCAUUCUCUUUUUUCUCAAUGAGACUUCUUGGCACAAUUUUGCUGCUCAGCAACCUACCUUUCCAUGGAAAAUCAGUUGUGACUGAUAGUAAUGGAUAUAUUCUAGAAAGCUAAACAUAGAUAGCAUUCAAUAUUAUCGAUAUAACAUUAACAGCGUAUGUCUCAAUGCUCAUCAGCUACAAGCAAUGGACAAACACUUUGAGUAACUCACAGCAGUCAAAAUUCCUAAACAGGACAGACGUGACAGAUCUAUAUAUAGAACACUGCAUAUGAGUCACAGGAAAAGAUAAUACGGGUACAUAGAAGCUCUUAUUUUACAUAUUACUCAUACUGAUCAAAGUCGCUCAGUUGGGAUGGAUGGGAGAAGGAGGUUUGAGGGGUGGCUUGUGCGGGGAAGUUGGCAGCUUCUUUCCGGGAGCUGGUUGCUUCUUUGCUGGAGUUGAAGGAGGCUUAAUCUUCCGAGGUGGCUUGUAUGAGUCUUCAGCAUUCUCAGCAGGAGGGUGACCAGGGUUGUGACCAUAAUGUGGUGGCUUCUCUCCCUUAGGUGGUUUGCCAACUGGGGUUGGUGGCUUGUUUUCUGGGAGUGGCUUCUCUCCCUUGGGUGGUUUGCCAACUGGGGUUGGUGGCUUGUGUUCUGGGAGUGGCUUCUCCCCCUUGGGAGGUUUUUCGAAUGGGGUGGGUUUGUGUCCUGGUGGUGGCUUCUCUCCCUUGGGAGGUUUACCAAUUGGGGUCGGUGGCUUGUGUUCUGGGAGGGGCUUCUCUCCCUGGGGAGGUUUAGUGGGUGGCUUGUGUUCUGGAGGUGGCUUCUCCACCGGAGGCUUAUGCUCUGGUGGUGGCUUCUCGAAGGGGGGAUGCUCAGGGUAAUCACCAAGUGAGGGGGUGGUGAGAACCACCAUGCCAAGCAACAACACUAGCAAGUAUGUAGUAGACAUCUUUGGGUUUGGACUCAGACAGUGCAAAACUACGAGAAAUCGCUAGCCCUUUAUAGCGGCUCGGACCUAAUACUGACAUAAUAUAAAAUAAAUAUUAUAUUUUAUCAAGAGAGAACAGAGUGUAAUUUUAUCAUUAAUACCGAUCGAGGCCAAAGAAAGAAGACCCAUAAUCCAUUUCCCACAAGCAUACACAAUGCAGCUGUAAUUUUAUCAUUUACUUUUAUCCCUUGGACCACUGCAUUUUUGUUGAGAGACACAAUAACACAUUUUUAUCUGUCAUUCAACAUUUACAGUAAAGAGAGGGCACAAAACGCAAUUAGAUAAAUUAUGUUUUGCCUGCUAAAAAGAGGCAAAUAACUUUAUUUGCAACAUAAUUAUUUUGGUUUCUAGUGACCCCGGGGCCUUUCGGUUGGUUUGGGAUCGGAAAAUGAACAUCAUAGGGGGGGUUGUGCCCUUAUGGGCAUAUAUAUCUGAUAGCUUCAACUGGCCUUGUUCCUAGAAAGAAAUUGCCAAAGAUAUAAACUUAUUCCAGGCUGAAAGUAGAUGAGAGUCAUAAUGAACAUCAACCUUUGUUCAGUUUGAUUCAAUGCCCCCAUAGUGUUCAUUUCACAGAUCUGAAUGAUUAUAUCCGUUGAAUACAUAAAUUAAUGAAGACAAAUAUGAAACCCAAGAUACAUCUCUGCAUAACAACCCCAACCCUGGUUGCUAUGUUUCCCUUCUUCUAUUCACAUGAGGAUACUGGUUAUAAUUGUCAAACUUGCAACAAGCCCUUUGACACCUAACGUCAAUGGACGAAUUAAAAGUCUCCUUCAAACGUCUAUUUCACAGCAUGAAGCUUAUAAAGGAUGCUGACAACCUUCAGAGUUAGCGACAAAAGAUAAUUAUCAAGGAGAGAUAGUUCCAUGAGAAUUCCAAGGAGUCUGAAUCAAAGACAAAUUGCUCACUCAAGGGUUCUUAUUUUCUUUUAGGUACAAAUCUCUUGAGUGUUGUUAAAGAAACACGUCACUGUCAUUUUGAUUUGCAUUUAACAUUUCACUUUUGUUCUGGAAGGUUUGUUCCGGAAACAUAUCAAAUGAGCAUCAUUUUCUUCUUCGGUGACACAUGGUCGCGAGUACGUGGGUCCAUUUUCAUGCCACUUAGUUGAAAAGUUGGAAAGAAAAAACAUGCCAACAAGAAGAUAGUGAGAGAAGGGGCACUUCAAGCCUUUAACAUGAACAAACAGUAAAUAAAAGAUGUUUCUCCACUCAUAAAAGUGUGUUAGAUAGCAAUAUAACGAAUCACAUCCAAAAUCUUUACUAGGCUCAAACAUAAAGAAGACUCAUUUUUAAGAAAAGAUAAAAAUGGCAUUGUCUGAUAGUAUCCAAUACACGAGAUGGCACUUAAUUUGUACAAGAUCUGUCAAUGCUGACGCACAUUUUCUGAUUAAAAAAAAACUGAUCAGUCAAAAGCAAUGAAGAGAAGUGAUGACAAUGAAUGAUGCUUCCAAUAUUUUCACCCCUUAUAGUGUUCUUCAUGAUUCAGAUAUAUAAUUGGAAAUAGAACAACCCUAUGCCAUACAUUCGUCUAAGUAUGGUGUCUAAUUUUUUGUGUCAGCGGUUGCGAAUGGAGCGUGCAAAAGUCCAAAUUGGCGUCUCUCCAUUUCCACAUAGGAAGGUGACCUUUAUUGACAAAUACCCAAUAUUUGUAGACAUUCCUUAAAUAUCAUAACUUCUUGUUGAUUUGAAAAUCAUUUUUCAACUACCAUGUUUUAAUAAAUAUUUUUUAAAAUGUAUUUUUAUCAAAGUCCACCAUGAUGGAUAAUAUUCACCAUGCAAUAAUUAAUAAAGUACAAACUAAGCGAAAUGAAAAGCAUUUUCUUUGCUUUGAGUUGAUUUUGGUUGCAUUGAGUUGAUUUUGGUUUCAUGGUUUUUUCAACUCUUAUUUUGAUUGGAAGAUGUCAAGAAAAGAAAACAUAAAGAAAAAUUAAAAGGGAAAAAAGAAGAAAAAUAAAAAAAAAUAGAUUUAAAAGUUAAUAAAUUAUUUUUUAUAUUUAUUUUAAUUCAUUUCACUUAUUUUUCUUUUACUAUAUAAAAUUUAAAUAAUUUAAAUUUUAUAAUUAAUUUAAUUACAUUUCAUUUUCUUCUAUAUUUAAAUAUUGGAAAAAUAUUUUACUUAAUAUUUUUUUCUUUAAUUUCUUUGGCAUUUUGGGAACCAAACUUAGCCUUUAAAAUAAAAAACAAAAAAAAAAUGAAAAUAAGGAGGGAAAAGUGAGAAAAGAUAAAAACAAUAUGUAAAGGAUUUGAAAAGUAUUAGUUUGUAAUUACUAUUUGGAUUUCAAUAGUAUUUUAUUUGUCUUUCUAUAUUUCAUGUAAGAGAGAAUUUAAGAUAUUCCCCAAGGCAAAGCAUUAGUUACCUGCAAUCAGUGGUGAUAAGGCUCCAAGCCAAUUUUGGGCCCCAUAUCUUAAGACAGUACAAUUUCCAUUUCAACAUUUCUGAUUUCUCAGAUGUUUCACAUACCACAGAAGAACAUUGUUUGUGAAAAUAUGCAUUUAUGUUGGAUUUUGUAUGCUGUGGGGACUGGGGCAAGGAUCAUAUGGAAGAGUGGUUGACUUUUUCUGUACUUUAACGGUUGAAAUAGGAUAAGCACGGGCAUUUGUGAGGCUUAAUUGAUUUUGAAGCCUGAAAUUGCGUUUCUGUCAUUUUGUCAAAAAAAUGGCAGAUUCCAUACUCAUAUGUUUGGCCUGUGGCCAUGUACAGAUGCCAUUUAGUGACCAGUUUGUAACUGUCAAUCGUUGCGUUUUGACUCUGCCUCAACAACAUCUGCCAUUGACGGGUUUUCAUACUUGCAAAUCAAAUAGUCUUUCGUCCCAUCAGGAAUUUCGGUUUAAAUAUUAUUAAGCAUACGUUUGGCUGACAAUCAUUAUCCAGUUCAUGAUUUGGUUUCUUACCCUUAAUCAAUGGUUUCUAAGUGAAUAUAUGUAGAAGGAAAUCCGAAGUGUAGACAGUAGUAUCGAUAACUCUCAAUAUUCUCUAUAUAAUAGAAUAAACAGCGUCAUAGUGAUCGUCGCCUACAAGCAAGGUACAAAUACCAAAACGAGUGACUCACAUAGACAUCUCCCAACAAGAUGUAGUAGUGACUGACACAUGGACACAAUUAACUCGUAGAAAAGGAUAAGACCAUUGCACAGCAGCUCUUAUUUUACAUACUACUUAUGCUAACCAAAGUCAAUUAGUUGGGAUGGGUGGGAGAUGGAGGUUUGUGCGGUGGCUUGUGGGGCGGAGUUGAUGGCUUCUUUCCAGGAGCUUCUGGCUUUUUCAUCGGAGCUGAAGGAGGCUCAAUCUUAUGAGGCGGCUUGUAUGAGUCUUCUUUACUCUCGACAGGAGGGUGGCCAGGGUUGUGAUCAUAAUGUGGUGGCUUCUCUCCCUUAGGUGGCUUGCCAACUGGGGUUGGUGGCUUGUGUUCAGGAAGUGGUUUCUCUCCCAUGGGAGGUUUAGCAAUUGGGGUUGGUGGCUUGUGUUCUGGGAGUGGCUUCUCUCCCUUGGGAGGUUUAGUAGGUGACUUGUGUUCUGGAGGUGGCUUCUCCACCGGAGGCUUGUGCUCCGGUGGUGGCUUCUUGGUUGGAGGGGGCUUGGGGUAAUCAGCAAGAGAUGGGGUGGUGAGAACCACCAGUCCAAGGAACAACACUAGCAAGUAUGUGGGAGACAUUUUUGAGUUUGGGCUGAUCAGAUGAUGCAAAACUAAAGCAUUACGUGACCUUUUAUAGCAUGUAGCUCCCAAUACCCACUAAGUAUUGUGGGGUCCAUUUGUGCCCUACGGGGUUGAAAACUUAGACAAUUGGGCAAGGACCCACCUGACUAUGGAGGACUAGUGAGGUGUGAUCAUAGCUUUAGGAUUUUUCUUCCUCUGCAGCCGUCGUGCCGUUGGCAUGAUUUUCUUAAUCUUAAAUAAAGGCAUAGUUAUAGAGUUGUUUAAUCUCUAAAUGGGAUUUUAUAUAUAUCUUCAGAUAGCCAUUAAUAUAUUUGAUGAAGAAAGAAAGACAAGUGCAUACAACAUGUAUACGACUAGCUUUCAUGGAGUUCAUUUAUGAUCAGUUUUCCUGUACAUGUAAACCAGGAUCAUAUAUAUGUUUCUGUUCCACAACUAUUUUGGAAUCUUGUUUAUCAGUUUUUAUCAUUAUAAUGUCACAUAGGCUGCCAACUUGGGCGCUAAAAGAACCAGUUGGGCUAGUUCGUUUCAGAAUUUCAAUGUGGAUUCAGGAAUUGUUUUGUAAGAUAUGCGAAAUAGUAGAGGGAUGAAUAGUGUUUCAUUAAUAAAAGUGUCCUGUAAAUUAGAAGGUGUCAUAGAAACUAUAAUCAAUAAAUAACUUUUUUUCCCCACGGGUGGUGUUUCUUGUGGGGAUCAGUGACUGGUUUAGGUUCACCCAAAAUGAGUUCAGACUAAAAUUGGUUUGAGUCAAUGCCGUGUCUCUUUUUUCCAGAAAUCAACUAUUUUAUGCAUUGAAUAAAUCAUACAAAGAAAAUAUGAACGCCCGCAAAACCUAAACCCUGGUUGCUAACUUUCUAUGUUUCAGUUCUAUUCACGCAAGAAUAUUAGUUUAAGUUUGGGAAAAAUGGCAACUUACCUAGUGAUUACUUGGUUUUGGUUUGCGACUAUUUACGCAACCAACCAUGAGUUUGACUUUAACGUCAUGGGUUGAAGCCUCCUACAGGAAGGGAGAAAGCUCCACAGCUAGCUCCAAAAGAGAAUUAUCACAUUGAUAGCUCCAGAGAUUCCCAAGGGGACUGAAUCAAAGACAAGUUCCUCACUUUUUCUUCUUUUGAGGCCAAAUAUGAACCAAGGAUCACACAACCUCAUUCAACUUCAUAAGUUUGAUUUCAUGCAGUUGAACACUGGGUGAAGGCCAUGACAAGAAUUGAUUCAAAAAUUCUAUCACUCUUUUAAGUAAUGGAAGAUUAUUAUCUCUGAUUGGCAUCACAACAGCACAUGCUCCUAGAUCUUUCUAGACACUCCAUGCAAUGAAAGCACAAUGGAUCUUGUAACGAUAGAAACUAAGCCAUGCUACAGUACUAGAUGAUGAGGUAAAACUAGUAGACACGGGUGGCAGCCUAUAUGGGAGGGACACAAGUCUAAUUGAUUUGCAUUUCAGCAUUAUAGAUAGGUAUGUUUUGGAAGAUUUGUUCUGGAAAUACCGCACCAAGUAGGAUUCUUUUUCUCUUUAGUGGGUCCACUUGCAUGCCAAUUAACGAGUUGAAAAGUAUGAGCACCUACCUCGUGCUCGUGGAACCGAAGGUCAGUGAAGUGGGGCUCCUUUUGGCCUCGUGUAAACUUGAUUCAGAAGUGAAGUUAAUAGUCUUCCAUUCAGAUGGAUACAUGGGAAUUUUUCUCUUUUAUUUAUUUAUUUAUUUUUUUUUUGUGUGUGUAUGUCAAAGGAUAAUGAAUGAAGCGCGUUAGCUUGUUUUCUGACUGGAACCGCAGAUGUCCAAAUUGGAGUUCCUUCAUUUCUUACUUAGGAUUGUUACAUGUAUAAACAAGGUAUAAGAAAUAUGCCAACGUGUCUUGAGGAGUUAUUGAUUAGAAAUAACAAGUCACCCGACUGUAGAGUUCCAAGAUUUGAAUCUUCAGACCCUAUAGCAGCCUCUGGGGUACGUGGCAUCCUAUAGCAUAUUAAUGAAGGCUUUUUCGAUUUAGACUUCACAAUACCAAUUAAUAUGUAUGCACAAAAUGGAGAUGACCCCAAAAAAAACAGAAUCGCCAUAGUUUAUGAGGUUAAGGUGAUUCUCCACUUAAUAUCUACAUUAGCUAAUUAUGUAAAUCAAAUGAACUUCUAUUUUUCCUUUUUUUUUUUGGUUUAUGUCAAAUAGUAGCCCAUAAUUAACCCAACCAUUAGCCUGUUUGAAUUGAUUUCACAUGCACAAUGUUGUAGUAGUUCAUAUUUUGAAUUUUAUUUUUACAAAGGUAGUUAAGGAAAAUGAAGUAUAAUAAUUAUAAAAGCAGACUAUAUACACUACAAUAAUUGUUAGAAUGGUAUCUCAAAUUCUAAUUUAAAAUAUUAUUUUUUGUAAAAGAAAUAUUAUAUAGAAUAUUUCCUAAUUUUAUAAAUGAUUAUAAUUAGAUCUUUAUAAAAUAAGGAAAGUUGGUAAGAAUAUCUUUAUAAAUAUUUUAGGUCAUGAGAGAAAGAAAUGGGAUAAAAAUGUGAUGAAGAGGUGAAAUAAGAGAGUUGAUUAGGAUAUAGAUGUGAAGAAGAAAGGGAUUCAAUAUAUAUAUAUCUUUCAAUUACCACAUUAAAACCCUGUGAACCUUUUAUAUGGUUUACUUUAUUUUUAUAUUCCUCCUUUAAUAUAUUUACAUUAAUGCUUCCAUUGGCACAACAAUAACGAAUUACAAAUACAAGCAACAAGUCCCAUGUUUUAUUACCAAAAGCAGGUAAAAUCCACCUAAUAUAUUACAAUAUAUUCAUCCAAUAUUUUAGACCAAUUCUUCACCAUAAAUAUCAUAAUGUGGCUUUUGUUCUUUCUUAAAUUUAAAUUGAAUUGUCUUAUAUCAAUUUGUUUGUGAUUUUUUCAUUAACUUCACUUUCAUUUGGUUAUCUUUGGUUUUUGAAAAGUAUUAAGGAAUUAAUUAACAAAAUAAUGUUAAGAAAAAUAAUUUUCUCUCUUUUGAUUUUGAUUUUGUAGUAGAAAAAUAUAAUUAAAAUUAUUUAAAAAGUAUGUAAUUUUAAAUUAUUUAAUAUUUAGAUAAAAAAAAUAAGUCUAAUGAGUUUAAAAUAACAUAUAAAAAUAAUUUAUUUAUUUUAAAUUUAUUUUUUAUUUUCCAUUAUGUUCUCUUUCUCUUUUACUUUUUCAUAUUUUUUCUUACGAAGAAUCAAACACAACCUCAUAUUAUAUGUCAAGUGUUUGUCUAUAUUUGAGCAAUGUUAGAUACGGCCAUGGAUUCAUCAAACUAAACUGAUUUUAAUAGAUACUUCACAAAUUGAUUUAUACACUAAAUCAUUGGAUAGCAAUGAUGCAUUGGAAUUAAACGUAGGAUGAAGCUCGAAGAACACUGUUUGUGUAACAACAUAUUUAUGAAAUUAUGCAAAGGAUGAGCUUCGGGGUAGUAGUACAAGGUCAUUAAUGGAGAGCCGUGUUAAACCUUGAUUGUGAUUGGAUUCCGUUAUCAGCAACAGCAACCUUGUUUGUAACCUUGAAAGUCAUUCUGUCCACAUCGAAACUCCAAUUUGACGUUUGUAAUUACCAUUCCUGGAGUGUUCCUUGAUUGAAAUUUAAAUAAUAAUUGCGGCCCACAAGGAAUAUUUUCGAUUCUGUGGGAAUUUGACAAGGUUUGUUAGAGAAGACUGGUGACAUGUUGACUUCAAUGGUUCAAAUAGGAGACGUAUGUGGAUUUGGGGGGUUUAAUUGAAACUGAGUCCCUAUGGCUUUUUAAUAUUUGCAUUGAGCAGUCUCCAUGUGACUUCCUAAUUCCCACCAACCCUCCUGUCCAUGCUGUGAAACUAAAUUGUAAUUUAUCAGCCUUUGUCAAUGGUUUCUAAAUUAAAGAUAUAGACCAUGCAUGUACUUUAAUAAAAGCAAAUCUAAAGUGUAGAUAGCAGCAAUGGUGACACCCAAUAUUCUCCAUAAAAUAGAAUUAGAAUAAGCAGUGUUACAUUGUUCAUGAUCACCUACAAGCAUACAAGAACUUCCAUGAAUAACUCAUAGCAAUUGCCAACAGGGCGUCGUAGAGACUCAUACAUAGAACACUAUCCACCCAGAGGAAAGGACAAGACCAGUGCGCUGCAGCUCUUAUUUUUCACAUGUAUACCACCACUCGUAAUAACCAAAUUCACUCAGUUGGGAUAGGUGGGAGAUGGUGGUUUGUGGGGUGGCUUGUGGGGAGGAGUUGGAGGAGGCUUUAUUUUCUGAGGCGGCUUGUAUGAGUGUGCAGGAGGAUGCCCGGGAGUGUGACCAUAAUGUGGUGGCUUCUCUCCCGUAGGUGGUUUGCCAAAUGGGCUUGGUGGCUUCUCUCCCUUAGGAGGUUUACCAAUUGGGGUUGGUGGCUUGUGUUCUGGGAGUGGUUUCUCUCCCUUGGUAGGUUUGCCAAUUGGGGUUGGCGGCUUAUGUUCUGGGAGUGGCUUCUCUCCCUUGGGAGGUUUGCUAAUUGGGGUUGGCGGCUUAUGUUCUGGGGGCGGCUUCUCUCCCUUGGGAGGUUUGCCAAUUGGAGUUGGCGGCUUAUGUUCUGGGAGUGGCUUUUCUCCCUUGGGAGGCUUGCCAAUUGGGGUUGGCGGCUUAUGUUCUGGGGGUGGCUUCUCUCCUUUAGGAGGUUUGCCAAUUGGAGUCGGCGGCUUAUGUUCUGGAAGUGGCUUUUUUCCCUUGGGAGGUUUGCCAAUUGGGGUUGGCGGCUUAUGUUCUGGGGGUGGCUUCUCUCCCUUGGGAGGUUUGCCAAUUGGAGUCGGCGGCUUAUGUUCUGGGAGUGGCUUCUCUCCCUUGGGAGGUUUUGUUGGUGGCUUGUGUUCUGGAGAUGGCUUCUCCCCUGGAGGCUUGUGCUCCGGAGGUGGCUUCUGAAAUGGCGGGGGCUUGGGGUAAUGAGCAAGAGAUGGAGUACUG
This 143159-nucleotide long non-coding RNA is filed under the name Vitis vinifera (wine grape). Its description in RNAcentral is "long non-coding RNA (VVIN_LNC001392)". Lineage: Eukaryota; Viridiplantae; Streptophyta; Magnoliopsida; Vitales; Vitaceae. The record is from RNAcentral.